UACUUUUUUUUUUUUUUUUUUUUUUUUAUCGUUUUAACGGAAACAGAAAGUAAAUUGGAGUUUUUUUUUUAAUUCUGUGGGUUUUUAUAUUAUUGGGUCUAGUGAUCGCCUCUUAUGUCGAAACGAGUGCGAAAUCAGAUCUUAAGAGUGUUUAAAUUGAUAAGGUUUUUAAAAGAGAUCGCCGGCAAAGAUGUGAGGGACAAAACAAAUAAAUCUGAAGAAGCGCAUUUUUUUGUCGUCUAGCCUAUUACUUAGUAUGAUACACAGAAGGUAAGUAUAUUUUAAUUCAUUAGACGUUGGAUUGUUUGAAUGCAACGUGGAAAAGUUACUGAAUAUUGACCAGUUAUCGUCAUUACUAUCUACUGUUUGCACAAAAGCUGGAGUCCUUGAAGCUUUGAUUAUUUGGAGCUCUGUUUGUGCUCUUUUCCCUUGUUUUCAUGGUUGUUGUUAAAUUAGUUUUAUAUGAAUAAGAAAUGAAAACAGAGUAGUUUCACUGGAUAUGUGUUUUUUUUUCCAACUUUUAAGUUGCAAUUUUGAAAUAAACUUGUUAGUUUUAUCAAAUGUUGGUAUUAUAUAAGUGAUGGAACAGAUUUUAUGAUUGAUAUCAAAUGAAUUAUAGACAUAUAGACUACCAACAUAUUCAUCAAUAUAUAGCUUUUUGUUUGUUUGGCAAUUGAAAAUUGUUGUUUGGAAAACUAUGUUAUGUUAUUUCAUUAUAACCAUGGUUGUAUAUUGGAUAAUUUGACAAACUUACAUAAUUUGACUCUACGUAGAAUAACAUUUCUCGAGAAGCCCAAACAAUGGUCCUGGUUGAUCAUCCAAAUGUUCUAAAAUCGCAUUGUUCGUUUGUGAGUGAUCAUACCCUAUGGGUGGUCAUGCCUUAUAUGGCUGGGGGUUCUUGUCUUCACAUACUCAAGGCUGUACAUCCAGAUGGCUUUGAGGAGACAGUUAUUGCAACCAUAUUACGUGAUGUACUAAAGGGAUUAGAGUAUCUUCACAGUCAUGGCCACAUUCAUCGAGAUGUUAAAGUAAGUUGCCGUUGAACUUUUUGAGCAAAUUGUAUGCAAAAUAGUCUUGAUUUCAAUCUUCAUUACAUAUUAUUUUUGCUUUCAAUCAACAGCUUAUCAUAUUUAUAAUGACAUGCAACAGCAUGUGUUGUGCAAUACGGCAAUUGUGUGUUUAAAUACACAAGUGUACCUAGUUACAAGUUGUGGGCAACUUCUUGUUACUUCAUAGUUUAACAACACAGGCACGAAAUUUUAGUUCAAUCUUCAUUACCACUUGGUAUAUGCGCAUAUAGUAGACUUGUCCAAAAAAUCAACCAUGAAUAUGAAAAAGUAUUACAGUGUAAGUAUGUAAAAUAUUCUAAGAAUAAACUUGAGCUUUUCCACUAGGUAGUAAUGUUUAAUAGAUGAACCUGCAUGUGAGGUAGAAAAGACUUUUGGGAGGCCUUAAUGUUUCUUAGCUAUGUAUAAUGCUUAUACUACAGAUUAAGUGAAGAAAACAUAAAGCUGCAUGUUACCAUUCCCGGUAGAAAAUGCCUAGCUAAGGCAUCUCUUGUUUAAUAAAAACUGAAAGAAAGCUUCGAUACAAGCAGGAUGAAUAAUUUUGUCCAAUUGGAAGCAUGUUGAGUUUCAUGCUUUUGAUAACUUUUAAGAUCAAAUAGGCAUAUGCAUUAAAAGAGAGGAGCUAAUCCUAAUUGAUGAGAUGGUAGAGCAUGGCUUUGGAAAUUCGUUGAUGGCAAUAUUUAAGACACUUAAACUGUAUCUUGUUGUUAAUGCGACAGCUUUAUGCAUUAAAAGAGGAGUGCUAAUCCUAAUCGAUGAGAUGGUAGAGCAUGGCUUUGGAAAUUCAUUGAUGGCAAUAUUUAAGACACUUAAACUGUAUCUUGUUGUUAAUGCGACAGCUUUUUUGAAAGUACUCAAUUUAGAUCCAUCAUCAUUUUCAUUACCCUUUUUUUUUGCACUCUUAGGCUGGAAAUAUUCUCAUCGACUCUCGUGGUGGAAUCAAAUUGGGAGAUUUUGGUGUUUCUGCUUGCUUGUUUGAUUCAGGUGAUAGGCAGCGCACGAGGAAUACAUUUGUUGGAACUCCUUGUUGGUAUGUUCCAUAGCAAGAGACUACUUUUUCACAUUUUAGCACUUUCUCAAUGUUAUUUUGUUUGUUUGAAUGACUACGUUGGAGGAUUUCUUGUUAAUACCUUUAUAAUUCAAAAGCUGAUUCAUACCCAUGCAUAAGUACAUUAAGUUAGUCUACUAUAUCAUCUUAACCAGUUUUUUAUGAUUCAAGCUUAUGUUCAUUUUCUUAUCACUUUUCUUUCUGUCGUGUGUCCAUUUUCUUACAGGAUGGCGCCUGAGGUUAUGCAAUUGCAUGGUUAUGACUUCAAGUAUGUCUAAAUCUUGUCUCACUUUGUAAAUUUGGAUUUAAGAUAUAAAUUCUAUGUAUUUAAUUUGGGUUUGUUUAUCUUGAAGAGCUGAUAUUUGGUCAUUUGGUAUAACUGCUUUGGAGCUUGCCCAUGGCCAUGCUCCUUUUUCAAAAUAUCCCCCAAUGAAGGUGUGCAUCUUCAAGUGACAUGCUUUUUAUGUUUGACACAAUCAAAAAAUUGUUAGUUUGAGCAGGAUCUCAUCUUAUAGGUUUUGCUUAUGACCUUGCAAAAUGCACCUCCUGGUCUUGACUAUGAGAGAGACAAAAAGUUCUCAAAGGUAUGCUAUUGACAAAUAUGAUGUUUUUUUUUCCAUUAUGAUUGUAUUCUGAGAUGUUGUUGGGCCUUUUUCCUAUUAUAGUCCUUUAAGCAAAUGAUUGCUAGUUGCCUGGUAAAAGACCCUUCCAAACGGCCUUCGGCAAAGAAAUUAUUAAAACAUCCCUUUUUCAAGCAAGGAAGGUCAAAUGAUUAUAUAUCAAGGACGCUCUUGGAUGGUCUUCCUGCUCUGGGUGACCGACUUCAAGCACUUAAGGUUAGUGAAGUAUGGCUUUUGAUACAAGCACUAGUUUUCAUUUUCAUGGUUAUUUUUGUUGACAGUAUUUUAUGUCAACCACAGAGAAAGGAGGAAGAUAUGCUAGCACAAAAGAAAAUACCAGAUGGGCAAAAAGAAGAAAUGUCACAGGUUUGAUUCUUCAAUAGGCACUGUUUCGAGGGAACUAAUAAUUUUUACUUUUUUUUUUUGGUUGCAUCCUCUGCAAGAUUAUUGAGAAUUAUGGUGAACAAUAAAUAUUGAUAUUGGUUAAACAUGCCUAUGUAGGAUAGGCACUUACAUGUAAAUUUUGGGUACCCAAUUGAUAGUGACUGUAUCUAUGGUCAUGACAAUCAUCCUUUGUGGCUAUUAGUGUAUUAACAUGUGAACUAAUAUGAGCAAUUGAUUAACGUGAAUCAAAAUGUGCGUCAUGCUCCAAACUUCUUUUCUUCCAAGAACGUAGACAAUUGUACUCGAGUCAUUUUUCAAAUGAUCUAGUUGCAUGGAUUGUUCCUAUGACAGUUGAUAUUGAGGUUUUAUAAUCCUUUUUGACAAUUUACGUGUCUAGUUAUUGAUCCGAUGUAUAUCCCUUGCAAGAGUAUGUUUGGAGUGUCAAGUUUUACUCUUUUGAAGGAAAUUUAGGAUUUUGGUAAUAUGCCCAAUUGUUUAGCAAUUGUUUUAUUAUCUAAUUUACCUAGGAAGUGAAGCUGCUUAAGAGUUGAUGUUUGGUACUCCCAUGAUGGUUGUGAUCUCUUAGGAUAUUGCUAAAACCUGUACUAGAAUUAUUACAUUGUCAAUUGUCUCAAUUUAUUUGGUUCUUGCACUACUUAAUUUGUUUUCAAAUGUCUGCAGAAUGAGUAUAAACGUGGCAUCAGUGGUUGGAAUUUUGAUCUUGAAGACAUGAAGGCUCAGGCUUCCCUGGUAUAAUAAAUAACUUUGUCUAGUAUAUAUAUAUUUUUAGAAAUAUUGUAUUCUUGGUUUUAGGAUUUGAUGCUAUUCUUUUUAUCUAAUUUAUUCUUUAUCUCAGAUCCAAGAUGAGGACAUUAUUGUUGAGAAAGACCAGAAAGGGAGUACGAAUUCACUCUCAAGUCUUGAUAUACAUGGAAAACAAUUUCAACGUCAAUUGUCUUCAGCCAGUCAAUUUGCACUACAGCGUCAAUCGUCAUUUGCAAGUCAAUAUUCAGAUCCUGUAGGUCAUUUUGGUUUUUACAAUGUGUUCUACUAGUAUGUAACACUAUGAGAGCUGCUCUUCUUGAUGACCUAAUGUCUUGUCGCUUCUCAGGAUGACAAUAAUCUGAUUACUCAUCCUUCGUCAGCUGAUUCUACCGUGGUCUAUAAUAUGUAUGUGAUCCUACAUCAAAGUUUGAUUCAUUGUUUUAAUCACAUUGGUGCAUGCAUUUUACUCAAUCAUAAUUUAUGAGCUCAUAUUUGGUUUUAAUGCAUAUUGGGCGCGUUACUAAAGAACUUGGAUCUCAUACAUUUUAGUCUUUUAGGGGUUCGCUAAUUCAAUAUAAUUUGCAGAGCUAAAAGCGAGAAAUCUGAUGAUGAUGCAAGCUGUUUCAAUUCAGUCCAUGAGCACCAGAACUCUAUCCCCCAGAUUGAGUAUCAUGCAGAAACUAAUUCUUCCAUAAGACCACAUCCAGAGACCAAUGGAAAAUUAGCAGAGAAUUUCAUGCCAUAUUCUCAUCAGAGGUAAAUUCACUUUUGUACAGUGGAUUGGACCAUUUGCUAAAUUAUGGUUUUAAUGAAUAAGGGAUAAGAAUUUUUCUAAACUUAUCCAAUUUUUAUGAUUCAUGAUAGUUAAGCAUUCCCAAGAAAAUCCUCUUACAAAAUUUGAAGAUUUUUGUGCUUUAAUGACCAUUUCUUCAUCCAUAAUCAUUUUUCUAGGAACUUUCCUUGCUACAUUGAUAGCAUCUUGAUGUGUACAUGCAUGUUUGGUGAAUUUUUUUUUAAGUUUAUUAAUUUCUCCUUUUAGAACAUGUUUUUAUUUAUUUAUUUUAAAAAUAUGCAGUGAUAGUUUUCAAAGUCAGCCACAAAGCACAUCAAAUUACAAUGUUGAUCUUCCUCAUCAAGCAGUAAAUGAUGUGCCUUCUGAGACAAGUUCUAAGGCUUCCAAAACAUCAGGCAAGAUUUUGCUAGUUUUACAUCUUUUUUGUUUAAAUGCAUUGCGAUCUUGUUUCUUGAUUUCUAUAGCUGUCAAAAGAUAAUAAUCUUUUACAUAAAACACACUUUUUGAGCAGUAAAUAGUGACGAACUAGAUGAAAAAGCAAAAUGCCCUGUUGUUCAGCAAAAAGGCCGUUUUAAGGUUACUUCCGAGAACGUCGACUUUGAAAAGGUGAUUUCCAUUGUCUUAACGUUUAACAUCCCGCAAUAAUGUCUGAACGUACUUUAGAAAUUUUCUUUUUUCUUUUUUCAGGUUUCCCCUUCUCCAAUUCUUCAGAAAAGUCAGAGCAUGCAGGUGAGCUUUUUUAGGUGAUGCAUAAAAAAAACAAUAUUCUGUUCAUUAGAUGUCUUGUGCAAUUGCAUCCCUAAGUACAGCAAUUGCAUGAUUGCUACUUUGUCAAUUGUCAUUAUAAAGUUUUUUUAAAUAGCAUUACGGAUAAUGCAGGUCAUUUCACCACAGCCUGGUACAUCUAUACCAGUUACUCUAAGUGAGGCUGCGGUUGCUAUACCUCCUAAUCUUCCUAACCAAUCCUUUCAUUCAAUGCUGCAAUCAGUUUUGCAAACAAAUAUUGUCCAAAGGGUAUGGAUUGAGUUUACAUAUCACCUUUUAGCGGUAUCAUUUUGCUUAUAGCUUGUGACAUUUAUAUUGAUCUCAACAGGAGAGUAUACUGAGUCUGAUGAAGCUACUCUCUACUGGGGAUAGUACAGGUAGGUGAUGUCGAUUAAAUUGAAUUGUUUUGCUCAUUUUGACUUUCUUACAUAAUUCACUAUUAUGCAGUGGAUGGAGCAUGUGCAUCGGCAAAUGCAGCUAUGACAGAGAAAUCUUUGGUACGUAACUAUUUACACUUCUUGGAAGUUGUGUGAUAUAAGAAUUUGGCUUGUUUUGUGUGAUUUUCCUCUUCAUGUGGCACUUAAGUGUUGUAGUAGUUGCAUGAAAACUUUAUUUUAUCACUUUUUCAAGUCAUGAAAUCUUAAUUUCAAACCCAAGUUCUUGCGUAUAGAGAUGAGUUUUGAGGAUAUUAGACUUGAUAGUUUUGACUAGUCAAGUACCAAGGAGCUUGCCUUCGUGAAUUGUGUUGUUUAAACUAGUCUUUUGAGGUUGAUUUUUCAAAGUUUAAGCUAACCAUUUUUUCCCCUUUGGACUAGAUGGAGGCAGCUCAUGAUCGGGAGAAGGAAUUACUACGUGAAGUAACUGAUCUGCAGUGGAGGUACUUGUGAUGACAUGCAUACAAGGCAUCAUGCUAACUUGUGUUAAAACCAAAUUCUAAUUGCUUUGCACUUCAUUUCCUUUAUGUAGGCUCAUAUCUGCCCAAGAAGAGCUUCAAAAAUGCAAAACAGAAAAUGCACAGGCUGAAUUUUGAUAUGCUUGAAGAGCAAUACAAUGAGGUUUAUGUUCGAAAGAGUAGUCAAAAUUAGGUUGGUGUUUGUACAGUUGGUCUCUUAAGUAGGUUAACAUAUUACUAUAGAUUACCAAUUCGUGCCAAUUCUGAGCCUGAAAUCGGCUUUGUGCAUAAUGAGCUUUUCAUUAAACUUUGUGAUAUCUAGUCACGAUCGUAUGGAGUAGACUCAUGCUAAUUUCUUUUCUCCUUAAAAUUAGCCAACACGGGAACUUUCCUGGUAAAGAAGCCAAUCAGAACAAAUUUCAAUCCUGUGUUCCCACCGUCGCAAGCCUACUGCAGCUGCCUAUAUGUCUUGAAGCACACACUCCAAUCCUAAAUUCCCACCAUUGGUUGAUUGAUGAUGGACUUAGGCUGGUCCUCCUUAUACUUUAUUACCUGUUUGGUUUCUUUAUUUAUGUUGCUAAGUUAGAAAUUAGAUUUUGGCCUCAGUUGAUACCUGAUGAUUGAUUAUGUAUAGAACCCGUACCGAGAGUAGCGGAGCAAAGAGAUUUGGCAACUAAUCUUUCCUCGCUGAUCAAAGUUUAAGCUGUCCAUUUCAAGAAAAAUGAAAAAAAAAUCAGAUUGUCAACUUGCCUUUCUAAAAGCCUUGGUGUGUCCGAUGCAUCAUCAAUCACCCAUGAGAUCAUGAGUAUGCUAAUUAAUUACAAAUUGAUACAAGGUGUCAUUCAUCUGAGCACGCAAGGCCUUUGCUCUAUGCAAAUUGGAAUUCACUCAGAAAAAUGCAGGCGGGUACAUUUUUCUUCCAUCAAAAAUAAGAGUGACAUGGUUAUGAACUCGUAAUCACAAUUGCAUUGUUGACAGAUCACGUAUAAAAACAGUUCAGCCAGCUACAUCACUGGCAUUAAAUAAUAAAUCAAAGGGUUGUUAAACCUUGGAUUAGGGACCUAGACAGCUAAAUCUGUAGGAGCCUGUCUAUUUCAUCAAAUGUUAAAUCACUUUUACGAGUUUUGGGUGCUUUUUCAACCUUUUGUCUGUAUAUGUACCUGUACACUGGAUCGAGUAAGUAGACUCCAGAAAAUACGCUAUCACCGGAAGAUUAAGAACUUUUGACGUGUUGCCGGAAUCGUCCACGUAUUCACAAAUGAAUUUAAAAUUCGACUUUUACACUUGUUAUGGAUCCAACAGUGAGACAGCGCAUUCACUGUCAAUGUAUAUAAGAUCUACAUUUAUUAAUUUGGGUGCUUGUAAUGAUCAAAACUAAACUAACAGGCUAGGACGAGGCCUGGGCCUGUGUUUAAUUUCGUGCUAAACACCUCCGUUUUUCUUUUUUGGGGAUUGAGGGCGGAAGCCAUAAUUACGUAGCUUUUCUUGCUUAAACAAAGUGGGGAACGGGAUAGUGAUAGAAGAGAAGGACGUCAAGCACAAUGCCCGGAUUUGUCUUGUGUGGAAUGCUUGGCAACAAUAAGAAAUCUGUAAUGGAUAAGAUUCAAUGGCAACAUGAACGGGCUUGUAACAUGAAGUGGAAUAUCACCUAACUGUCGGUACUACUAUAUAAUCUGAUUUUAAAUCUUCAUCUACAUAUUGGUAGCGACGUACGUAUCAAAUUAUGAUAUUCGAUUAUCGAAACAAGUUGCAUUCUACCUGAGUUAUAAGAUAUUUAAGUUUCAAACUCAAACUCAAAUUUUGAUCGAAUAGGCUUCUAAUGGUAAUCUUGAUGCUCAUUUGCACCUUAAUCCAUACUCUUUUGUACCAAAUUUAGGCUGCCUAAUCCGCCGCCAUUGAUAUUAAAGAGAGAGCCUAAUCCGUCAUUUUGUUCAAAUUUAUCUUUUCUUUCAUGCAUUGUCAGCCAAGAGAGAGCAGCUAGUGAUAUCCUUAACUAGGGUUGGCUUAACAUCCCAAAUUUUAGCUAAUGGUAAUCUUUUUUUUUUUAAGGAUAAUUUUUUUUAAAAAAAUAAAGUUAGUAACUUGUUUUAAACACAACGAACCAUGUUCGAUUCAGGCUAAAUAGUCACUCAUUGCCAAAUUCUUGGGCUCUUUCCACACUUCUUGUUCAACCUUUGCAUUUGGGAACAGUAACAAAUACAAUGGAGGUACGUACGUAUACAAAAAAAUUUAAACAAAAAAGGUCUUUUAUAGCUUUGUAAGAAGAUACAAGCACAAUGCAUCUAAGAAGGGAGAACUAUCAAGGUAGCUGCAGGCUUAAUAACGUGGUAGCUGAUUAUAGACUCUUCUACGUUAGAGAAUUGAGGUCGAAAAAAUCAAAGGUAGGUGGAUGUCCAAUUCUUUAGCUCACUUCGAAGUUUAAUUUAUUGUACCUUGAUAAUUUGAAUGCUGGACAGCAAAUGUUCGAGUACAGAGCCUACAGGCUACUUUUGACAAGGGCGGCUAAUCCAACGAUAAUAGUCAUUAGUUUCCGGAACGAUGAAAGGUGAUACUCCUUCCGUCCCACUUUGAUAGUCCUGUUUUCCUUUUUCGUCUAUCCCAAAUUGUAGUCCAGUUUUCAAUUGAAGAAUGUAGUUGUAUUUUAAUUUUCUUAAAAUACCCUUAUUCAAUGUAAGUUGUUGUUACUAUAAACCUACCCCAUUUAAUGAGAGUUGAUUCUUUUUUUACUAUCAAUUCAAGUUCCCAUAAAAUUAUACUCUAAUUAAUGUGAGGGUAUUUUAGGAAAAUAGCUACCUAAAUUGAUUGUUCCAAUAAAGUUAACUACUUUUUUUUUAAACUGUGUGAAAAAAUAAUCAGGACUAUCAAAGUGGGACGGAGGGAGUAUGAUACUAAAUUGGUUUUACGUUCGGUCUUGAGCCUGAUUUUUUAUUAAUGUUGUCUGUAGAAAAAGGAACCAAAGGUUGUGGAUCUUGUGAUCUAGCUUUGAUAUCUAGCUUAAUACUAUCGUGGCUUCCUGACAAACAACAAUUAUGUUUUCAGAGUUUCAUUUGCCAGUUGGAUGGAUUGAAUAAAGAUUCAAUCUCUGUCGCAUUAGAUGGUCUGAAAACAAAAUCGAAAAUGCCAGAAAACUAAAACCAUUAAUAAAUUAGGUUCAAUCUGGUGAAGCCGCCGGAACCUAUGAUCCCUGGAUGAAUUAAAGUCUAUCAUUUUGCCUUUUUCUAACAUUAAAAAUAACCUAUGAAAAGCUUUGCCCGUUGUCCAUGAAAAGUUGAACAAUCACCGAUGUGAGUAAUAAUUGCUGCAAAUUCGCCAGAAGCUGCGGCUAAAGCGGUCUUGUUUUAGCAGAUUUAGGGUGCGUUUAAUAAAAUUUAGAGGCGUAAAUAAGUCGAAUAUCUCGUGUUUAAAUACUGUUUGUUAAACUACUCAAAUAAAUCUCGUGUUCGUUCGAUAAUGUUCAAGUUUCAAAUCAGUGUUCGUGUUCGGCUCGUUAAGCAAAAUCCUAAUUCGAGUUCGAGUUCGAGUUCGAAUUCGAAUUCGACUCAUUUAACAUAAACGAGUCAUUUGCGAACAGGCUCGAGAUAUUCGAAUCCAAACUCUGGAGACGUUUGAGCAACACAUGUACGAGACUAACAGAGGCUGAAAAGCCUGUAAUAGGAAUUAGGAAUACAAUACUAACCCUAAAUUUUGUGAAAUGACAACUAGGCCUUGUAUUCAUUCGAUUACUUGUCGAGCCAAAAUGUUUGUUCGAACUUGACUCAUAUAAAAUUUCGAAGGAACAGUUAUCGAACAGAAAAGAGCCUAAAUGAACCAAGCUAACGAGCAGCUUGGUUCGUUUAACAGCACUAAUAAAACUGAAGUUUGAAACUUGAUAUUUAAAUCCGCUAAUUUAUUCAAUUAUUAAGUAUUGAAAUCUUAACAUUUGAUAGUAUUUUGUAUUAAGUAAUAAGUGAACAAUUUAUCAAUUAUUGUAUUGAGCAAGUUCUGUUAAACAAUAGAGAACCAAUUAAUUAAUCAAGUCCUAUUUUUUGUUACAAAAAAUGUCUGGACGUAUAAUAUGUAAAUAGUAUUAAAUUGAGUUAUCAAACAUGGUUUUAAUAUUGAAAAUUACGUGAAUUAUGAUGGACUUGAAACUUGAAAGUGGAGAGGGAAUGUAUAAUCCAUGUUGAUCUUGAUUUGGAUUUGAAUUGACCUUUGAGUCUAGAUCAUGUAUGAUCCAUAUACCUAAACCGGGACCAGAGUCUAAACAAGUAAAAUAAAAAUAGAUUGUAAUCAUAUAAUAGCAACGGUAGAGUGUAUAUGAUUCACUGCACAUACCAACCCCCCAAUUAAUGUAUCACAAAAUCUCUUGGAAGCACAUACUAAUUGCACAACUAACUCUCUUUUCUUUGUCCUCUCUUCUAUUCUCAAUUAAGUAAAUUAAUUUGUAAAGCGGGACGAGGAUAGUUGUUGACUUGUCCUCUAGUCCCAGAUGAAAAUGACACGAACAGUAGGACAUCCUCGAUUUUGUGAAUUUCUAUGACAUGCUAUUAUGCUUGUUGAGGUAAAUUAAUUCGUUUUAUCCAACCAAAUUUGGAAGCAAAAAUUCUUUAUCUUUCUUGAAUACGGUAAAAACCAAAAGGAAAUUAAAUUCUGGGCAAUCACUGCAGGGACAUAUUAAUGAUCACCAAAUUCUAGUUCAAAUGCUUUGGUGGCUUUUCAAAUUUAAACCGAAUUUAGAAGUUUUAUUCAUUUUCAACUAAAAAAACAUGCAAGCACAUAUAAAAUUUCCAAAAUUUACAUCAUUUGGUUGUAAAGUUUCAUUAUCCAGUUAUUUUAUACAGCGCUCAAGUCUCUUAAACGUUCAUCGAAUUUCAAAAUAAUUCACAAUAUAUGUUUGUCGAUUACUAGGAAAACUUUUUAAAAUGCUUCUUAUUAAGGAAAAAGAUACCUAAAACAUCUCAAUUAAUUUCCUCUUCUAUUUAUGACCAUUCUUUUUACUUUUUGAAACUAUGAGAUAUUUUCAUAGCAAAAACGAAGAUGGUGGAUUGAUUCGACACCUCUUUGCAUUAGAUAGGAUUCAAAUCCCUGAUCUACAGCUCAGAGAGGAAUUAAAUUUUCGGUGGCCACCGGGCCGUAGCUCAGUGGUUUGUGAGAAACAUGUUAACUUGUAAGUAAAUGAGAAUGACAAUUGCACUCUCAAUCUGAACAGAUAAAUGACAAAUCAAUCGCAGUGACAUUAGCGUACUAGCUUUUGUUUUCCAAUUAAUGAGCUUUGUUUUCCGAUUAAUUCAUCAUUAAUUUCUUUUCAUACAAGAAGUGUCCCAUUGUUCACCAAACAAUUUCUUCAAUCUAAAAUCAUCCACGUAGGUGUGUCUUUGAAUUAUGGGCAACCGGAUGCGUGCAUGAAAGAUGAUAGCACCCUUUUCAAUUUACUUUUUGUUGUAUCGUUUCUUAAACCCGUACAUACAUGCAAAUAUCAACUAGCACUCCAGUGGCGCCUUUAUCCUCCUCAAAAACAUUGAAUAACUUUAGAACAUCUUACCAGGAAAAAAAUGAAAAAGAAAAAGAGAAUGGAGUGAGUUUGAGAGAUGCAAAUACUUAAACCACUCACUGCAUUCUAAUAUAAACAAGUAAUGCGAUUCACCUUGAAAUCUAAAGUUACUACUUUAUUAUUAUCAUCCUCAAAUUUUAGGUACUUUCGUUCUCUAUAAAUAAAAUAAAGGGUUCAUCUUGUAUACGUCCACAUAAAACUAAAAUUUUGUCUUAGCGUUUCAGUAGUAAUUAACAAGUAAUAUUUUGAACUUACAUUAUUGUGCUUGUGAAUUUCAAAAUCUUGUGAUGCUACAAUAAGAAAGUUAUGAUGGCAUGGAAUCCUCAAGACCAGGCUUAGGAAAUUCCAUGUUGUUAGCGUAGGUCUAUCAUAUAAAAGUGGCAUAUUUUUUAAGAACACGAAACAGCUCCAAAUCAAGCCAUAUAUUUGCUAAAUUGAUGCCAACAUCAAGGGCUUGCUUGCCAAAGUAUGAACUCUAGCAAAGCUUGUACUUGCAAAGAAACAGAAGCCAAAUUCGGGCGUCCAAACUUCAUGGGCUGUUAGUUAGGUACAGAGCUGUUAAGAUCACUGCUACUCUGCACUGGAAGUUGUUCGGUUCGGUUGGUCCCCCACCUUCCCUUCCGCCCAAGCUCAUGGCUUACAUAUCCACACAAAAUCGAUGAACAUUGUUGCAGUUAUUCAACACUACUCAAUGAGCUCACAAAUAAGAAAGCUUCAUUGGAGCCAGGGCCAACAUCAGAGAAACUUGUAAGUGAAAAGUAUUGAGCUGUUCUACAACAAUCAUACCAUCAACGUCUCGACUGUAAUCCAAAUCCACUACUUUCUUGAUUUACCGGCCACCCACCCCCCCCUCUGCCCCCAAUCCCAAGAAUGUAGCAAGUCACUGGCCACCACCAUACACACCUCUCAUUAAUUCCUUUCUUUGUAUGUGAUGGCACAACCAACAACUGUCAACUAUUAAAGUUGAUUUGUUUAAUUAGAAAUGGACGAUUGGUUACUUGUCAAUUUUUAGCAGGUGGGAUUUUGAAAACUGCAAUUGCUACGCAUAGACAGAAGUUUUUCAUGAUUAUGAACGGUAAAAGCUUUGUAUCCUUAGAUAGGCUGCUUUCUUUCAAGUCCUAUAAGUAUUCUGUUUCCUUGGAAUCUAUACAUAUAAAUUUGAGCAAGAGUCAAGCCUAAAAGUGACAGUGCAAGGCUAAAAAUGACUAAAGGGUGGUUUUCAUUCUCAUGUUGUUUUAAUUACCCUACCAAGUUUGUUCUUUUUUGUCAUUAUUGUUUGCUUUCUUUUUAGCCAUUUUAGUUAUUUUGAAAUAAGUUUCAGCGAGCUCUGUCUCAAAAAAAAAAAAAAAAGUUCCAUGCUAUAGUAGCUUUGGAGGUUUCCGCAAAUGGAGGGAGAAAAGGUUACUACAAUGAUUCAAGCAAGGAUAACAAUCCCAGAUAAAAGAACUGCUUUUUCUGGGACAACGACUGCUCCCCUGUUUGCCUGGCCAUGGGAACACUAUGGCAAUUACAAGGUAUGUCUUGCUCUGUGCGCGUGUAUGUAUGUUUAUGUGUAUUUUUGUCUGUUUCCAACUUUCCUCCAUAUGAAAAACGUUUUGUCUCUACUGAUUUUGUGCAUUGGUUUAUGGGAUGAUACAGUACUUGUUUUACGUGGCACUUCUUGCAAAAUACUUGUAUCCUACUACUACAACUGAAGAAGGCACCGAGGGGAGUAGUUGGUGCUUACAUAUUCUACUCUUGUUCCUCCUAAGAGGUCUCCUUUAUCAACUGUGGAGCUCUUAUGAUUAUAUGUUUUUCCUCAAUCGAACCCGCCGGAUUUCUGAAGAGGGCAUUGAUUUUAAGCAAAUUGAUGCAGAAUGGAAUUGGUAAACAAUUUACUGUCUUUCUCCUUCGCCUUCCCAUGUCCAAAUCUCACCAGAAAUUUUUUUUUUUUUUUUUAGCAUUUGCCAUCCUUUAUUAUUUCGUGAACCAGUUUUAUGCUUUAUGGUGGGACAGGGAUAAUUUCUUAAUUCUUCAUGCUAUUGUGGCUGUGCUGGCCUAUUGGAGCUUCCCAUCUCUAACCAAUCUUCCCCUCUGGGAUGGAAGGGGUAUUUUUUGUUGUCUUGCACUCCACAUUGGGGUCUCGGAGCCAGUUUAUUAUUGGCUACAUAGAUUACUGCAUUCCCCAAAUCUCUUCACAGAUUACCAUUGGCUACAUCACAGCUCUAAAGUUUCACAUCCGUUCACAGGUAAAAAAAAAUGAAGUAUUACCAACAUUAUCAGCUACUAAAAAGUUAAAAGAUUUAUUGGCCAAUGAUUUCUUUUUCAUUUUUUUGUUGUGCAGCUGGACAUGCAACAUUUCUUGAACAUCUGGUACUAUGUAUAGUUAUAGGAGUACCAAUCUUGGGCACUGUCUUUAUCGGCUAUGGAUCAAUAAGCAUACUGUACAGUUAUGUUUUGCUUUUUGAUAUGCUCAGAUGCUUGGGACAUAGCAAUGUGGAAGUUAUUCCUCAUCAUCUUUUUGAGAAUAUUCCACUUCUCAGAUAUCUUGUUUAUACUCCUACGUAAGCCUGAAGAUCCUGUUUCCGUAUUAUUUUUUGAGCAAGUUUAAUUUUUUUUUCUCUUUGUGAAUUCUGCCUGUCGGUUCUUUGCCUUUAUCUGGUUCUUUGCCUUUAUCUGGUUUUUCUUCAGAAAUAAGUGAAGUAGAAAGUGCAGUUAUGUUGGCUCAGGAAGCAAAAAGUUCUGUAGUGUUGGGUGCCAUUUAUUGCACAAGGUUCUGAAGUAGGAAUUUGCAGAGCAGUGAUGCAAGGAUAUAACAGGGGCACCAUGCAACUGAAUCUUAGUUAAUGAUAGAUGUCACAAAACAAAAUUUUUUUUUGGGCGUUGUUGGAUUGCUGGACUUAAAAAUAUUUAGAUAUUUAAUGGAGGCCAGAUAAAUGAUUUUGCUGUUUUGAUCUGAAUUUAAGAUCAACUCGAGCUCACUUUGUUUUCUCUCUUUUAUCACGUAAGAGCUCUCUUUCAAAAGCUUAGUCAUCGGGAGACGUACAUUUAACAGUAUGAGAGUGGUUCCUUUCCUACUAGGUUGAUGGGUGGUACUGUUACGAUUCAGCCAAGUAAAUGCAGAACUUAAAACACCUUGCAAAAAAUUCUAAUUAUUGAUAUCAAAAAAUUUGAAUUAAACCAAAAAGAAAAUAAAGUUGCUGUCUUUAACAUGUAGUAGUUACAACUUAAGUCACUCACAAAUAUAGUUUCUGUUUGUCUCUGCAGAUACCAUAAUAUACACCACAUGGACAUGAGAACAAAUUUCUGCCUCUUCAUGCCAGUUUAUGAUAUAUUGGGAAAGACAAUAAACACUCGUUAUUGGGAUCUCCACAAAGAAAUAAGCUCAAGGAAAAGUGAGUCUUUAUCUACAUGAUUCUAUCAUCCGUCAGACGUUAUGCUUGUUAAGAUUGUAUAACUCAAUACUUUAUUACUCUAGAUUUCAUUGUUUUACUGCCGAAAAUGACUUACUGCAACAUCUUCUUGGUACUUUUGCUGCACUUUCUGAAGCAUUAUGUAAUUUCGACAAUACCUUUGUGUAGGUGUUCAGUAAAUUAUGGGGGGAAGGUCCUCAUUUUAGUUUGGCAUUUUUUCUGUACGUAGUUUUAGUUUUUCAUUUUUUCCUUCAACUUGCUCCAAUAACUCAAAAGAUCAUCAUGGUAAUGAUGAGUUGCACACCUGAGUGGUCAGAAGCAGCUGUCUUUCAGGCAUCUCAUUUAUGAUAGUGAUUGUUACUUUGCUUCUAACAAUUUUGAUCACCUUGUGUUUCAAUUUAUCUAUCUUUUCUUGGCUGGACAGAAACAAGUGCACCAGGGUUUGUUUUUCUUGGCCACGUCGUGGAUAUAAUGGCUGCAUUGCACACUCCAUUUGUUUUCCGAUCAUUCAAUUCCAUACCUUUUAGCAAAAAGUUCUUCCUGUUUCCUUUCUGGCCUCCUACCUUUUUAGUAAUGCUUGCCAUGUGGGCCAAGUCCAAGACAUUUUUGGUCAGUUUUUACAAUCUCAGAGGCAGACUGCACCAGACAUGGGUUGUGCCAAGGUUUGGUUUCCAGGUAGCUGCUUUACUCCUUUAUCUGCUGUAUUCUCUUACAUAUGAUAACUUUCUAUGAACCUGAUGCAAGUUACUAGAAUGUCGUAAAAAGUAGAAACUCAGACCUUCAUGAUUAAUAGACAUGUAUCCACAGCUUUUUAUUCAUUCCUAAACAUUUCUUUUACUGGACAAGCUAUAAAAUUCUGCAGUUUAUUAUUGGAGGUUAAGUUUCAUAGAUAACUUUGUAAUUCAUUUGAUAAAGAACACUAGAAUAUGUUAUUUGAAAGAGAAAAUUAGCGGACAUUGUAGCUGCUUUUAUUUUUCAUGUAGAUUUUCAGUAUCAUGGACUAAGAGAAAACUAGUUGAUAUUACUGUUGAUUUAGGUGAUCAGGUUUUACCGAUUUAAUCUGAAGCAUUUGUGAUUUUAAAUUUUGCAGUAUUUCUUACCUUUUGCUGCAGACGGCAUAAACAAGCAAAUCGAAGAAGCCAUCCUUAGAGCGGAUAGACUUGGUGUCAAGGUCAUUAGCCUUGCCGCACUAAACAAGGUUGGCCUCGGUCCUUUUUCUUUUGCUUUUCCUGUUAUGAUCCUACCUUGUUUAUCUUUCUAGCUGAACUGCUAUUACUUAUUCAAUGCUGAGCUUAAAUUAUUAGAUGAUGAAAUUUCAAAAUAAAUUCUUGAACAAUGAUCUGCCCGUUAAGUUUGUAGGGAAAGAACCAUGGUCAAAACUCAAAACUAGUACAUAAAUUUGCAAGGUAUAAAAAACAUGUUCUUCAGUAUGCUUUACACAGAUCUCUACUGAAAAGUUUUGAUGAUUCGACUGGGUAAAGAUUCACUUCUUGAAAUAUGUUUUGACAGAAUGAAAGUCUGAAUGGAGGUGGAACGCUGUUUAUUAACAAGCAUCCUGAUCUUAAAGUUCGGGUCGUCCAUGGAAACACCUUGACUGCUGCUGUGAUCCUAAACGAGAUUCCUCGAGAUGUUGAUGAGGUGUUCUUGACAGGUUCAACUUCAAAACUGGGAAGGGCCAUUGCCCUCUAUCUGGCUCGUCGAAGGGUCAGGGUUCUGGUAAGAGCUGCUUGACACCUAGUCACCUACUAACAGUUGGGAUAUGAGUGGAGUUUUAGAUUCAUUUGCGGUUUCCCUUUGAAAUGUCUUUGCUACAAGAACAACAUGCUGCUGCCACAUACAAAUACCAGUUCAGCUAGCCGAAGAAAGGCUGAAAUCUAUAAAAUCUUUAAGGCAAAAUUCUCGUGAACAGAAUGUACAAUGUACUAUUUUGUUAUCAACACAAUGAUGGCAUGUUGCUGCUAUUAUGAUAGACAUUUGCCUUUUUAUUCCCUUUUUAAAUCCAACAAAGAUUGCCCUUUUCAUUAUUUUUCCAUUUUUGGUAAGGUCCUUAUACAUAUGCAGAUGCUUACACAAUCCACGGAGAGAUUCCUAAAAAUCCAAAAGGAAGCUCCCGAGGAACUCCAAAAGUUUCUUGUUCAAGUAACCAAGUAUCAAGCAGCUAAGCAGUGCAAGGUAACAGUUAUUGUUAACUUACAUGGAUUAAUUCUGCAUAUAUACUAGUAUAGAAUUUUAUUUGUGAAAGUGACAAAGACAAUUUGGAGGAUGCCAAAUCCUCUUUAAGAAACAUAACUUGACCAGAUUUUGCUUACUAAUCUAUGUGCUUAUCUCGGUGAAGAUUGUUUAGAACUCCAACUUGUAUAGAGACCCGAAGCAUAAGGAAAACCAAUCUUAUAACAGAGCAUGAACAGCAUCACUCGUGUCUGAAAAUGUCCUUCCAUGCAUCUCCUUCUAUGCGGCCUUCUUAAUUUCCCUCUUGUACAAUCUGGUCAUUCAGGAUCCUUGGUUUGAAUUUGUCAAGUCGGACGAAGAAUUGCAUGUCCUUAAGUAAACCACUGGACAAUCAAGAUGUUAUCUGAUCAAUACUGUUUGAAGGGGGAGAUGGCUUUCUUUUUGUGCUGUCUAGUGCCAACUUUUCCUACUUACUGUAUUUUUAGCAUGGUCAUUGACUUUGAUGGUGUAAUCCUGAAAUUCACGAUGCUUCACAAUAACUAAUCACCUUUUUAUUUUUUGAAUCACUAGACAUGGAUUAUUGGAAAGUGGACUACUCCUCGGGAACAAAGUUGGGCGCCAUCAGGGACACAUUUUCAUCAGUAUGUGGUUCCCCCCGUCAUUCCUUUCCGCAGGGAUUGUACUUUCGGGAAGUUAGCAGCAAUGAGACUUCCAGAAGAUGUAGAGGGCCUUGGAUCAUGCGAGGUAGAGUUGACUUUAUCACCUUUCAGUCUCGUUAUUAUCUUAGAAAAACAGGGAUUACACCAAGAAAACAAGUUCAGGAUGAAAGUCUAUUGAAGAUUUUUGUUUUGGGGGGGGGGAAGGGGAAGGGGGGUGGAAAUAUGGUUUCAUUCAUUAGCAUGAUCAACUUAUUUAUUUCCUGCAUGUUAGUUGGCUACGCCUCAAUGUCAUAGAUCGUCUUUUUCGAUCGAUCAUUCGGAGAUUAACAACAGUUGACUUAAAGGUAUUAGCAUUUGUAGGAAAACGCUAAUGAACCAUUUAAAUGAAUAAUAACAUGCAAUGAGUUUGGUUUGUUUCUUGUUUGUGUCUACUAACACUCUUCUCCAUACUGCUCCAGUACACAAUGGAAAGAGGUGUAGUUCAUGCUUGCCAUGCCGGUGGGGUGGUUCAUUUUCUUGAAGGUUGGAAACACCAUGAGGUGGGAGCUAUCGAUGUUGAUCAGAUUGAUGUUGUGUGGAAAGCUGCCUUGAGGCAUGGCCUCAAGCCCAUGCAGGUCAAACAAAUUACAGAAUUUCAUUAAACUGCUGCUGUCUAUUCCUUCCAUAGAUCGAUAGAUAUCAACUGGGUAUCAAUAUACUCUCUUUUGUUGCCAGUUCAUAGAUAUCACGCUCUUUUCUCCUCUUUCAUUUAUCUCAUCCUUUUGGAGAAAGAGCUCCAUCAUAUCCCAAAUUUUAAUAUGUUACCUAUACAAAACAAAAGAAUUUGUACAAUAUUAUUACGAUGUCAAACAAAAUGCAAGCACAUACACACACUCUCUCUUCUCCCCCCUGCUUGGAAUCUUCUGUUUGGGAUUUCGUUUUUGUCCCGUUUGUCCCCUCCCUGUUUAAUUGUCAUGUGUAUUGAUUAAUAACUUUUAGAAUUCUAUUAUACUGAUUAAUAACUUUUAGAAUUUUAUUGUAGAUAAGUCCUGCAAUUGGGGGAUAAGUCAGUAGGACAAUACACGUGGCACUUAAGUAAAAACGGGACAGAUGGGACAGAGUCAAAAUCCGGAAAACAGAUGAUUUGAAGCCACAAUUCUCCACCAAAUUAGGCGGAAAGAACAUUACUCCUAUAAGCAGUUUUUCGGUUGUAGUCUAUACCCAAUUUGGAUGUAAAAUCUUAUCCUUUACCUUCUUCUCCAAUGCUUGUUGCAAAUCUUGCUAUUUGUCAUUGAGAAAUUGACAUAAUGCGUUUCAAAUACCAGUUUCUGUUCUCUUUCUCUCUUCUCUUCUACAGUGCUGAUUCAUAUUAACAUCACUCAACUUCUUAGCCAAUAUAAACGUGGGUUUUUCUAACGGGUUCGGGCAACCGUUGACACAUUUAAUAUUUAACUAAACCUAUUAUAUAUAUACACAUGCUAACAAUUAUUAUUCUGUCUUACAUCAACGUACUUUCUCUAUUUAACUUUACAUACUCUCCCUUGUAUUUAUUUACUUUCCCUAAUUAAUUUUAUAUUUUAAAAAAUAUGACACGAGUGAAAUAUGACCCCGGUUAAACAAAUGUUAUAAACAUUUCAAACACAUUAACUAACUAUAUCACUCAAACCCGAGUAGCAAACACCAUAAAUUCACGCCAAACAGUCACUAUCUUAGCGGUUGAUAAUGGAGGCAUGUGCUACACAGAUCGUACAUACUUUUGGCAAACUUUUGUAGAUGCUAAGAUUGUGCAUACAUUUGACAUAAGCAAUACAAUUUAUCGCUUCGACCCCAAAAAAGAAAAAAAGAUAAUGGAGGCAUGUCCCCGCUAUCAGGAAAACCAGCAGGCGUACUCAAGGCCAUCAUGAGCGUACAUGUAAUUCUUGAUUUUUACGAUGUACGAAAGCUCCAGCAUUUACAAAACAAAACUGUAAUUCUCACAACUCUUUUUCAAGCCAGUGGAGUUGCCACUGGCCAACCAGGUUUUCUAAAUGCGACAGACACGGGCACUGGAAGUGUUGUGAUUUGUUCCGCUGCCAAAGGUGCUACACUUUGGUGCCAAUUUGGUUAAGUCCAUUGCUGUCCAGCCACACGACGUCUGUGUCUCGCAGAUUAGCACUGUGAUAAUCCCGUUGACAAUUCCACCUUAAAACUCUCUUCCCCUCCUCCCAAUCGCAUUUGCCUGCACCUGUACCGGCACUAGCUCACCUCAGUCCCCUACUCCAGCACCGUCUCCCCCUCCGCUGAUGCCCCCGGCGAAGUCUCCCACCUCAUCCUCGACCAUAUCCCCAGCUAUACCUGCCCCAACAAGCCUCCCACCGCCUCCCCGCUGAUGCCGGGUCCUACUCCAGCUGCAGAUGCACCACUUGUAGAUGCUGCUCAUGGUGCAGGCACGAAUCUGCGGCUCAGCCAUGGGGCUAGCUUGACGAUUAUUUCAUUUGUUCUGUGGCUUGUUGCCACAAUUUGACAAGGGAUAGUUUAGCUAAACAGUUUGCAACUUUAGUUCUGCUCCAGUGUUUUGGGAUAAACUAGAAAUGGUUUUCAAAGUAGAAUUUGCAUUGGUUUAUACGAGAUCCAUCUAAAAUGUGAAAUCUCAUAAUUUGCAAGCUCCAAACCGCGCAGCAAAUCUUUCUGUACUAACCCGUUCUCGCAGAGAACUGCAACAUACUAGUUGACUUAAAAGCAGUUUGCAGAGAGUUAUUACGAGCUCAAGAAAGAAACUCUCACUCUGGAAAUUUUGGCCUGGAUGAUAAAUGGCACAGGAAAGCUUGUAUUAUAAACGCGGUCUUAACAACAAUCGUUUCCAAAUCAUUUCCUUUUUAGAACAAGAAAGAAAUUUAAACAGGUUGAACGAACAUAUAUAUUCACAUCCAGAGUAAAUCUAAAGGCACCGUGAACAUUCUUUGCCAAUCGAAAGCUAAUCAUCAUACUUGAGCUGCUUUAGGGGCAUUUAUAGGCUUACAAAGUCCAGCGGAUAAAUGUAAUUUGGUAUAAGAAUUCUGAGCUUCAAACAUCACAAGAAUUUAAUAUAAUACACUUGCAAAAGCACAGGAAAGCUGAAAACAAUGAGACGGGUACAAAAAAAAAAACAUAAAAAGCACUGGUAAUUAACUUCACAUAUAUUAAGUCAAGUCAUUAUGCUUUUCCCUAUUGCAGAAGCUAAUUGCUCAAUUCAAGAAACCUUAAUGCCAUAGGAUGCUUAGCUUCAGAUAGUUUAUCAGGUUUUAAGAUUUCAACAAUCUCACCACCGACAAGAAGGCAAACUACAUCAGCAAUCCUCUGGAUUUGUUUGAUACUGUGAGAGACCAUAACUAUAGUCAUCCCCUUUUCCUUCUUCAAUUUUACAAGAACAUCUUCUAUGUUCUGUGUUGAAAUUGGAUCCAAGGCACUAGUCGGCUCAUCAAGUAGUAAAACCUAAAUUGUAAAGGGAAACGCAAUGUUAAAUGUUGGAACUCCACAGACUCCAUAAAAAGAGAAUUUCCUAGACAUACAACUAUUGGAGUCCUGCAGUCGCAUAUGAAUCUUACCUCUGGCUCAUUAGCUAAGGUACGAGCAAGAGCGACUCUUUGAGCUUGACCAACAGAUAACUCUCCACCAGAUUUACUGAAGAAAGUAGAAUCCAGGUCUGCAAGAGUAAGCAACUUAUAAACCUCAUUGUCAGUCAGCUUCUUCCCCUUUAGCUGCGGCCCAUAUCUUAUAUUGUCAGCCACUGUGCCUGCACAAGUCCACAGUAGGUAACGAGAUCAAUCAGUCAAUCAAUCUAUUUAUCAUCAAACCACAUUAUGAUAUCAAAAAAUCUAUUUCUACAAAACUUAGAACAUGGUGUCUCACUAGUUCUCUUUGGCUGUUUUUUAGCCUAGAUACCCCAGGCUCAGAUGAUGGUUAUAUACUUAUAUCAAUCAGCUGCUUAGGCAAUGAAUGACACAGGGACCAUCCUUGACAUGUAAGCGGAUAUCACAAUUUGAUGAUUCAACCACAUAAAUCUAAUGAAGCACGACAGACAGUAGUAAUAGUAUCAAAAGUUCAUAGCCUUCAAUGGGGCAGAGUGACUUAGCAGGCAGUAGGGGAAAGACCUCUUUCAGAUUGUGACACUCCUCUAAGAUCCUUAUAACAAAAAAUACAGGAGAUGCAGAACAUCGUCUAUAUGCAUAUUCAGCUGCGAGGAAGGCAAAAAAAAAUCACAAUUUGGGAGAACGGAAUUAAGUACUAAUCUCAUUUCCUAGGAAGCAUAUCUACUCAAUAAACAGACAUUAGUUUGUUUGAUCAACAUAUCAACUCAAAUUUUUUUUUUUGAGUUGAUCAACAUAUCAACUCAAUUUCCAAGAUAAAGCAGUGCCUAUCUCUACACAAUCAGCUAGCUCAUGAAUUAGUGCUAUGAUUUGAAUUCACCUUCAAACAGAGCAGGAAGCUGGAAAAGCAUGCCAACUCUUCUACGAAGAGCAAGUACAUCGAGGUCACCAAUGUCUUGACCAUCCAAAAAAACAGUCUUGGAUGGAGGCUCCCAUAAUCUGUUGAGAGCCCUUAAAAAUGUAGACUUUCCACUGCCACUAGGCCCUAUGACUCCCAUGAUCACGCCUCUAGGAAUAUCAGCGUUGACUUUGUUCAGGAUUGGAACACUCUUGUCUGAAACUUUUGACAGUUCCCUUAUCUGAAUUUUAGCAUCUGAUGAUUCAUUCCCGCUUCCAUGUUCAUUCUCAUUCACAUCCACCACUAGCAAGCGUUGCUCAGCCUCAUCUAGCCCUAUAAGUCAAAAGGGUAAAAGAUUUUUGAUCAAGAAAUGAAAUUUAUGCUACUGAACAAAAUAAAAAUCAAUUCUUGAAAUCAAUUUUGGAAAAGAAGUUGUAUAGAUGUAUGAUGAUGUUCUGACCUGAGUAAGACCCCAUGGGAGUGUAGGAAGUUGAAGAAGAAGGCAAGGUUGAGAGGUGAAUUGCUGCAUCUUUGUUUUUAUAGGCAGGUGGAACUGCCUUCCCUAGUUCCACUUCUUGCAUAAUUGGACAAAGUCUCAGGAUUCUGACCACACGAAAUGAUUGUUUAAUCGAGGAAGAAGAAAAAGAAAUUGUUUUCCAGGAAGAGGAAAGGGAUGGUUUUGGGAGUAUCCUGCUGAAUAAUUCUGCAAUCCCCAAUAAACAAAUAGAGAAUUGGACAUGUAGCUCGUGACUCAAGUGAAUUGUACAAUUUAUGAUGCAAGUAAAAUAGUACUCAAAAAAAAUUUGUGUAUCCAAAAAGUAUGGGCUUGAGUUUUAGAACUCAACUGUUCAACGAGUAGAUUCUCUUGAUAUAUUGAACCUCUUGACCAUUCUUAGUUAAGAACCCGAGAUGUUUCGCAGUCCGGAAGGUAGGCUAGUUUAUAAAACACACAAGCCACAAAGUUGGCCUAAAAUCUAUCAAAUUGUCACUGGAACAAACAGGUAAAAAACUAGCAAUUAAAUAAAACAUGCUCCUGAUUAUUCAGUUCUAAAGUUUACCACAUAUAUUCCAUGUUCAUGUGGUGGACUUGUAUAGAUUUGGUGUUAUUGUUGCCUGGGGUUAUGAUCUGUGGUUUUUGGAACUCUUGUCAAAUGCAAAAAUGGAUUGAUAGUGACAAUAUAUUGUUGCACGACAAAGGGUACGGAUUUCUUUGGAUUUGGUUGUGGGAUCAAACCUGGAGGAGAAGAAACCUGUCUAGAUACUCAUGUCAGUCUUUCCGGGUAAAAGUUUCAUCAGCCAUUUCAUUUAUCCGGUGGAGGAACUACUCAGACUGAUUGCCAUGCCAAAACAAUCAUCAUAUAGGAGUAUUAUUUAUUCGACUCCACAUGUCGAGUUUCAUCUUGGUUCAUUUUGGCCGAGUAUUUUUAUCAAGAAUGUUUUACAAGCUCAACUUUUAAGGAGUACUACAUCCGACUAAGACAACUAGGAAAAGCUCCACAAAAAAAAAAAGAAAAAAAAAUGGAGGUUAUUUGGUCUCAUUGAAGCGCAAAGGGAGUAUGUUCCCAUAAGAAUAAACUAGCAUCCACUCGGUCAAAGUAUUGUUCUAAUAUUUUCUAUGGCAAAUUGGCAAGUUUGUUAGAAUUCCUUUUUUUUUUUGGAGAAGAAAUAGUAUCCAUAAAAUUGGUCUCCUUGUAUGCGAGUAUAGGACCUUAAUCGGGCAAAGCCAGCUUCAAGUCGAUUUUGCGACUAGGGUAUCAUUAAUCAAGUUACUCAAUUCAGACUCGCGAGUAGUUCAAUUAAAAAUUCGACUUGAACUCAACGUUGACCGAGUUCGAUUUACUUGAUAAGGUAGUGGAGUCGAUUUUGAGUAGAAAAAAUCAAUACUCAAGUACUCAUCGAACCUUAUCAAGUAGCGUAUUUAUGAUAUAAUUUUUAAUUAUUUAUUGUAAAAUUAUGAAAUUUAUUUUAUAAAAAAUCAAUAUUAAAACUUGUUUAAACUCGAUUGAGCUCGAACUCAAGGUCAACAUUGAAGAACUCAACAAGCUUGAACUCUAACAUUUUUAUUUGAGUAGAGUUCAAGUACUACUUAAAAUUCAACUCAACUCAGAUAACAAUUCUACCCAUACCACAAUCCACUUAAAAGGGACGGACUUCCCAUCAGUUCGAGUUAGGCUGAAGUCAGGUCUGGUAGUCAUUACAUAAUAAAGAUCUGAUAAAUCUAAAGCCAAUCUUUAGCCCCGAUUAAGGCAUCCAAUGGUUUGUUUCGUCCGUCCAUGUCAAAGUUUCAAGGGCAAAUUAUCCAAUUGGCCCUUAAACUAUUUGUUUAAGUAAAAUAAAGCCCCUCAUCUAUUUUUUGUUGACUUUAAGCCCUCGAACUUGUAAAAUUGGACACCCGUGACCCUUUUUGCCAGUUUCUCCGGUUUUGCAACCGGAAAGUGAAUUCACACGAAUGCCAGUAUGCUUUUAAGAAGGGCAUUUUUGUCAAAAGAUUCAAAACUCGCGUAAAAACUGAAAGAGAUAGCCAUCGGGUUGGAGAGGAGCGAGCAAAAGUUCCUGUGGGUGGUGCGCAGUCCGCCUUCUGAGGACAAAACCAGCCGCUUUCAAACUCCACCCGCCCCAGAUCUGGAUUUGUUGCUUCCUCACGGGUUUUUGGACCGGACAAAGGGUAGGGGUUUCGUGGUGAGUUCUUGGGCACCGCAGGUGAAUGUGUUGAAUCAUGGGUCGGUGGGUGGGUUUGUGACCCACUGUGGGUGGAAAUCAGUGUUGGAAGCAGUCUGUGCGGGUGUGCCUAUGGUGUGGUGGCCGCUUUAUGCUGAGCAGAAGCUGAAUAGGCUGUUCUUAGUUGAGGAGAUGAAGUUGGCCUUACCAAUGGAUGAAAGUACGGAAGGUGGGUUCGUGAAAGCGGCUAAAAUCGAGAAGCGAGUUAGGGGGUUGAUGGAUUCGGAGGAAGGAAAGGUGAUCAGGGAAACAGCCCAGGCAAAGAAGGAGGAAGCAAAGCAAGCCAUCGGCAUUUUUGGCAGUCUCGCCACCGCAGAGCGCUACAAAGCGAUUGUAGAUUGAGGUGUCUGCUUUGUAGGCGAGUUGCUGAUAGAGAAUGCUCUUGGUGAGGGCAAGGAAUGGGGAGUGGUGAGACUCAAAUGCCGGAGGCUGGUGGGUAUCGAUCAGGGUAGCAAGUAAAGGGUCAACAACACGGAGGUGGUGGAGAGCGGCAUUGAUUUCACCCUCGGCCGACAGGGGUUUGAUGAUCUAGGGCAGAACCCUAGCUGAUUGGACAGCACUACGCCUCCGAUUCUUGGGCAUAGAUGCCGUGGGUGUGGAAACUGUGGUGGAAGUAACAGCAGUGCUGGUCAAUGCGAAGGUGGAGGUGAUGGUAGUGGUGGUGGUAGAGGAGGAGGAAGCAGUGGUCGGAAUAGGUAUGGCAGAAGGGGAGAAGGAAGAAUCAGUAAUUUGUUGGGCUUUGGCCUCGGAAGUCUGCAAGGUGGGCAUGAAGGAGGAGUUAACGGCGGUGAGAACAACGGGGGUGGUGGCAAUGGUGGAAGUAGGGUUAGAUGACAGCUUUCGGAUUUUUUGAGGUCGAAUAGGUAUUUUGGAAGGAUUGGAGGGCUUCUGGGAAACGUCGGCAUUGAUGGUGUCCAUGGGGGAGGAGACGAAUGGGAGGGAGAGGGAGAGGUUGCGGGAGAGAGGAGAGGAGAGGGAGACGGCAUCGGUGGAGAAGUCAAUGAGGAGAGAGGAGAGAGGAGUUGUUCCUUUUUUGCUUGACAAAAAUGCCCUUCUUAAAAGCAUACUGGCAUUCGUGUGAAUUCACUUUCCGGUUGCAAAACCGGAGAAACUGGCAAAAAGGGUCACGGGUGUCCAAUUUUACAAGUUCGAGGGCUUAAAGUCAGCAAAAAAUAGAUGAGGGGCUUAUUUUUACUUAGACAAAGAGUUUAAGGGCCAAUUGGAUAAUUUGCCCAAGUUUCAAAAUGACAUGCUCUACGGAAGACAGCUUAAACUAGUUAAAUUUUAAAGCCUGAAGAAUUGCAAAUGUGAAGCUCAAGUCUGUGUUGGGUAAAACCUCAUAAGUACUCAAAAGUUUGGGCUGAGUUGUGGCCCAAUUCAGGAGCCUGAUUGGUCAGUUUUUGGGCCACAUUGCCAAUUGGCCUUACUAAAGAUCGGCUUGACAAGUCUACUGAUGUGGAAGCUGAUCUCCAAUAUUCUGCUGAAUCGUUCGUUCGUUGAUCUCGUGCAAUUUCACCAAUCCAUUUUGACAUUUUCCAGUUAUAAUCCUUUUUUUAAUCCAAAAUUAUUAAUUACUUCUUUCCAAUGAGGAAAAAUACUUGAGUAGACCCGAUCUAUGUAGAUCAUAGGUCCAAAUUUUAUCAUACCAUCUUACCAAUCCAAAAAUUGAAAAUACGAUAAAAUUUGGGUCACAUGCUCUACAAGAUCAAGUCUACUCAAGUUUUUGCCUUCUUGGUUAGACCGGCCAGACUGGCCUGGCCGGAAUGGGGAUUAAACCAAGGGUUCCAAUGUUUCUUUUAAUUCAUUAAAUGCGGAAAAAGGGCAUUAAAUAAAAAACCAAGUGCAAAAAAGGGCAUUAUAUCAAAAACCAAAGAAUGAAUAUUCAAAAGUAUAAUAUUAAUACUCUCAAAAUGUAAAUUGAUAUUUUCUAAUAAUGAGUGCAUGGUUGAGUGGCCGAUUAAUUUUCGAUUACAAUACUCAUACACUAUAGUAGGCCUAUAUGAUAAAAAAAGUAUCUAGUAACCUAACAUUUUAGACAUACUCUAACCUAGAAAAGGAAUAAAACUAUACUACGUUUUUCGAGUAUAAGUUUGCAAGUAAGCUAUAUGUUGUUGAGAAAAAGGCCUAAAACAAUACUAUAGGUUGUUGAGAAAAAAGCCUAUAUGUUGUUGAAAGUAACUUUCUUGCCUCCUCGAAAAAAAAAAUAAAAAUAAAGGGUGAGUUUCUUGCUGUUUAUACGCAAAGAAUGUAUAACUAUUGAGACCGAAAGGAUAUUGUACUUGAGAUUAAUAUAUAAGGUUUAUCGACUAAAUGAUUCAAUCAAUUACCUGAGCUACUGCUCAGAAAGCGAAAACUAAACGGAAACAUUACCCGAACUCGUUGAUAGCAGUUUCAACUGGUAAUCGAUGCUGGACGGAUCGAUAUACCAACAAUCAAGCCUUCAGGCAACUGGUGGAAUACAUCGCAUCAGCACUGGGAGCAUUAGCCAGCUUUAAACACAGCUCUAAUUCAACACCACAGCUCUAAUUCAACACCAAGGGGAAACCACUCCCUUCCUUCAAACAUUAUUUGCCUCAGAUAACUAGUAAUCAAGAACUUAGUAUACGGCAUAAAAGUUGGCUCCAACUAAAGGGUUCCAAAAAAAUCUAUGUUCUAAAGCAAAGAAGAAAAGCUUUUGAUGAUACAAAAGAUGGAUUUCUACAUCAGCAGAGGUUGUCUCCGUGUUCGGCUGGCGUAGCUUAAAGGAAGCUCCAUCCAAACAAGUUGUAGCACGGACUGCUUUAGAGUUUCUUGCAACCACAAAUUGUAUCUCCUCUCCUUCUGAAAGAGUCUCCUAUCCUUGGAAGUUCUAUUAUCUUGAGGAAUCAGUUUUUAGUGGCUCUAUGGAUCGUUUUCAUGUUUGGAAAUUUGGCUAGCUAGUUGCUACGAGCCUUACUUUUUGACUUUUGUUUUGCUUCUUUUUACUUCACAGAGUAACUUUAACGUGGCACAAGUUUAUGUACCACCAAUAUCGUCCAAAGUGCACAAGUAAGAUUGAUAAUCUUGAAUUGUCAAACUCUGAAGCGUGUUUUGAAGUCGAUGCAUUGAGACCGAGUAUCGACUUGAUCGAGUUCAGGGAUCAAUGGGUUCAAUCGGGUUCGAUCGGAGUUGAAUCGGAUGAUGUCAUAAAUAAAAAUUAUUUAAAAAUUAAAAUAUUAUAUAUAAAAUACCUAAUAACAUAUUAAUAUUAAUAAAGGUAUAUUAAUAUAUAUUUGAUGUUUCAAAUAUAUUUAACAAGAAAUUAGAACAAUCAAGUAGCAAUUUAUAUUAUUUAAUGAGCAUUAACAAGUUUAGAAUUAAAAUUAUGGACUUAAUGGAAAAAUAACACCAAACUUUAAGACAAUAUUUAUAAAGUAUGAAAUAUUUGAGAUAUACUAAUAAUUUUUAACAACUUAGGGGUCAAAACAUAAUAUUAAAAAUAUUUUGACCUUUCAAAAAAAAGUAAAAAGAAAAAAAAGAAACCCGGUUCUUUUUCCGGUUAAACCCGAUUUUUUAUGGAAUUUUUAAUUUUUCGAUUUUUAGAGUUAAUUCGGAUUGGACAUUUGGCCGGUUUUCGGUUCGAUCGAUCGGACCGGCCAGUCCAGUCCGAGUUUAAAAACAAAGGUUCUACCUACGGAAAAAAAGAAAGAAGUUGUCUUUGUUUGGAUUGAAGAAUUUGGUGAAACUCAAAUCGGUCUAUUUGUCAAAUAUCCCAUAAAUAAUCUAAAUAAUUAGAGGGAUUUGAGAGAAUCUUGAACCCAUUGUCAAAUCCCCCAAUCCAAAUAGAAAAUGUUGCGACUUAAGUAAUUUUUCACUGCCAUUACUGUUAUUGGUUUAUUUCUUUACUUAGUAAUGAACGCAAACAUUAAGCAUCAUAUUGACAUAGUGAUCCCCUGUAAUCUACAGCUUAAAAUUCAGAUCCGGGCCGGGGCUUCUAUUACACCAUCGGAAACCUUGGAGUGCCACUCAAUCAAGUCUCAACGUCCAAUGUAUCAGUUAGUUGAUUGGUAGUUUAUGCUGACGAUAGAGAGAUUUAUUCAGGUGAAGACAUUUUAUGGAAGAAUUGGCAUAAAAGCACGAAUAGAAAACACUCCUUUAUGGUUGUAACAUCAUAUAUUUCUAAGGAAUAAAAUGCACAUGUUAUUUCAACCAAAAUGAGCAAGUCAAUUAACAUACAAGUACAUCAAGAGGACAAAAAUAGAAAACAGCUUGAACUUUAAUUGAAAGGAAAUGACAGCUAGGUACCUUCAAUGGUGAAUGAACUACAAAUUUCUCCCAAAACUUUUGUUGGGGCCUUCCCUGAAUAAGUAUGUAGGAAAGAGGAGUCUGAGGUAGGAGAGAAAGGGAUUGUGAUCAUAUGACUGAUGGAGCAAUGUCUUUAAUUGUCUAUAGGAGUUUGAAGGUGAGAUUUGAAUGAGAAGAAAGCUCUUCACAAAUGCCAGACGAAAGUCCUAUUAAUAUGGGUCUACUAAACAAUUCCUGUUAUUUAAUUAGGAAUUUUAGACAGUAGGCAUCCAAUCUCCUUUUGUUUUACUGCUCUUGUCUGUAUUUGGUGGCUGCCACUUCUGUGAGCUAGCAAAUGAAAUUUAGAUUGUGUGCCAAAGUGCUCAAUGCCUUGCCCCCCUCCGCACCAUGUCAGCACUCCACUCUUAUUCGCUUUACAAAAAGGGUCCAAUUAAUGAGAAAGACUGAAUUUGUGGAAGGGAAGGUUGCGUUGAUGAGUUGAGUUAGUGGGCGAUAUCAAAAAAAAAACUUUCACUCUGUAUUGGUGAAUAAUUUGUAAAAAAUUCUGUAAGCAACCUAUAGACUAAAAUAUAUUCUAAUUUGUAAUAGUGAUCGGAAUCAUAUUCAUCCAAAUUUUUUCUCUUAACAAAAAGAGAGCAUCUCAUAGAAAAAGGAAAAAGUAAUUAUAUGUUUGGCCCACCUUCACUGUGCGUGUGUAGUCACAUUGCACAUGAGGACCAUGAUCCUAAAUUCCACAACAUUAUUGAACUUGGAACCAACAGCCCAAAGCUGUUGGCUAACGCCAAAGACUUGAAGUUUUAGUGAGGUGAGAGAUCAUAGGUUUAAAUCUUGUCUCCCAUCAUUUGCGUGUGAUUUCUUCAAAUCCAUACGGGUAUGUAGUACACCUAUCUUAUCUAAUGGUAGUUCAAUUCUUAUCGAUUCCCCACCAUUUGCGUGUGAUUUCUUCAAAUCCAUACGGGUAUGUAGUACAGCUAUCUUAUCUAAUGGUAGUUCAAUUCUUAUCGAUUCCCCUGUAGGUCCAGUUGGACCUUCAGAUGAUGGUUCAAUUCUCGUCGGUUCCCUGUAGGUCCAGUUCUCCUAGAUUAUUUUAGAGUAAGAAUAGGAGUAAGAAUAAUAGUAGAGUAGAUAAGUGACAAAUGACAAAAAACAAAUAUGAAUUUGGAACCUUAUAAAUUUUUUGAAAAGAAAAUAUUAGUAAAAAUAACUCUAAAUCAAGUAGUAGAGAUUUUUCCGUUUCUCUUUGAAAGCAAUAAGAUUAUACUCUCUUUUUUUUUUCUGAAACGAUAGGAAAAUAAGAUUAUACACAUUGUGAAAAUGAAAACUUAAAAUGGAGGAUAGGUGAAGUGUCCAGGGACUACAGCGUUGGCCUUUUUUUCUGUUUGUAAGUAAUGUAGCCUUGUUCUCAAAGAUUCUGUUUAUUGUUGAGCAUACAAACACUGCAAAGUUUUUUUUUUUUAAGGCCAAAUACUACAAAGUUUAUACAUUCUUUUAAUUACUUCCUCUAUUUACGUGUACGUCAACUUUUGGAAUUUUUUUUCCCAAUUAAUCGGAUGGAGAACAGAAAGGUCAAUUGUCUAGAGGACUAAAAUGUCAAAUUGCAGAACUUCAUGAGAAUAAACAUAUUAGCCCAUACCAUAGAGGAUCCGAAUGCAAAUUUUCGUAAUUUUCGUAUCGUCUCCAGUUAACGUGCGCUAUUCCAGACCAGAGUUGCAGAGUUGCUCUUGCAGCUAUUCCCCGAACGGCGUUGUUAGCUGAGAUACAAGAGAUAUCAUUACAUAUAUGUAUACUCCGCUGAUUCUUCAAGUUUCAGUUUAUAUCUAGAAACGGAAAAUGGCGAUCACAUUCGUCUCUUCUCGCGCCAAGACCACAAAAGAUAUACUCCAAUCGUUACUCAAGAAAGCCCAUUCCUUUAGACCCUUUUCAUCUUUCUGUGACAAGGACCCACCAUCCCCGGACCUUGUGAACGAGCUUUCUCGAAUUCUCAGCGACUACAGAAGCCCCCACCACGAUAUUCAAUCAGUCCUUCAUCCAUUUUCCUCCAAAAUGUCAACCAACUUAGUCGAACAAGUCCUUAAACGGUGUAAAAAUCUGAGCUUUUCAGCUCACAGGUUCUUCCUCUGGGCAAGGGAAUUACCGGGUUUUCAGCAUAGUAAAGAUAGCCAUCAUAUUUUAGUUGAUAUUUUAGGCAGUAGUAAACAGUUUCCAUUAACAUGGGAUUUUCUUGUCGAGAUGAGGGAUACUCGAAAAUUUGAGAUCAGCUCAGAAAUUUUCUGGAUUGUCUUCAGGGCUUAUAGUAGAGCUAAUUUGCCAGCUGAAGCUAUCAGGGCUUUUAAUAAAAUGCUUGAUUUUGGGAUUACCCCGACUGUUAAUGACCUUGAUCAGCUUAUUUAUCUGCUUUGCAAAAAAAAGCAUGUUAGACAUGCCCAGGAAUUUUUUGAUAAGGUUAAGGACGAUUUCACUCCAACUGCAAAAAGUUACAGUAUUUUAAUCAGAGGGUGGGGUGAGAUUGGGGAGUUGGGCAAUGCCAGCAAAUUGUUUGAUGAAUUGCUUGGUAGAGGAUCUGAAAUUGAUUUACUUGCUUAUAAUAGUAUUUUGGAGUCUUUGUGUAAGGGAGGGAAAGUGGAUGAGGCAUAUAAGUUGUUCAGUGAGCUGAGGUCGAAGGGAUUUGUGCCUGAUGCUUUUAGUUAUUCAAUCUUCAUUCAUGCUUUUGUUGAAGUAAAUGAUAUGCAUUCAGCUUUUAGAGUUCUGGAUAGGAUGAAAAGGUACAAUCUUGUGCCAAAUGUGUAUACUUAUAAUUGUAUUAUUAAGAAGCUUUGUAAGAAUAAUAAUGUGGAGGAAGCAUACCUACUUCUGGACGAAAUGGUAGAGAGGGGAGUGAUGCCAGACGUCUGGAGUUACAAUGCUAUUCUAGCUUUUCAUUGUGAUCACAAUGAAGUGAAUAGAGCACUUAAGCUGAUUUCAAGAAUGGAUGAUUAUGGGUGCCAGCUGGAUAGGCAUACCUACAAUAUGGUGCUAAAAAUGCUUAUCAGAGUGGGAAGACUGGAUAGAGUUCAAAAGGUUUGGGAGAGUAUGGAUCAGAGAGGAUUUUAUCCUCCAGUCUCAACUUAUGCUGUAAUGGUCCAUGGUCUAUGCAAGAAGAAACACAAUCUUCAGGAGGCAUGUAAAUAUUUUGAAAUGAUGGUUGAUGAAGGAUUACCACCUUAUACUGAAACCUGUAACUUGUUGAGAAACAAACUUAUUGGGUUAGGAAUUGCAGAGCAGACUGAGAUACUUGCAGAUAAGAUGGAGAAAAGUACUUCCUGUUCAAUACAGGAGCUAUCAAGUAUAAUGCGGGGUACGAAGGUACCACGCAAGGUUGAUGAUAAAAUGAGAUGUCGAGGUGAAUAUUCAGAUGAAAGUGAUGACUGGAGGAGAACAGAUGUUUCUAAUUAGGUAAAAGCCUUCUCUCUCUAUCUAAGAACAAGAGGCAACUCCUCGUCCUUCUGUACACCAUUUAAUAUCUGUUCUCAUGCUAGGCAAUCAUAUGUUGCCUAAUACCAACCACUAGGAUUUCACAAGUGAUAUAUCUUAGGCAUCUCAGUGGUGACUCAGAAAAGAAGCCACUAAAAUUGAUUCAUUGUAUGGUUGUAAUGUUGCUGACAAAGGUUAUGAACAACUAGUGAUCAAUUCCAGUUGGUUAGAGAGUUUAAUUUUACUUGAUUCUGAGCAUUUUGAAGCACCAAUUUAAUGUUAUUUCAUUUGAAAUGCAUUUUUUCUGUUCCAUUGUGCAGUAAUCCAGUAAUGUGCAUGUUAUCAUUUUUUUGUAUUUUGCAGCUAAAGCAGCAAGCUAUUUGUGCAACAUACUAGAUUAGUCUUCAUAGGCUUCUUAUAUCUUAAUUUGAAUUGUUCCCUGCAUUUCAGGCAUAUUGGACUGUUUCAUGAACAUCCUUUAGGACUAUGAAUGUGGUGGUGGCAAGGUUUCUUUCUUCAAUUUCUACAGUCAAUGUGUUUUUAUUUGCAAUGUCUAUUCCAAAGAUGUGACCUUAAGGUCUUGGGAAGUUUCUGAUGUAUAAUCUGACCUUCAUUUAUUAUAGGAAAACUAUUGCGCCUGUUUUCUUAAUUUUUUUUAAAUUUUGUCUUUAUUGAUGGCUUGUAGUAUCAACUUAUACGACACUGGAAAUAAUAAACCUUGUCCAGCAUGCAUAACAAACAAAUGAUUCCUUUGCUCUGCUUCGGUGCAAUUCAAGUUCGUCAGUUUACUGGAUUUGUAGGUUACUGCUUUGUUAAUGGUCAUUGGGGCUUAAUCUACUGUUUGUGCACAUAUAGGGGCUUCUGUAAAUAAUCAUGAAUCAAGAAAAGUCUAGUGGAAACUGGAAAAGCGAUCUAUCUGUAUGCAUUUUGGUUCUAUCUCCAAGAGUGACCAUUUGUUUUCCUUUCCUUUUUAAAUCCAUUUUUAUUUUCUUGUAUCUCUCUCAUUCUCACACUAGCAUGUGUUUGGACUCCAGUGCCAGAACGCAUGCCCUUCGAAGUCAAGCUGAAAGUGUUCCUAAUUUUCGGAUGAAAAAAAUUGGAGUGAAUUCAUGCUGCUGGUUUGGGAAGCUGAUUUUUUAAUAAAAUGAGUUUAAUUUUCUGUAUCAAUGGCCUUAAUUUUGGACUUUUUUUGAAACGGAGCCAGUUGGCUUAAUAUUAUGUCAAUAACUGCGACCGUCUGAAUAUAUAAAUUCUUAAGAGAUCAAUUUGUCCUUUUUUUACUCUUUAAUUUUGUGGUAACAUCUGUUGUUCCCUUUUCUGUUUAUUCUUGCUAGUUUAGUAUUUCUUUCAAAACUUUUCUACAAAUGUUAUCGAUAUAUGAACAGUAACAUCUUAAAAGGGUAAUGCAGUCUUGCAUGAUCUCCAGUGUGUAAUAUAAUUUUUCUGAAAUAUAUCCCCUUGGUGGGUUCAGUACUAAAAUCAUUUGAUAUUGAUCUAGGUGGAUUUGCAUAGUAUAAUGCUUGUCAUCAUAUAAGUAUACAGCCUAAGACUAGAAUCGGAAGAGAAUGGUCCUUGCUCUGUUGGAUUUCUUUGUACUCCUUAUUGAUUAUCAUUUGUUAUUGAUUUUUGAGUUUCAUUUUUUUCCAUUUUCCUUUUGAAGCUCAGAUAGAUGCCUUGAAUGCUAAGGCAGAAUACCUCAGUGGUGAUGGAUCUGAAUUUCAGAAGAUCCUUUGCCCGAAUCACUGGUAUGUGUUUCUUUCUCUAUCUGUAUCAUGCUAUCUUUUGAUUAUAGUUUCUUUAAUAAAGGAAAUUGCUGCAAUAGUGGACCUGUGCAUUCCAUUUUAUUUACCAUGUAACAACUUUCAGUUUGACAUUUUGUCAUGUUUUGUUUUAGUUGGUUUUGUUUCUUGCUUUUAUACGUUACUUUGAAGGGGGUUGGGAAAACGUGUAACUAGCUUUCCGGAUGGUUUGCUGCUUCGGAAAUGUUUCGGUGCAGUAAAUUGGGGUCACGGAGUUUUCGUGGACAAAAGGGGAUGUGGGGAUGGGAUGGUAAAUUGGUAUAUUGCUGUUUCUGUAUGCUUGUCCUGUUUGGUUUAGCUUGUCAGAGUUCUGGAAAAUCCUGGUUCUUGCUCAUUCACUAUGUGUCUAAUUUUUCUCUACCACUUCAUUAAUGAUUUUUAUGAAGCCUUAGGAGAACCUAUAAGGUAACUGCUCCAAGAUUUCAUGAGAUCUAUGUUGAUCCUUUCUUAAAAUCAUUAUGCAUGUUUCAUGAGAGAAGCCUUGAUGAUAGCAUUUACCUAUGUUCAUAGAAUAUUCAUUUGCUGGAUUCCUUUCCCCACAUCACUUUAAUUUUGAGGAAUCUCGCUUGUAAAUCUUUUUUCUUGCUGACAUCGCAAACAAAUCUUAUGAUCUGAAUCCUUCCAAUUUUAGACACUGUGUAUUGACUUGUGUGUUUUAAAAAGAUUGUCUCUUACCUUAUAGUAUGGGGGAUCCAGGAUAUGAGAGUGGAGGUGGGGGGAGGGCUAGGGUGGAGAAGAUGGAGAAACUUAUCAUGCAGGGGUAACUUUCUCUUUACUACAAACUUGUAGGGGGCCAAAUCUUAUUUCCCAUGCUCUCCUAGACAGAACAAUGGAAUUUUUUUAUUUCCUUUUUCUUUUUUGGGGUCGAUUUUGGGGAAGGAAUAUACCAACCUGUCCUCCUUACAUCAGCAAGUGUGCUGUAGCUUAGUUUUAUGCAUGUCACUGGUUUACAUUUUAAUUUUUUUUCUUGAUUUUAUUUUGGUUAUCUGGAUGCAGUUAAGGUUGGGUGGACCAUGGAAGCUUUUAGCUCAGAUUUCCUUUCUGUGUUGACGGGGAGAAAGAAUUUAAUGCGCCUAUACAUCAGCGUGUUGCCCAUCCCUUUUCCAAGCAGCUCAUCCAGUUAAAGAAAAGCUUCAAAGCUGCAAACUCCUGGUAGUUGGAGGAAAAGAUUUCAUUAUCAACCUCAUGGUCCUGAUGUUCUGUGUAUUAGGAGGAAAGAAGUCUGCUCUCUUAAAGUGAGAAAAGUAACAAAUGAAAACUGGAGUGUUAUGGUAAAUGCAGUCUUUUCAAAUUCAUUUACUUGCUUUUUCAGAAAACUUGUUAUAUGUUUGUACUGUUAUUAACCCUUUGUGACACUAGAGUCUGGUGUUUUUUCCUAGUCUUGAUUCUGUUCUUGCUUUUGUGAUGCUUCUCAUUGCAACCGCCAAGCUGUUGAUGGGGUUGGUGGCCUUUUUUCGGCUCCUUGAAAUGGAAACGAUAUUGUUGACGCACUUUGCAUUCCAGUUAAAGGAUUGUCAGAGGAGGUUACAUACUUCCCUAUAAUUACCACCUCUAUAAUUAAUUGUUUGUGUGCUUUGAAUGAAUUCCAUCCUGUUACCCAAAUUAACUUUAAGUUCAGCAUUAUCAGUAGUAUCUAUAAGAUAUGAUUGUUUUUCACAUCAUCAGGCAGAAUUUAAUGUAUAUUUUCUCGACAAUGAUUUUUUCCACAAAUUACAGCCAAGAGAAUGAGAAACCUUGGACAUCUGAGAUUAAUAUGCGAUGACUGAAUACUGUUGGGCAUGCGUGAUUUACUCUUCUGAUUACCCAGUGCCGCAGCUUUACCUCAAUUAACAGGAAAAUACAUUUUUGAGGAAUGCAUGUGGAACAAGGUUGCAUCUUGUAAGCAGUAAAGAUGUGGUAUUCCUUAAGCCUGUGAGACCAGAAGGAUGAAUUCUGUGAACUCUUCUCUUUUCCUUUUCUUCUUGUAAUGCAUUUUAAAAGCUGUCAUGAAAAGAUUUUGUUGUUUUCUUUAAGCAUACAUGAACCCAGACGUUCAGGUUCACCCCAAUCUGAAACAAUUUUGUCAAAUAUGAAGCCUAGACUGAGCUAUUGACAUUUGAUUGCCGGUUGGAAUUGUGUAUCUGAGAAAGAUUUGCUCGGAAGAGUCUUGAAUUCCUAUACCUGAGAACUGGACUACAUGAUCUCGCCUUCGCCAGUAAAGUGUUCUUUGCCUGUUUUAACCGUGAAGAACACUUUAAAAUGGUAAGUAGUGGAGGAGCCCAGUACCUCCUCCAUCUAACUUCUGUUGUUCUGCUGCAGGACAUGAAUCUCCCCUGCCUCACUCUUUGACAGGACGAGAUCGUCUUUGUCAAAACCGAAGACCUAUUGUUUCUUCUUUUUGGGUUACUCAAAACCAAAAAUUUCUUGAUAGUGAUUGGCUCUAUCCUUCGGUCUAUGGCUUCCUUUAUUCAGGAAUAAUUUCCUUUUCUUUUGAAAUAAAUGUUUGAUUUGUGACACUGCAAGGACUACUAUCACACCAUAUCUUUCUACUGGACAAGGAUUCCUCUUCAGCAUGUCACUCUUUAUCUUUCUACUCCACUUGGGCAUAUUCCUCCAAACUCCUGAUAUAGUGUCUGGUCAAGGGAGAAAACCUUUUAAUGACACUACUGCUAAGUUGGAAUAGACAAAGAAAGGAUCGAGAAUGGUCUGAUUGCCAAUCAAAGCAUCAAUCCAAGUCCUAGCUCAAAAAUUGCCCAAGUCAAGAGAUUUAGUGAACUUGUACAUAGCAAUGUUUUCAGAACCGGACCGGACCGGCCGGUUCGACCGGUUGGACCGCGAACCGGCCAUGUCAUCGGUCCGGUCUAAUGUUAAAGCCGGAAGUUCAUGGAGAACCGUUGAAACCUGGACGAAUCGGACGAACCGUGCGAACCGUUAAGAACCGUGAACCGGCGGUUUUUUAAAUUCUUCAACAAAAUAUCAAGAAUGGUGUAGCUAGACUGUACUUAAGUUUGUUGAGAAUUCUACUUGACUAAAAAAUAUAUUAAAACAUCAAGUUCUUCUCUUAUUUUUUUUUUCAAUUUUUUCUUCUUAACCAUUUUUAACCCAAAUAUCCACAACAAGAUUUUCUCAAGUCUUCACCAUUAUUAUCAGGUUAUUAUCUUUAGCAGAUUGUAAACAAGUUGAAAAUUUCAACUUUUCUUGUUUUCCAACAUUUUAGUAAGUUUAAUUUUUUUCUUUUCAAGGUUUUUUUCUAUAUUAUUAUCUUUAGUUGAUUUUUUGCAUUUUCUUCUUUUUCCCCUCAAUUUUCAUAUGUUUCCCUCAUUUUUGUUUUAUUUUUAUUCGAUUAAUUAAGGAUGAAAUUUUUGCAAAAGUAGUGCACAUCCGUGUAGGAAUUGGGUAGGAAUUACAAAUAAUAACAUUGGGUUGGUCAAAAAUAUGGUAGUUGGCACAUAAUCGAAGCUAUUGAUAAUUGAAUUUAAAAUAAUUAAUGGUAUAGGAUCAUUGAAUUUAAUAUAACAUGUUAAUUAGUAAUGUUUAGUAGCAAUUAAUUUUUUAUGAGUUAUUGUAUAUUUGUUUUUCAAAAAUUUUUAGUUUUUUUUAGUUUGAGCAAUUAGAUUUAUAUUUUUAUAAUAAAAUUUUAACUUUUUCAGCUUAAGUUGAUGAAAUUGUGAAGGUGGUGUGGUUGCUUAUCAUGCCACUGAUAAAAGUUUGCUAUUCAAAUAGUUUGUCUUAAUUUGAACUCUUUUAUGGAUUUUUUUAAGGGUUGUAAAAAAUUUCAAUAUUUAAUUUAUUUAUUUUUUGUGUUUUUAUUUGUGAUAAUUGGUGCACAUUUGGAUUGUAUCUAUUUAUGUUUAUAAUGAAUUUAUGAAAACUUGUAGUGAAUUAUGAUAUUUUAAUUAUAUUUAUCAUUCCAUGUUUUGUGUAUAACUUUUAGAAAAUUUAUUAUUAUCAUAACUUAAAUUAAGUUAUGUUGGUAAAGUUCAAGUGUAUAAUGAAACAUGCUUUAAAAAAAAAAAAAAAACAGUGAACCUUUGAACCGGUCGGUUGGACCGGUCGGACCGAUCGAACCGCGAACCGGCCACCUCUCCGGUUCACUGACCGGUCCGAGUUUAAAAACAUUGGUACAUAGUUGGCCAAUUCAAAGAUCAGUCAAAGAUGGUCCAAAUUAGCCAAACAUCUAAAGAUAGGGAAGAGUUAUACUGGUUGGUGUAUUUCUUUGUCCCCACUAAGUGAGCAGAAGCUGGUCAACCUAUUCUUAAUUGGUCAUCUUGAUAAAAUGUUGCAACCAAUAGAAAUUACUCAAUAGAUAAAAAGACACACUGUGAUGUGAAUUUUUGACAUCCCCCCACUCCCCCCCCCCCCAAAAAAAACCCAAUUAAAGAGAGAUUACAUGGUCAUGGUUCCUGUAGAAAAUUUUGAAACGAAAACAGGGAGAAAGUAGGGGGGCGGUGGACGAGGCCAUGUCAGGCAGCUAUAAGCCUUUCAUGCUUGCAUACUCCUAUUUGCAUGACAUCCCUUUUGUUCGACAAUUAUUCGUCCUUCGUAUUUGAUCUGUUUGCAAAUGAAUUGAGGUAGCUCCGUUCCUUCUUUGCAAAGAAGAAACUGGAAACUAGGAAACGUCCUAAUUCAACCAAUUUCUGUUCCAAACUUGCAUCAUGCAUCUAUCUUUAAGUCAGCCUGAGGAAGCUAACCCCACAUCAGAAAUUCAUGAAAAUUGAUCACAUACUGCUUAAAAAAUAGAAAAACACUUUAGAAAAGAAAAAGAAAAAAAAACAGGUUUUCAUGAAUCUUGAGUAGUCAAUAGAAGGGGGAAAAGCAGAUUUCUUGAUGUCAUGCUGAGAUUUCUGACUUUGUAGUACUCGCUACUCAUGAAUUCAGAGCAGCAUAGUGUUUAAAACUACUAAUAAGUAUUUCCUCUGCAUACUGGGGAAAUUUUUGCUUCAAUUAAAGAUUCAUUUCAACAAAAAUACUAAAACCUGUAAAUCAAUAGUUGUUGGAUGAGUUAGAUAGAGUAUCUUAAAACUUUCAUUCUUUUUCUUAUAUGACAUGAAAAACCUCACAAGGAUUGGUUCAUACCUCACAAGAAUGAUGGAAUGAAAUUUGUACUUGACUCUUUUUUUUUUGUUUUUUUUUGUACUUGGCUUGAUUAAUUAGUAUUUUGCAUUGACAAAUUCUCUCUUUUUGGUACUCAAUUUUCCCGGGCAAAAAUUAAAAUAAAAUAAUAUGUAUCCAUAAACUACAUAUCUCCUGACACGCACUUUGGGUGCAGAAAUAUAACUUCCAAUCAUUACUGAGCACGUCAGUAAAAGCUCUAGAUGCUGAUGCGAGUAGAAUACACGCGCCAAGACCACGUGUAGAGCAGAAGCUGCUAUAAAUUAAAAUUUCCCCAAAAAAAUAAGGAAAAAAACAUUAAUCUUUUCUAAUCAGACACAAUAACGAAAAAAGAGAGAAAAAGAAAGAAAGAAAGAAGAGAGAGAAAGUGAGUAUCGAAGAGAAGAGCGAUCAGAGAGAGAGAAGGGUAGAGGGGAAGGGUCUUCGAUUUCUGAUUCGAAAAUUAAAUAAAAAAAAAGAAAACAAAGUUCUGAAAUUUUUGAGGGAGAAUUGGAAUGCAAAUAAUUUUUUAGAGAGAGAAAGAGGAAGAAAUAAGAAGGAAAGAGAAAGAGCAAUGGAAGAAGAAGCAACCUGGGUUCCAACGAACAAGUAAUACUUCACAACUAUUACUUUUUUCCCAUUUUUGUUGAGACCCAGAAUUCAAAUCAGUAUUUGGAGCUUAAAUAAGGUGAGCCCAUAAAUUUUGUUGGCUUUACAUAGUCUAAUUUCUCUGAGUUUUUAAGCUUGAAUCUGUGUUGUGCUUUGGAAUUUCAUGAAAAAGAUUUGAACUUGAAUUGGGAAACUUCAAGGUUGAAUCUUUUGAUAAAAGGUGGCAUUUUCAGUUUAUCUUGUGGUUUUGUGGGAAUUAUUGGUAGUUUCUAGUUAAUUGGAAUUGGGAAUUAAAUUUGUGGGUUUUGCUUGAAGUUGGAGGGAGGCAUCUUCGGUGGGGGUUUUGAGUGGAAAAAAGGGAGGGUCUGUUUGGUUUUGAGUUGGGUGGAAUUGGAAUUUGAAAUAUUGCGGUAUUGGGUUUUUGGAGGGAGAGUUAGUUAAGUUGGGGGAAUUGGGAUCUCAGGAUGUCAACCCAAUCCCACCAAUUGUUGUACAAUUCAAAGUUUGGGUUUUGGAGGUGGGUUUUGGUUUGGCAUUGUUGGGUUUGCUUAUAGAGGGUUUAAAUCUUGUUUGGAAGAUGGGUUUUUGAUGUCGGAGUAAAACCCUAAUUUAGUAGUGUAAUUGGGGCGUCUCUGAUUCGCUGUUGUUUGGGAAUUGUAUGAUAUAGUAUACAGUUUCAUUGUUGUUGUUUAUGGAGUUUAAAUGUUGAGGGAAAUGCAUCCGCCACAGCAGCAUUCGCGGAUCAAUCUUGCUGAAUUGAAAGCUCAAAUAGUGAGGAAACUUGGGCCAGAGGGGUCCAAGCAGUACUUCUAUUAUUUGAAUAGGUUAUUGAGUUUGAAGAUUAGCAAGGUUGAGUUUAAUAAGCUUUGUGUAAGGAUUUUAGGCAGAGAAAACAUUCCCCUACAUAAUCAGUUCAUUCGCUCAAUCUUGAAGAAUGCUUGUAGUGCAAAAGUUCCGCCGCCAAGUCAUGACAUUGAUAUUGUGAAGUCCAUUACUGCAGUUGGGAGUAAAGAGACUCCCAAUGAUGGUUACCACCAAAAUGGGUCCCAUAGUGCUGCAGCGCAGGCUUCCAACCUGCAAGGUUUGCCAAAUGGUGACAUGCUACCUUUAUCACCACGAAAGGCCAGGACAGGGUCUCGUGAUCGGAGAGCUGGGGAUCGUCGCAGUGCUCUUGGGCCAAAUGGGAAGACAAACUUUUCUUCUCCGCAAAUAGUAAUUAAAGAUUCGGGUGAUUUUAGUGUUAUCUUGGAGAAUGGGAUCUCUCAUCCACCUGAUCUUCAAGGAUCAGUGCAGCAUCAUCAAGGACUUAUGCAGCAGGUAGAGAAUGUCCAGGAGGCUUCAGCUCUGCAUCCUGUUAAGCUUUCAGCAACAAAGGGGCCACAAGAUGGUCUAGUUUCUCUACAUAGCAAGGACCAGAAUGAAGCGUCAGACAGAGGAGCUGCAAAAGAGAUGCAUGCUAGGAGUCAGUUGCAAGCCCCGCUUGGAGUUCCACUUCUCCCAGUCAGUGUAGGUGGGGCACGCAGAGCAUUGCCCAUAGCAAGUAGCAGUAAAUUUGUUAGUACUUUGAAUUCUGGUGUCUUGUUGGACAACAUAAAUCUGAGAGAGCGCAUGGAGCAGAUUGCUGCAGCACAGGGCCUUGAAGGGGUCUCGACUGAUUGUGCUAAUUUGUUGAAUAAUGGUUUGGACGUUUAUUUGAAGGGAUUAAUUAGCUCUUGUGUCAAUCUUGUGGCGGCAAGAUCAGGACAUGAACCAAUAAGGAACAAGAAGCAUCAGGCACCUAUGAAGCUUGUUAAUGGUGUCAGGCCUGGUCAUCUUUAUCAGAUGCAGAAUAGCGGUAGGCCAUUAGAAGUCGUGCCUGAGCAUAGACCACAUUGCCCUAUUUCUUUGCAAGACUUUAGGGUUGCCAUGGAGCUGAAUCCGCAGCAGCUUGGUGAAGAUUGGCCCUUGUUGCUGGAGAGAAUUUGUACACAUGCAUUUGAAGAAUAAGUUGUGCACCUGGACUUCAUUAUCACCCAGCUAGACAAGGAUUGGUCGCUGCUGGGUCAAAGGUCAUUCUGUUCUUCAUGGCUUAAAGCACAUCAGUAAAGUGAUGGUUUUCCUUUCAUGGCCUUUUGAACCAGUCUACUGCUCGAGGUAAAACUGUCUCUUAAAAUGAUAGGGACCAGAGCAGGGAAUCCUUGUCUUAUCCUGCCAUGGGCUUGCCAUCGGCCAGAAAAUCCAAUUUUUCAGCAACCAGCGAAAAUGGAUCUGCAGAGGAAGUGCCCCAGAUUUGGUUGCACUGUUGUAUGAUUAGCAUAAAUCUCACUUCAUAUUUUCUGCUUUCUCCUGUAAUUUACAGUUAAUGAGAAAAUUUAGAACAGUUUUGCAGGAAUAAUGUGUAGUGUAGGUACAUUAGCAGAAAGGUGAAAGUGCGUCAUGCAAGAGUUCAUGUGUAUGUAUCUCCAACAUCAAGAUUGAUUGGAAUCUAAUUAACCAAAGUUUUCAAUUUUCACCGAAGUAUUUGUUUGAAUAGUAUUGUGUUACCUUAUUGAGAUAUAUAUCAGUUUUCAUUUGUCCAAAAGAACUACUUACCAACUGAAGCUUCUCUACCUUAAUGCUCGCAUCGUGGGGUGAUUUUAUUCUUUUGAAACUUAUAAGCAUGUUGUUGCAUGGUUCAUGACUGAGGAAGUUAAAUUGGUAUCAACUGGUUGACAUGGAUAAUGCAAUUGGCUAGCUUUAGCAUUGUGGAAAACUUGUCAAUCCUCUAUGUAAAUCUGUCAUGAAGAACUGUAAGCGCUCACUAGCACUUCUUAUUAUUAGCAUAUCCUGAGUUAUGCAAUUCUGAGUAGCCUUGACCAGUUAGCCUAGUUUGUCUGUACGCUAAAUGGGAUGGAGUUAUCAUUUUUUGGUGUUAUCCAUAUUUUUGGUCUUUGAAUUGUACCUUCUGGUUUUAGUUGCACUAGUCUUGAGCGUAAACUCUAGUAGUGAAGUGGAGUCUGUAUCUUAAUUCACCUAGUGUUCCUUACAGCAUGCUCUUGUUUGUUACUGGAUGUGUAUAAGUAUGAUAAAAUUCUGAAUAAUGAGUGGGAUGAUCAAGGAAUAUGUAACUCAUUCUUUGCAUCUUCCCAUUGCUGUUGUAUGUUCAAUUUUUCAACUAGACAGAAUGCUUGAUUCUGCCCUAUGGUCCCGGGUGGUGCAUGUAUAUGCUGUCAUUUCUGCCUUUUUCAGAUUGUUCCUUUUUGACUUCUAACGAAAAACACAACUGAGUGCAAGCUAUUACUUUUUUAUUUUUUAAUCUUUUGGGUGAUAUGUUUAUCCUAAAUUCAUGUUGACAGGAUUAGUCCAAAAUUUUAUGCAUGUCAAGUAUCUUGAAUGAUUUGGAACAUGAAGCAGAAGAGACUUAUAGUAAGGCACUACUAAGUGCUUCCAGCAACUGUAAAAUUUCUCCGUUUUCAUGCUUGUUCAAAUAAUCCCCUAUUUUUGUAUAAUGCUGAACAACUUUCAUAGCAGGAAGGAAAAAUCAAUUUUUUCAUUUAGAAAGGAAGGACAAUACAUGUUGCUUCUAGUUGUAAAUCUUAAGCAUUCUGAUCGAUCAGCUGAGAUAAGCUUUAUGCGCUGCUAUAGCAGGAAUUUUUUUUCCAUGAUUUUGUUUUGAGGUAUAUUUCCUGUUUAUCGUAUGAGUACAUUUUGGGCUCAGAUGUCUACAGAUUGCUGCCAGUCCUGCAGCAUUUUUUACGCAAGUGUAUUUGCAGCUCAGUUUACAUGGGCAAUUCUUGAUGCUUGGUAUAAAACAAGGCUUUAUAAAUUUAGAAUCUUAACAAGACUGUGAUGUGUGUGUUGCUGCUACUUUUAUCUUUUGCAUGUUUAUUGAUUGCAGCCAAAGUCUUGAAUAUAUGUGAGCCAGACAGAUUUUCUGCUCUGGGGGUCUUGAGAAGCUCUGCUAUCGGGAGAGCUGUGACAGUGUUCUGGCGUUAUUAUUACUGCACAGUCAGAAGAAACAGUAAUAGUGACAUCAUACAAUCUGGCUGAAGUAUGAAGCAUGCGUUAUAACUCCUACAAUCUGGCAAGCUAAUAUCAUACAAAUUGGCUCCACCAUUCCCCUUAAGGCUGAAAGCAGGCCCUUCGUUCAGCCAAGUCAUCUACAGCACAGCUCGAGUCAAUUUGUUGUAAUCUACUUGGCUUACGGAAACAGAAAGGCCAAACUCUAGUUCGUAAAAACUUGAUGUGGGUUUAGGAUAGCUAUGGAUAUUUCAGAUUGCUUCUUUCCCAAAUCUACUAUUGGUUGCUGGUAAGUUACCUGUAGUUGGGCAAAUAGUGGACUGCUGUUGAAAAAAGUUGCUUGGAUUUUGAAAUGAAAGUCGUGGUUUAGAAGUGUAUGUUUAACUCACCUAGAAGGCUAAUUGGCUGAAUUUCUUGAAUUCCUUAAAUAGUAAAUUUUCAUCUAAUAUAUUAGAAAACUUUUCUUCUUCUUCUUGGUUUUUUUUUUUUUUAAUUUUUUCCUUGUUUAUCUUUUGAGACAACAAGAUACUUCGAGCCUUCGAGGUAAAGAUAAACUGAAACAGAGUAAGCAAUUUCAGAUAUUGCAUAUAAAAUGGGAAGGCAGAAAAUUCUUUGUGCAUGUCCUGCCAUUCAUGAAGAAAAGGAUUAGGCUCUGAUUGCAGCUCUAUCUCGUGUCGGACAAAAUGACUGCAGGGAACAAUGUGCCCCAAUCAUUGCUUGGAGAGGUGCUGACGUUUUAUCCAGGCAUCUAAAUGUGGAGGAGAGGUAAUACUAUUUAUGGUUUUUCUAGGGUCUUUCUGGUGAUUGACUGGGGCCUUGGAUGACCUGCUGGUGUCUAUACUUUGGCGCCUGAGGUGUAACCAGAAAAAGGUAGUGGCCAAGGGUUCAUGAAGGAGGACAUUCUAGGAAAAUUGGAGUUCAUGGCGAGGCUACAUGACCUUUUCGGGAAGUACAAGGUCCCUGAUUGAUUGAUCAAGGAGCAUUAUAUGGGUUUUCUUGCUUAGGUCAGGUAGUUACCUAAUAGGCUAGUAUUUGGGUUCUUGAUGGGUCCAUGGCACAACUGUUAAACUCACUCUUUUUGUGCUGACAAUCCAGUCGUGAUGCUCCAGAGAGUGGCGACCGUUGUGCUGAUUAUAGAAGUGUGCUAGAAGGCAAUGACUGCAAGGAAAAUGGCGUGGUUUUGGUGGAUUUAGUUAUUUUCUAAGAACAAUCGCAGAGAGGAGGGUUCUCUUGUUCGAUGUAGCAGUUUUUGGUUGCAAGUAUUGUGUGGUCUGGUUGAUAUUCGCUAAGUUUGGUUGUUAGUAGCGAUCACUGUGACUAUUUUUUGGGAAGCUGGUUUGAGGAUGUAUUUGUGGCGGCAUGCUCUGGUUUGGAGCUGGCCGUGGUGGUGAGGUAAGAGGAGGUGGUUACUGGAUCCUGUUGGCUGGGUUUCCGAGGUGGCAAAAUGGAAUCUGGUACCUUAUCUGAGACGCGGGAUUGGGAUUUGAUGAAGUUAAAGCAGGAUAGUGCUUACAGAACUUUACCUUUCAGUAAUCAAAGAUAGGAUUUUGGGUGGUGUGGGGAAGGAGUGGUUUCUCUUUUCUGCAUCAUAUUCAUUGCUAUCAAACAAGUUGAAUAUGCUCGAGUUUGACUUCAGUAUCAUCCUUUGGAAGCCUGAAAACGAGGUGCAUGAUAUCCAUAUUUUGUCAGCCUAGGAAGCACAUGAUACCUGAAAUUUGAUAUUCUUUAACCUCUUUGUUGCUGGUGCAACUUAUGUAGACUAUAGGAUCUUUGCUGCAGGAAGAAACGACCAGCAACCGCCCACAUCUGGCAUCUUUAAGAUCCCAUAUCUUGCCAUUAAACAUUUUCCUGCCAGGUCAACUGCAAAAGAAAUUCUUGGAGUAAAACCUUCAUCUCAUCUCCUUGUGAAUCCCAUAGGGUUGAUACAAACUGGUGAUGGCACGUAUGGUUUGAAGUUUCCAUUGAUUGCCCUCAAACAGACAGAAGCCAAUCCGAUUGGAACCCUGAAGCUAGGAUGUAGAAUCCAUCGGCAGCUUAUGAAAGUUCUGCCAUAUAAGUUCAUUGCCGAGAUGAUACUUCUUGAAGAGCUACUUUUCUAACUUGGAUCACUCGAGAAAAUAACACCUAUCUCCUGCUUUUGUCUUUUAUGGCUCUUAAAAAUUAGUUUAUUUUCUGUAUAUAACUAACGACAUAUGUAUAAUUAAACCCUUCAGGUAUUGUGGUAACUUCUUUAACUGUAUAUUAUUUGACCCACAAUAUGAUUGUCUCAACGUGAACGCUCAACAAGUUCACAAAAUUAGGAAAAAUGAACUUAUUGGAAUUUCUUUUUGCUGUAAGAUGAUUGUGGAUCAUGACAAAACACAAUAAUAUUUACAUCUGACUUUUGUCAAUGUAACACACAUUCAUCUGACCUCUUAUGUGUUCAGGGAAGAGGGAUGAAAUACAUCAUAUAGGUAGAGUAUGAACAUGCUAUAAGCGGUGUGGUCUGAACCAUCCAUGAAAAACACUUUGCAGGCUGGAGGCUGGAGAAAUGAUGAUUCCAUCCAUGAAAAACACUGCUGUGGAAUGUCAUCAGGACUUUUUUUUUGCUUUAUUGGAGUAAAACUGGGCUGGCUCACUGAGCAGGAUUUGAGGCGAAGGACGAGGCAUGAUUAUGGUUGGACCAUAUGAAGAUCCUCCAGAAAUGACGGUGCUGCUUACGCUUAGCGUGGCGAGACAUCAACUCCGACUCGGUUCUCCUAAGCAUUUCCCACAUCACUUGGACGUCCUCGUAUCCACAAGUUUGUAUGUCAUCCCUGAGUUUCAAAAGUCCAGCACCUGACAGUAACAAAACCGAUAAGGGCCAUUUUAAUGUGUACAAGUCUGCAAGAAAUCUAAAUAACGUACUACUGUUCUUUCAUUUACCAAAACAAAAACAGCUGCAGAAAACUAUGCGGAUGAUGACGAUUUGUCUAGAUAACGAUGACAUAUGGUCGCUGGAAAAAAGGCGGCGGUGCAAUUUUAUAAAGCUGAAUGAGGAACCAGAUUCCUGAAAUGGGAGUAUGUAUGAACCACUAAGACCAGCCAACCAAAAAAAAAAAAAUUGGGUCGGGUAGUCAUUCUGCUUGUCAGUUCUCUGCACAGGAUGUACGCAGCAAAAUCUUAUUGGUUAUGAAAUCUUUUUGACCAUCACUUCAUACUCAUUAAAAAAAACAAGUAUCUCGCAGGUGGAUGAGGAUAUAUAUUUGUUUAAUACAACUUGAAAUCCAACAAAGCAGUCAUGCUCAAACAAAAGAAAGGUACAGAUGAGGCAAUGGCUGCUGGUGGAAAUAACCUAACCUAACCAACCUAAUGGCCAUAUGCAACCGUUAGUGGAAUCUUUAAAGAAAGAACAACUUUGAGAGGGUAAAAAACCAGAAACUGUACUACAGUAGUACUUUUUAAGAGCCUGGUUAGAACUCAGAACUGACGGACCUAAUUAACAUCAGCAGCAGUAGCAUCUAUUCUCUCUCUCUCAUCGCAAAUAAAGCAGUCUGAUCAGAAUUCUCGUACUAUAGUGGAAUUAGAUAAGCCAGUCUGAUCAAAAGAUGGUUCCAUUUUUCUGAUAAACAUUUUGUACUGUGACUUCCAAGACUAUGACUUAUCAGUAAUGGUACAAUUAUUAAGGAAAGGCAAUGAAUAGGGCGGACAAAUGUGGGGUCUUAACUCUCUGGUUUUAUCACUAAUAGCAGUAGUGGUGCUCUCUCUAAUAGUAUCCAAACUCACACGAGUCAUCAUCACCAAACCAAAGGGUCUGGCUUCUUCUACGAAUACAAUAUCUUGCAGCCUGGCUUCUAGAAAAUUUGCCUAGUGCUAGUAGCCAUCAACCCUGGAAUAUUCUAACUGAAGUUGAUAUCCAGAACCCUUCAAGGGGAGGGGGUAUAGAUGAACCCAUAAAAUUCUUUUUGAAACCAGGUGGCGAUUAUAUUUUGCCGGAGGCCUUAACAAGGGUCCAUAAUCCUACCAAUUAAGGCUAAAGUUAACACCUUAAAAUAUACAGUCCUACAAAAUAAAGCUCCCCUUAAAACUCAUUCUGAUAAACCUUCCCUCAUAGAAUAUUGGUGUUGCUACUCAGGAAAUUAACUAUUAGAGGAAUACUACUGACUCAAGUGUCAGCAUAGCAUCAUCCCUUUGUAUUGCAGAUCAUAUACCUGGCUACCAACGGCCAAGAUCUAAUAAGUAGUAUUAAUAAAGGUUAACUUUGCAGAGAAAAGCAUCAAAGGGCCUGUUAUUUGCGCCUCAAAUGGUAACAGAAAGAAAAUCACUAUGUAUAAUAGUCAUCUAUCACCCUUUUUAACAAGGACUCCAUCUCAAAGAGUAAGGUCAACUUGGAUAAAUUUCUCGAAGAGAAAAGAACCAAUUCCAAAAGACUAUUAGAAUAUUUUCUCGCUCAAAUUUAUCAGGAAACACAGAAAGGCCAAGCAUUUAUGCUUUGCUUCAACGCCAAUAAGAUGCUUUAUAGUAUUCUACAGUAGUUACCGUCAACAAAUCACUACAUUUAUUUCUUUUUUCUUUUGGUUCCGACAAACGCAACUCUUUUUACAGCUUAACAAAUCUAUAGAGUACAAUUCCAAGAGUUGUAUGCAACAAUCUGCUGUCACACGAUUAUUCCAAUAAAGUUAAAAACUAGGUAAGAGGUCAUUGUAAAUACAAAUUCCAGCCAAAGUACCAAGUGCCAAAAUUGUACGAUAAUAAUUCUAACAAAUGUAUUGCUACCUCUUUUGUGCUGACAUCUUUCCCCUUUUCUUACUUCGUUUGUGUUUUCCUCACCAAACCAAAGAAUAAUUCAUGGUAACUGGUAGGUUCAAAUUCCAUUUAUCAUCAUCAAACUAUGCAGGGUGGGAAUAAAAAAAAAAAUUUAAGGACUCUUUCCCCGGAAAUCUUCUCCAUGGUUUACUCAAUAACAUAACUCUAUAACUAAAAAACCCAACUCAUUAGCAUAGAAACAAAAAUAACUAAAUAAAUGAAUAUUGCUUCACAAAAUUUUAAACCAAAACAGAAGAAAAGAAAAGAAAGAACCGAGCAUCAACACAUCAAGUACUGUUUUCUCUGGAAACAGUACAUGAGUAGAAAACGAUUCUUUCUCCUCAUCUUCUGAGCAAAAAGAACUUUAUGGGCUUCUUUUUUUCCAGUGGCAAGCAGAAACAUCAAAAUUCACGUGGUAAAGUAGCAACACCACCACACACACUUCUGAACAGACGGGUGGAAGGAUUAUUGACGCUAACACUCACAAUUGAUAACGAUGGUUCAAGAACGAGGAAGAAAGACCACUAGCAUUUCCCUUCCCCUGCUCCCAUGCCCAGUUCUAAAGAUUCAGGUGGGAAAAAAUAGGAAAAGGAGCUAGAGGCAAAACCAAAAAAAAAUCAGAGAAAGAAAGAGAGAGCAAACCAUUUUUGCGAGCUUUGACGCGUGCAGAAACAGCAAUCCAAACUCUUCUUACAGGAAAAACCAUUUUAUGCCACCAAUCCAUCAUCUUUACCCUCAGUUUUCUCCUCUUCCUACUAGUGUUAUUACUCCUUCCUCCGAGUCGGCUGAAAAACACCCUUAACCCGGCCAGACCUAUGCCUUGUUCAAUUCUCUCUUCAAACUAUUAUGCAUCAACAGAAAUUCACUCUCAACCGAAGAAAGCAGAGAAAGAAAGAAAGAAGCUUUCGAGUACAAGUUUUUCUUUUUCUUUUUCUUUUUCUUUUUUGCGGGGGAGAGCUCUGUUGAAGGAGUAAUGGUCACUCUUGUGGCGUGUCGUGUGUGGAUUUUUGAAGUUGGGGGAGUGGGGAGUCAGUCAGUCAGUCCGUCUGUCCGUCCGUCUUGAGUUUAUGUUUUAACCGUUGCGUUGGUGAGGCCAACGGGCUCUGAGGUGUGGAGAUAAUUCAUAAUUCAUUCAUAUACUAAUUAGAUUGUCUUUUUUUUUUCAAAAUAAAUAUUAUUGGAAUCUUUUUUCACCGACACGUGACAGCAGCGGUGGGCUUUUUUAACUAUAACUAUCAACUUUUUCUUCUAUACGGUCUAAUUUGCAGCGCCAGUCCUUCCUUUUCACAAUCUUUUACUUUUGCCGUAAUUCACACGCAAAUACUUUAGUUCUACCUACUAUAUAGUAGUGCCAAAUUUAACACACGAGUCGGUGAACUUGUUAGACAGGCAAAUUUGCUAUUGGGCACUCAUUUCUCAAAUGUCAUUGAUUAUUAGUGUUGUAUAAAUGUAUUUUUUUUGAUAUUUAAAUAUUUGUCUAAUAGUUUAUUAGGACAUUUUUUUCAUCUUAAACGUCAUCUUUAUUCACUUUUUUGUUCCGAUUUAAUCCUUUACAAAUUUUCAGUGAAUUAAUCCCUUUAUCUCUCACUUAUUUGAGAUUAAGACGGACGCCUUUUGUGUCAUGAAGAAGUUUGUUUUUUCAUAUUGAUCUUUUGGCGCAAAAGGUUGGUCCAAAAUCGAAUUGCUACAUCUGGAUUGUGUCAUAAAUCAAGCUGCAUAAUUGUAAAUUUGUAGACCGAAAGAGUAAAAUUAAUUUGUAGAGGAUAAAGGAAGGACCAUUCAUGCAAUUCUUUCAAUAUUCAUAAAAAUAUAUGUUAGGACACGUGGUUAAUGCAGGACGAGGAGUUUUUUGUUUAUUCAGUUUUGGGUGGGGGGGCUUGGUUUACAAUUAUGGGUCUGCCCCUUUUCCCAUCAAUUUUGACUUUGAUGGAUCAUGGACGGGGAAACGUGUCAUGAAGUUAGUGGAUAAGAUUGAAAGUUAAGGAGACAAUUGGUCUGCCUGUCACUGGGGGCGGUUUGACUCUUGGAAAGUUUUUACCCCAAGAUUUGAGACGGCUCUCUGUCAUAAAUCAUAAUUGGCUUCCUUGCUAAAAAGCCUGAAAUGGAAACGGAUUAAUAGGGGAAACUGAUUUAUCUUGCGGUGUUUAAAGGCCUUGAUUGAUUGCUUGUUUCCGUCGAAAAAUAUUAUCAUUUUUCGUGAUCACAUUUCCCUAUCACCUUUUUCCCUCAUAUAUAUCAAAUCACUACAGUAAUUUUUCCAUAAAAAAUGACGGAAAAUGCAAUCCAAACACAACCUUAAGUUUGGAAUUCAUCAACAAAACCCGAGUUCGAGUUCUUCGUCUUCUUCUUCUUUUCUUUUUUGCCUACUCUACACUUUCUUUCUCAAAAGCACAUUAUUGUUUUUGUCUUGAGCAUUUCCUACCUUUUACUAACAUUUAGGUUGAUUACUCUAGUUUCAACAAUUUUUACAACAAUCGAAUUUCGGUUUCAGAUCAACCAGAUGAAAGAUUUUAAUACUUCGAACUAUGGAUUUGUGAAACAUUAAUUAUUUUAACUGGGGUUGUUUAGAUUUGAAAAUGCAUGAUGUUGUGCUUUUUCUUUGUCACGGAAAAUGAAAGAAAGAAAGAAGCAUUUAAAAUUUUCCAAAUGCUGCAGCAUUAUGAUUAUGUUUGUGGCUGGAUCUUUUAGCUUUUAGAACCUGUUUUAGUUUAAGUGCUAAAUGAGUACAAAGUUGCCCUGGAAAUUCAAUGUGCUGAGCAACGUUACACAAACACAUCUUCAAAGCUGGUUUAGGAGGGAAAAAGAGAAGAGAAAAACAUGUAGCAGGACUACCUACCUAUAGCCCUCCCCUAAUUGAGCUUCCAAAGAUAGCAGCAAAGCUGCAGGACUACCUACCUAAUCAUGAUUCAUGAAUUACGGAAUCACAACAAUAAUGUUAAUUAACGUGGUCUAGUUUGAUUAACCAUUAUAGAAAAUGUUGGCCUCUCCAAUUCCCAUAGACAUUGGUGAGUGUCGGUAGCCGUCUAGUCCACGCGGUUAACGUUAAUAAUCUGAGGGCCUUUUUUCAUUUUUUUUGGAUCAUGGGGAAUGAAAAAGAUUGCUCAUCUUACAUAUUGACUGACUCUCAAAACUCAUAUAUUCUCUUUGGUUUUGAACUUGAAGUUGAUGACAAUAAACUUCCAGCCAAUCAGACAAAGACAAACAUGCAUGAACCAUCUCUAAGGAUGAUCAUGGAAGGAUGGGUAGUUUUGUCAUAUGACCGGUGUUUGGAUAGCACAAAUAUCUCAAAUAAUAUUUCGCUUGAAUCAUAAACACAUUUCUCAACCACCUUUUUAUAUUUUCAAUUACCUUUCUAUCUCAUAGACAUCACAUCACAAAAAGUGUUACAGUAAUUAUUUCAAAUAAUAUUUCAAAUCUUGCUUUCAAUUGUUCAUUAAUCAUUUUCUUCUUUUUUGCUGUUUAGAUUUCUAAUUGAUAGUGUGUGAGCUUUGAGUCCAUUUCAUGGUCUUUGCAUGCAAAGAAAUAAACAAAGUCUUGAAGCAUAGCAUUUCAACUAUCUCCUCCAAUAUAUUUGUAUGGUUGCACAGGUGCCUCUCAGUGCUUAGCUAUUGUUACUCUUCAACUACCAUUAGAGGGGGAGUUAUGUUAGUGCAGAACAGCAUUGAUGUCAUUCUUGACUUGUAAACAUGCAUUAAUUGUAUAUGGGAUCCAAGUAUGCUUAGGGAAAUCUAAAGAAAGAUUCUCGCAGUGGCCUGUGAGCCCUGACCACCUUACCUUUCGCUUAGUGAUGGUUUAACAAUGAUCAUACGUGGAUAGGGUUGGGUUAGAUGAUAAGGGAAAAGGAAUUGUAAUCAGAAGGUUUUGAAUUCAAAAUCUCUCACUUACCCAAAAAAGAAAAAAAAAUCAUACGGGGAGGCUUGAAUGAUUUUGUAAACGAAUAAAACUCAUCAAUACUAGCAACUAUUCUUGAUUAGUCAUAUAAUACGAUCUUCUUGUGGUCUGUAAUAAUGAGAUUAGCACUUACAACCAUUUCUGUGAAAGCCCAAAGUAUCCUCCACUAAUGUUUCCUCUUUAACCCAUCGUACGAUUGCUGUAUUAUUAGUUUGUUAAUCCGUCGUAGUCAAUAUGUAUUUUUUGGUAAGAGGCCUGAUCUUUCAGUUAAUAUUUCAUGUUAUACGUGUUUUGAAGUUCUAAAGAAAUUUAGAGUGCUCUUGACCAUUACCAGUUUUCAAUUAAUUUUUCUCAAGGAAAUGUGAACACUCAAUAAUUCUUUAAUUUGCUGCUCAAGCAUGCCCUCCUCCCAAAGGGUCCCAAUGAUUUAAUAAGACAUCAAUUUAUGGGACCCAUCGAUGCAAUAAAUUAUUCAAAACAUACGCAAAAUUUUGAUUUUUUCAAGUCAUCAGUUUCUUCACUCUUUGACAAUUCUAGUCUGGUGGAGUCCAAUAAUAACAUCAAGACUGGACCAACCAGAUCGUAGAGCAUAAGCAUAGUUUAUUCAUAUGGGUGCUCAAUUAAAUCCUUCAACUUCAAUGGGCUAUGGCUAAUGGCUUUCGUUUUUGCUUCGUCAACUUCAACUAGCAAUUUUAGUGCCAGACAAUUCACCUUUUACAACCUUUUUUUGAGGUCACCAAACUUUCCUCACUUCUUGAUGGCCUGUCGAUCAAUGCAUCUUCGUUUCUAAAUGCUUAUGAAUCGAGCACAAAACUGUCUCUUAAAUAUAAAUGACGAUAGUAUGUGGUAUCACUGAAAACCCUUUAUGUGGUAUCGAGCACAAAAAUGUUUAGGUGGGAUCCCCUUUAAACAAGACAAGAAAACCCUGUUAAUUUUAAUUACAAUUUCCAAAUUCGACAGCCUAAGCAAGCUGAAUCUAAUCAAAUUUUAUUAUCAUAUAUAUGUGCUCUUAGAAAGCUUUUAGGAGGUUGAUUUCGAAUUGUAGGGUUCAAUCAUGAAACAAGACAUUGCGCUUAGACGUGAAUGGUAAUGAAAUUGAAAACUAUUGCUAAGUGGCCUUUGUUCCCACUUUCCAAGUGGUGGGCAAAGUCUUCUAAUAUUCCCCACCCUUUGUUUUUCUGUUCACAAAAGGUGCAUUGGAAACUUCAAUUUGUACGCUAGUUUGAUUAUCGAGUGUGCCGUGCCAUUCAUAGUAGUGUUUUUGUUUCUUCUGCUAAGUCAAAGGAUUCCAUGGCAUUGGCAGCCCACAUGAAAAAUAGAAGGGAAAAAAAAAUACUUACUCUCCAGUUUUCUCUCUUUCGGCACUAACUGAUAGACGGUCAGUUCAAUGUUUUGGCAAGCAACGACCAUGAUACUUGUUAAGGAGGUUGUGAUCUAGUGAAUAAAGUUAAAACUUCAGAAAUGAGAGAUCUUGAGUUCAAAUUCCCCUUUUUCUCUCUUUGUUUCUUAUAUUCCAUUCUUCGCAUUCUCAAAAAAAAGAGGAUGAAACUUUGUAUAACGUUUCGAUUAUCAUAUAAAACUAUAAAAAGCUUCCCGCUAUACAUCUUAAACUCAGCACACUCAGCAGUUCUUGUUGGAAUCAAGCUCAAAAUUAUUAGGCCUGCAUUUACCGUUGAAUGACAAUUGAAUCGCAGAGUGCAUAUCAUUUUCCUUAACUAAAGCGUAAGCUAUUUAGCUUAGGUAGAACAGGAAGUGAAAGCAACGGAUAAAGGCCAGUCUCCUUAGUCAAUGAUUUCAUGUCUAUUUCGGAGAAUAAUGUGCAUAUCAGGCUUCUCUUUCUUCCUCUGCUUUUCAGCUACCAUAUCGAAUAGACCUCUCUCUCGAUCGGUUAUCUCAAGUGGACGGGCAUAAGAUUCAAAUUGUCCGAAACCAGGCUUCAAGUUGGAAAAAUGAACACAGGAGUUAGCAUUAUUCAAGAAUAGAAUAUACGUAAUGAUUGAGAAUCUAUGUCCAUAUUUUUCGUUAUAUGGACUGAAUGUGGCGUUGUUAUUACCUUGCAUCAUAAAAGCGUAUCAACAGGUAGGGUAUUGCUUUGCAUUAUGCCUUCGAGGGAGAGACAGAGACCCCUCCUCCGACUUGGCUAUUUUAAAUAAGCAAACACUUAGAUGAAUCAGAACCACACUAGGUUGAUACCUACACUUUCCAGUGCUUAAUCGAAAUUCCACUGCUCAUAACGACGACAAAUGAGAAAUCUCAGUCGCAUUCGUGUAUCCAGUCGUCAUGAUCAGCUGUCAUCUAAUUGAUAGCCCACCUUUUCUUGAGUAUUGGAUAACGACGUUUGAUCUUCCAAUAGCAGUGCUCGUUCUUUCAAAAUCACCAUGGGUCUGUCAGGCUGUAAUUCAGUUAUUUUCUUAAUAGCAGUAAAUGUACAUGCAACUCCAUGGAGAGCACAAAACCGCCUGAUAACAACAUAUACAUAGAUGAACUGGGAACGAAAGCUGUGCUCUGGAAGGAUCAUGGGAUCAGGAAAUCAACUGAUCACCUAAAUCCAUGAGCUUGAUAAGAUUAACAAACAUUACAGAUACCCACUAUAACCAUGUUUUCUGCAAGGAUACUACGUUCCCUAACGAGAUGGGUACAAAGAAUGUUGCUGCAUUCACUGAGAUUCGUUUUUUUGAGAAACAAACACGUGUGCAUAAGCCUUUUGCCUUUAUGGUGCAACAGAAAGAACUUCAUGUACAAAAUUAUAUAGGGUAUCAUAAUCCAUUACUAUCUUCCGAGGGGAAUAUUUGUUCGUACCGGUUAGUCAUCAAUAUUCUUCAUGUAUUCCUUUGAAAGCUUUGUCUCCAUUAUCAGCCUUUGUUCUUUGACAAGAGAAUGCCCUGAUUCCAGUAAAGCUUCUAUGGUUUGCUUUUUGAGCAAGAACCCCAGAUAAUUUUAGCAGCUCAUUUUUUCAAGACAAAUAAAAAUUGAGAAACAAAAAAACUCAAGUACAAUUUUCUUCUUUUGUAAAAUUAUUUACCUUUGGCGGAGUAAAAACUGGAAGUUUUCCAUCCUUUUUUUGCUUCAAAAGUCUUUUGCCCAAGUUGUCGGCCCCUCCACCAUCCUCAACCCACUAUAACAAAAGAAGUUGAACUAAAUAUUUUAAAAUAUGUUGAAUCUGGGAAAGCAACGCAAAGAUGAAAAAGAUAUAGAGUCUCACAUAUAUCAGAGAAAAGAAUAUAAUAACAUUUGUAAGUUCAACAGGGACAGACAACUGGCUGUGACCUUGAGGAAGUCUUUUGCUAAGUGAAAAUGUUAGACGAUAUAAAAUUUCUCUGGAGUGUAGAGAUUCAAAAUGCAUCUCCCGUGGUAUUGAAGUAUAUUACUCAUUGGUGACUAGAUAGAUUAAGCAUUGCAAAGUUAUAUUGCAUAGAUGUCUGAAAGCACAUGCAUAGAUGGUUAUUCAUGCAAAGAAUAUGUCCCCUUGAGAAUUAACUUGUUCACUCAUAGUCAUUACUCAAAAGUGAGCCUAAGUGGAAGGGGUAUAAUACAUUGCAAGAUGCGGUCGCACCUGCAUACGUGAAGAGCUCAAGAUAGUUCUUAAAGAAUAUCAGGAGUUGUCAGCAACGUACAAAUACCAAAAAGACAUAAUUCAGUUGAAUAUUUUGCACCUUUAAGAUUGACCGGUCAUAUGUUCGAGAUCUCAAAGCUCCAUAAAAAUCCAAGGCUGCCAGUAGAUUUUGAAUAAGAUCAGCAAAAACAGAAAAACAAAGACAUCCUCCAGUUUGCAUAUUGCAGUUCAGUGUCAUAAUUGAGUAUGAUUAUGAAUGUCCAAUUUCUGAACAAAAGAAGUUUAACAUCACCAAAGAUAACACAUUUUCCUUAAAGGACUCAAAAGAAAUUCAUUAGUAGGUACACUUUUGGCCAACGCAAAUGCUGUUCUAAUCACAGUUAUUGCUCUGGAUCUUCUCAUAAACCAUCUAUCUAGUUUAUGCCAAACUUAAUUACGGUGCAGACACACUUCUAAUUCUAACUAGAACUUCUUUAAUUAAGGAAACAAGCAAAAAUUUGAAUUAGUUGUCAGAAGGUAAUAAUAAGAGAAUGUAUAGCAAUCCAAACUAAAUGUUCUUGGCACUAGAUAAGUUUUAUUCAUCAUAUAUGAAGAUUCAUAGCUACCUUGAUUAGGAAAUGAUUUCACUAUCUCUCCAACUUCAUCCCUUGACAUGCCAUCUUUCUCAUACAUCCUGUGAACAAUAUUCAGAAUAUCUUCAUGGGUGGGCUGCCUGUUCAUAAAAAUUGCAUCUGAGAAGGGAACUGGGAAAAAGCACACAACAUAUGAAAUAACAAAACUGAGUACUAACAUCUAGCUGUCACGUAGUAAUCACAAUAGCAUGUCAACAGUAAUUUUGCACUAGCAAAUAGCAACCUCAAAAGCAACCAAUUAUUAGUACAGAAUUUGAACUGCAAUAUUUGUUAAAGUUCCAAACAUGACAUCUGCUGCUCUACCAAUAAGCUAAUUCUGCUUGCUAUUUUUAUUGGUGAAGAACUAUUAAGAAACUCAUCUGUCAAUUCAAGUAAAUGACACCUAACUACCUCAUUUUCUGAGUUCAAGUUCAUCGAUUUGAGUAGCUUCUAAUCAUUUCAUGAUGGUUUUUGUUUCAGAAAGCGGAGGUACUUGACUGAAUUCUGAGCAACGCAACAAUCCUUAGGUCAAGUACUUAAAAGAGAUUAACCAUAGCUUCAACAUACAAAAUUUUUCAUUGGAUUUGAUUACUAAUUGUCUACCAUUAGAACAUAGAAACCAGUAUCUAAUAAACAAUAUAUUUUAUAAUCAAGGUUUUAUAAACUAGUCCAUCUUAUUUCAGUAAGACCUCAUAUGCUCAAGUAUAUUUGGAUGGAAUUACACGGCCUGCUAUGUUAAUACAGGUUUAACCAUCAUUCUUCUGUGAUAUCCUUGAAAUAUAUAUCAACAUGCCAAAUCAAAUGAAGCAAUCAUUUCUAAAAUGCAUAACGCAAAAUUUAAACUCGUAAGCAUUACAAGUACCAGUAAAAUUUUUCCAUCCUUCCAUCUCGAAUCAACGGCGCAUAUAUUGUUGAAAAAUCAUUUCCGGUAACAAUAAUAGGGAUCCUCUUUGUAACAUCUGAUUCUUUCCAGACUUGCCCAAUACUUACCUUCGUAGGGUUAUCAGACAAAUUCAUCAGUGUCCCAACAACAAUCUGAUUAUUGACAGUCAUUUGGGUAUUACCUUCAGAAGAUCACAAUAUAACAUGAUGAUCAAUGGAGGCAAUUUUAUAAACUCAAAAAGGUGGGUAAAAGAACACAAAGGCGUAUUGCAUAAGAAAGAUAAGGAGAAAGAGAAAAUGGAAAUAGAUUUGCUUAUCCAACUUAUAGAUUGGCUCACCAAAUCUUCCAAGACCAGCAUCAAUGUCAUUGAUAACCAAGCAACUCAUUUUCCCCUGCAUAUGCCAAAAUCCAAAUAAAACCAAAUUGAACUUUAUUUCUAAACCAAGUUGAGUGAAUUGAAAAAAAAAAAAAAAAACCUCUGACAGUAUUUUAUGAUUUUAAUAGGUGUGUUUUUCUAGCUGAUAAAGCUUCUAUAAGAUGGAAGAGAAGGUUUGCUGCUCUAAAUAUUUGGAUAAAGCAAGCAACAAAAAUACUCUUGAAUCAGCUCAAAUUCAAUGCCUUCAUAACGCUGAACAUUCCUUCCAUUAUAUCUAUCAACUUUUUCUCUGUUCAAGUGACUUGACAUCAGAUGAAAUAUUUCAACUCAUAUUAGUGAUCAUCCAAAUUUGUCUAUCUUUCCUUGCUCUCCUUUGCUAAUAUCUGUUUAAAUACUCAUUCAAUCAACAGCAGCACAAUAACCUUUUAAAGAAAUGCAUUUUGCUAGGAAGCAGAAGGGGAAGGCUACAUUCUGGAGGUCGAUUAAGAAGUAUAAAAUGGAGUAUGGCAACUAAUAAAUUCACAAUCCUAUAUAUACAUAUACCAGUAGUGAAAGUAAUAAAGCUUCUAACUUGGUUCUGAACCACUUGAGAAGCAGUUCUAUACCGUUCACGUAUCAAUUUUCCUGGUUCUCCUGUUCAAAAGGGAAAAUAAAUAAACAUUUUAGAUAUUAGAUGCACACAGUAUUACAUGGAACUGUCAGGAACCAUCUUACCAGCUCUUUCUGAUUCCAGUUCACCAGCAGACAUGAUAAUAGGUUCAACUCCCAUGGCCCGGAAAAUGAGUUCAGUUUGAAAUGACUUCCCUUGCCCUUUUCCACCCCAAAUGCCUAUAACGUUCAGAACAAAUAAAACACGAGCAGCACAAGGCAUGGUGCAGCGACAAUAUAAGUUUUUAAAUUGGUUAUUGGUAAAUCUUUAACUCAUAUCACAGAUUCUGAUACUGAGGUAACAAAGUACUAUAUACUUGCCUAGGAUGAGUGGUACUUUCGUAUUGAGCAGAUGAGCAAGGUAGUUCUUCGCGAUAUGGCACACUGUGCGGAUAAUAAGCCAGGUAUCAGGACAACGCAGGAAUACCAUUUAGGACUUAUGACCACAAGUGGAGAUAUAGAUGACUGUUUCCACUAGUUUUUUUUUUUUUAAGAAAAAAAGGAGGAGAGUACCAAAUUUUAUCACUCUCACUUCUCAAUGCAGCUAAAAUUCAGUUUUUUUUUUCUUUUUUACCAUUUGCGACGAAUUGCUGAACUUACCAACUUUAUCCUGCCACAGUGGGAAAAAAGAAUUAGUUCAAAAAUUAUGAUAAAUUAAACAACAUAGUUAGGACAAUUUUGCCAGAUAAAUUACGUCGAAGAAUACUAUAUUAACGUACCAUAAAGAGCGGCGCAAUGUAAUAAUCGCCUUGCAGAUAUUCAAACGACCUUGUAGCUUUCUGUCUGUAAUCGAACACAAUAUCAGCUGAAAUUCAAAUAAAAAUGAUCAUCAAAUUUCCCAGAUAUUUUCAGAACAACAAAAAAAAUAGACUAAAAUUCUUGAAGAACAACAAAAUGAAGCAAAUUACAAUCUUUCCCAAGGAAAUUGCCGGCGAAGAGGUCAUCGAUGAUGCCAGCUCUAGCUCCAACAGCAAUGUUCAUAUUAUCCGACUCUUUACCCAGCGUGUAAAGGUAAUCGUUGCCUUCCUCGUCUUUGGCUUCCCAAGAGGACUGUUUGGAUAAUCUUCGGUUAUUCAAUGAUCCGUUGGAAUUGGAGGAGUCUUGGAAGUUUUCGUCAUUCCCGGAAUUGAGUGAAGAACAGGCGAUUGCGGUUUGUUUGGUGGACAAUUUAGUUGCUGGAAUGAUUCGGGAAUCGAAGAGUGAGGAAGAAGAAGUUGGGAAUCGGAAAGAAAGAGAAGCGAGGCCGAGGGGGGAAAAUAGGUCGGAUUUGAAGAAGAGAGCCAUCGGAGACGUUUGCAGAUUGAGCUCCGACUAAUUCUGGCCUUUCAAAUUUCGCUAUUUAUAUCUGCAAAAUCCCAAAUUUGUGUUUACGCUAUUCUCAGUUGUACCUUUACGUUAUUUGGCGCCACAUGAAGGAAUGAUGAUGCCAUUGCCAUGUUCCUCCCCCCCUCAUCUUUACUUGAUUCUCAUAUGGCUCCCCCAAUCUUUUUGAAUAUAGUAAUUCUCAUCACUACACUUUUGGCCUUUUCAUUUUAGUCCAAGUUCUCGCAAAAACAAGUGGCCAUGUUUCUUCUAGUAAAUGAUACUAGUACUAUUUCAUUAUCGACGUACUUCUUACAUUGUUUGUUUGAUGACACAACCUUUUCCUUUUUCCUUUCAAGGGAUGAGCGUACAUUUCUCUUUCAUCCCCUGCGAGGACAGCACCAUAAUUAGAUCAUUGUUACCUCUUUCAUCCAGUCUCAGCUUUCGAAAUUCUGCACGCUCUAACCCCUGAUGCUUCGGAACCUAACACCGUGCACUGAAGAAUAGUGGGCAGAUGGGGCAUCAGGAUUGCGGAUUGCCUAAUGAUCCCUUCUUCAGUAUCAUUCACCAGCAUGGCCGAGCAAUUCUCAUACGGAGUAAAAUUUUUAAGAAUCAAGAAUAUUUCCCGCACUCCGAUAGAGCAAUAACUGUUUCAGGGAUUAUACCUCAAGCAAAAGCAGGUUCGAUGAUGUAGUUGCAGUCUGAAUUCAGAGAAGUUACAAUACAAAUAAUAUCUUCCAUUUUAGCGCGAGCAUGUCUGGCUUUACAAUGGAACGAAACAGUGAAAGCGGCUUCCAAAUUUGACCGUAUCACGUCUUUCUUUUCUUCCAUGCAGAUAUCACAAGAUGUAUUUGAUGAUUCACCAGCGACUUCUUUGGCUCCAGAUGAUCGCUUUUUCGAGUUGGGAUAUAAAUUUGAAGAUUACCUACGGAAUACUCCAGGGCCUCUUGCAAUUGUAGAUCUUCUGCCUGUUCAGCAUCUGGUGGAUAUGGAACUGUAAGUACUCCUUCCAUGAAUGUGGAGAAAGUACUUCAAUGAUUUGAGCCAGGAUCUGUUGAUAUUCUUUUCCCUGUUCAGGAGUAGAACGUACAAUUCUAAUGUAAGCAGAAAUUUACAUGUAAUUAUGAUUUUUCUCCAUGGAAAAUAUAUUCAGUUUAUCAGCUAUAUCCUUAUAUACAGUGCAGCAAACCAACAUGUACCACUAAAUCGUAUGGUGACAAUAUUCACGACCCUCAAAGGGUUGCUUUCGCUUGAUUACUUUAAGUUAUUAAUUAUGCUGAAAAGUAUGUUUUUCAUAUUUCAUUGAUCUAUUUAUACAAGUAACUAGGUUAAAUGGUCAGCCAUGUACAGCUGUAUAUAGUCUGUAAUUACAGACUAUAUACAGUUGUGUUCUUAGACUAAUUACAGCAGCUAUCUUAGACUAAUAGCUGUAUUCUUAGACUAAUUACAGCAGCUAUCUUAGACUAAUUAUAUAGCUGUAUUCUUAGACUAAUUACAGCUAAUUCCUACCAACUCUCCCCCUCAAGUUGGGGCAUAGAUAUCACAAAUGCCCAACUUGGAUAGAGAUGCAUUGAAUAAGCUACUAAUAACUGCAUGAGUCAUAAUAUCAGCCAACUGAUCUGAACUUCUUGUAUAGGGAAUUUCAAUUGUCCCGAAAUCAAGAUUAUCUUUGAUGUAGUUCCUAUCAAUUUCAACAUGCUUUGUCCGAUCAUGUUGAAUAGGAUUAUUUGCAAUCUUAAUGGCUGCCAUAUUAUCACAAAAUAAUACCAUAGAACCUUUUGGACUAAACCCAAUCUCCUUUAAGAGAAUUUUCAGCCAAGAGAGUUCUGUGAUAGCAUGAUGCAUAGCUCUAUAUUCAGCCUCUGCACUAGAUAAUGAAACCACGUUCUGUUUUUUACUUUUCCAAGACAUCAAGUUGCCUCCAACAAAAGCCAAAUAUCCAGAAGUUGAUUUUCUAUCCAACUUGCUACCAGCAAAAUCAGAGUCUGUAUAUCCAACCACAUCAAAAUGUUCGUGUUUGGAGAAUAAGACACCUUUUCCUGGAGCUGAUUUCAAGUAAGCCAAGAUUCGAUUAACAGCAUUCAUGUGUUGAUCACUUGGAUUGUGCAUAAACUGGCUAACAACACUGACUGCAUAUGCUAAAUCUGGCCUGGUAUAAGUUAAAUAGAUUAGUCUACCCAUGAUCCUUUGAUAUCUUUCCUUGUUUGUUGGAAUCUGAUCAGAAAAGAAGGCUAGGCCAUGAUUCACUUCAAUCGGAGUAUCUAUUGGCUCACAAGCAGACAUACCAGUUUCAGCUAGGAGUUCCAAUGUAUACUUCCUUUGGGAAAGGAAGAGUCCUUGCUUGGACCGUGAUACUUCAAUGCCAAGAAAAUAUUUAAGAGUCCCCAAAUCUUUAAUCUCAAAUUCUUUGGCUAAGUAACUUCGAAAGUUCUCAAUUUCUUCUUUGUUAUUACCUGUUACAAUCAUAUCAUCAACAUAGACAAGAAGCACGGUAAUAUCAUUGUAGUUACGUUUAUAGAACAGCGUGUGAUCUGCUGAAGCUUGCUUGAAUCCAAACUCCUCCAUGGCAUGACUCAAUCUUCCAAACCAUGCCCUUGGUGAUUGUUUUAAUCCAUACAAUGCCUUUUUCAGUCUGCACACCUUUCCUUCUUCUAGUGUAAACCCCUGAGAAGGAUCCAUGAAAACUUCCUCAGUCAACUCACCAUGAAGAAAGGCAUUCUUCACAUCAAAUUGUCGUAGAGUCCAGUCUAAAUUAACUGCAAGUGACAAUAUGACACGAACAGUGUUCAUCUUGGCAACCGGUGCAAAUGUCUCUUGAUAGUCAAUACCAUAGGUUUGAGUGUAGCCUUUUGCAACCAGUCUAGUUUUGUAUCUUUCAACUGUCCCAUCAGACUUGUAUUUGACACUGAAUACCCAUUUACACCCUACGGUCUUCUUUCUCAUUGGUAACUCAACCAUUUCCCAAGUAGAAUUCUUUUGGAAAGCCAUCAUUUCUUCUACCAUUGCAUCUUUCCACAUAGGAUCAUCAAGGGCUUCCUGAAAAUGACUAGGAACAUUUGCUCUUCAGUUGUCUUCUGUAUAUGUUCCUAGUCAUUUUCAGGAAGUCCUUGAUGAUCCUAAGUGAAAAGAUGCAAUGGUAGAAGAAAUGAUGGCUCUCCAAAAGAAUUCUAUUUGGGAAAUGGUUGAGUUACCAAUGGGAAAGAAGACCGUAGGGUGUAAAUGGGUAUUCAGUGUCAAAUACAAGUCUGAUGGGACAGUUGAAAGAUACAAAGCUAGACUGGUUGCAAAAGGCUACACUCAAACCUAUGGUAUUGACUAUCAAGAGACAUUUGCACCCUACGGUUUUCUUUCCCAUUGGUAACUCAACCAUUUUCCAAGUAGAAUUCUUUUGGAGAGCCAUCAUUUCUUCUACCAUUGCAUCUUUCCACUUAGGAUCAUCAAGGGCUUCCUGAAAAUGACUAGGAACAUAUAUACAGAAGACAACUGAAGAGCAAAUGUCAAGUUUGUCUUAGACAAACGGUGAUAGGAUAUAAAAUCAGAAAUUGGAUAGGAAACAUUGGAAGCUUUUGAAAAACCAAGCCUAUCAGGUUCUUUUCGUUCACGAAGAGGAUAUCUUCUAUUCUGAUCAAUAUUAGGAUAUGAGUCAAGACUUUCAGAAGAAGUACAUACCUUAGUGUCAAUCUUGGAAGAUUCAUUCGAUAGCAUGGUAGUAUCAUCAAGGGAGGUAUUAUCAUUAAGGGAGGUACAAGAACCAGGAGGCAUAACAGUGAUAUCUUUUGUUCUCCUAGAAUAUCCUUUCUCAAAGAAAUGAGCUGGUCUCUCACUAUUAGUUUCAAUUUUAUUUUCCUGACCAUCAUCUAAAACUAAGGAAUUCCCAUUUUCCUUUGCAUUCUCUAUACCUAAGAUCCAUAUCCUUUUUUCUCCUAGCCAUUAUUUUUCAUCUUCUCUACUUUUAAUCUCCCCCUGAAAAGGAACCGCAGACAUAUGUCCAGAAAAAUAAGACUCAUUUUCACAAAAUUGAACAUCCAUAGACACAUAGUAGGUUCUCGUAGGAGGAUGAAAACAUUUAUAUCCCUUUUGUGAAUUAGAAUAGCCAAGGAAAACCAAUGUUUUUAAACUCGGACCGGUCAGUGAACCGGAGAGGUGGCCGGUUCGCGGUUCGACCGGUCCGACCGGUCCAACCGGCCGGUUCAAAGGUUCACUGUUUUUUUUUUUUUUUUUAAUUUUUAGUGUUAAAUACUAAGCAGGUUUCAUUCUACACUUGAACUUUACCAACAUAACUUAAUUUAAGUUAUGAUAAUAAUAAAUUUUCUAAAAGUUAUACACAAAACAUGGAAUGAUAAAUAUAAUUAAAAUAUCAUAAUUCACUACAAGUUUUCAUAAAUUCAUUAUAAACAUAAAUAGAUACAAUCCAAAUGUGCACCAAUUAUCACAAAUAAAAACACAAAAAAUAAAUAAAUUAAAUAUUGAAAUUCUUUUACAACCCUUAAAAAAAUCCAUAAAAGAGUUCAAGUUAAGAUAAACUAUUUGAAUAGCAAACUUUUAUCAGUGGCAUGAUAAGCAACCACACCACCUUCACAAUUUCAUCAACUUAAGCUGAAAAAGUUAAAAUUUAUUAUAAAAAUAUAAAUCUAAUUGCUCAAACUAAAAAAAACUAAAAAUUUUUGAAAAACAAAUAUACAGUUAAACACAUAAAAAAUUAAUUGCUACUAAACAUUACUAAUUAACAUGUUAUAUUAAAUUCAAUGAUCCUAUACCAUUAAUUAUUUUAAAUUCAAUUAUCAAUAGCUUCGAUUAUGUGCCAACUACCAUAUUUUUUACCAACCCAAUGUUAUUAUUUGUAAUUCCUACCCAAUUCCUACACGGAUGUGCACUACUUUUGCAAAAAUUUCAUCAUUAAUUAAUCGAAUAAAAAUAAAACAAAAAUGAGGGAAACAUAUGAAAAUUGAGGGGAAAAUGCAAAAAACCAACUAAAGAUAAUAAUAUAGAAAAAAACCUUGAAAAGAAAAAAAUUAAACUUACUAAAAUGUUGGAAAACAAGAAAAGUUGAAAUUUUCAACUUGUUUACAAUCUGCUAAAGAUAAUAACUUGAUAAUAAUGGUGAAGACUUGAGAAAAUCUUGUUGUGGAUAUUUGGGUUAAAAAUGGUUAAGAAGAAAAAAUUGAAAAAAAAAAUAAGAGAAGAACUUGAUUUUUUAAUAUAUUUUUUAGUCAAGUAGAAUUCUCAACAAACUUAAGUACAGUCUAGCGGUAAGAUUGUCAUAUUUAAACUUGGAGACCCAGGUUCGAAUCUUAGCUACACCAUUCUUGAUAUUUUGUUGAAGAAUCUAAAAAACCGCCGGUUCACGGUUCUUAACGGUUCGCACGGUUCGUCCGGGUUUCAACGGUUCUCCAUGAACUUCCGGCUUUAGCAUUAGACCGGAUCGGCCGGUUCGACCGGUUGGACCGGUUCUGAAAACAUUGAGGAAAACACAUUUGAUAGUACGAGGAUCAAGUUUAUCUCUAUGAUGAGAAUGAACAUGAACAUAACAUACACAAUCAAAAACCUCAGCCCAAAAAUGUUUUGGAACAUGCAUAGUAAAACAUAAGGCUCGUGCUACUUCAAGAAAGUGACGAUUUUUCCGUUCUGCUGUGCCAUUCUGCUGGGGUGUGUAAAUACAAGUGAUUUGAUGAAGAAUGCCAUGUUGUAUCAUAAAAUCAGCAAGAGAUCGAUUCACAAAUUCACGACCAUUAUCGAAAUGAAAAACCUUAAUUCUAGUGUUGAAUUGAGUAAGAAUCAUGUUAUAAAACUAAGGAAUAAUAUGACAAACAUCACUCUUAGAUUUCAUCAAAUAUACCCAACUGACUCUAGUACAGUCAUCAAUAAAAGAUACAAAAUAUUUAUGUCCUGAAGUAGAAGUAGUUGAGAAAGGACCCCACACAUCAGUAUAAACACAUGAAAAAGGAGUGACACUUUUAUUAAAACUAACUUUGAAAGGAACACGAUGGUUUUUUGCAUAAACACAUUGUUCACAUCUUAAGCUAGAAGUUGAAAUAUUGAAAAAUAACUUAGGAAACAUAUGCUCUAAAUAAGAAAAAGAUGGAUGUCCUAGUCGACGAUGCCAAAGGAUUAUUCUUUCUAUGUCUGAUGUCCCACUUUUUGUUUGAAAACCUCGAGUAGAUAUUGUUAUGCUUCGAUUGUCUUCCCAGUAAUAUAAACCAUCCCUCUCCUUACCAAUGCCAAUCGUCAUCUUCGUAAGAUUGUCCUGAAAAACACAAUGAGUAGAGUGAAAAAUGACAGAACAGUUAAGAUGCUUUGUUAUUUUACUAAUGGAUAGGAGAUUAUUUGAGAGUUUAUGUGCAAGUAAAACAGAGGACAUAGAAAACUUUGGUGAAAGAGACACAUUUCCAGCGCCUAUGAUUGGCGUAAAAUUUCCAUUAGCAACCUGUACAGACUUCACAGGUGAAGAUGUAAGAGAGUCAAUGAUAGAAGAGUUACUAGUCAUGUGAUCAGUAGCCCCUGAAUCAAUAAUCCAAGUGCUAGGAUGAGCAGAAAUAUCGGACAAACCAAAAAUACCUUCUUGAGAAGAUGCUCGAGAGACAUGAGACACAGAAGAUGGAGUAGUGUCUAUGGCAGCAACAUUUUGAGCAACAGUAUUAUGAACCAAUUUUUUAUUUUUUCUCUCAGCUUGCUUAAGUUUAUACCAUUCUGGAUAGCCAUGCUUUUUCCAACAAACAUCAAUUGUAUGUGUAUUCUUAUUGCAGUAGGUGCAAAAUCGAGACUGAGAGGCUGUAGAAUUUCCAUUAAUGACAAUAGGAGUGCUCUUUUGAACAGUUAGAGCUGAAGCCUCAAAGUGUGAUUCUGCUCCCAUGGCAACUUGUCUUUGUAGUUCUCUACGAACCAUGGAGUAGACUUCUUCUAACCUUGGUAAAGGAGAAGUACCUAGAACACGGCUUCGAACUUGAUCUAACUUAUUAUCAAGCCCAGCAAGAAAAAUAUAAACUCGAUCUUCAGCAAUACGAUUUCUAUAUUUUUCUUUAUCAGCAGCACAUGUCAUGUCAUUGGGCCGUCGAUAAUCGAGCUCCAUAAAUGUUGAGUUUAAUUCGUUGUAGUAUUCUGCUAGAGGCCGACCAUCUUGUUGUAAAUGAAAAGUCUUCUUCAUUAGUUCAUAAACUUCAGAGGAAUCUGAUACAUCAAGGUAACUUCUUUUUACAGCAUCCCAAACUUCCUUUGUUGUGCCGCAUUGUACAAAGUGAGAUAUCAUAUUAUCACUCAUUGAAUUAAUAAGCCAAGAUUUGACGAGAGAAUCUUCAGCUUCCCAUUCAUCAUAACUUGAAUCAUCUACUGCUGGUGCAGCCUUUUUUCCAUUAAUAUAGCCCUUUUUUUUUCUUCCAGCAAUAUGCAUCUGCAAAAUUUUGGACCAAACUCGAUAAUUAAUGCCAUCCAAUUUAAUGUGGAUGGAAGAAGAAGCAUCUUGUAUGGUUAGAGUGGAGAGAUUCUUGCUGUUAGGAGAUUCAACAUCAGGUUUGGUUGACAUAUUGUGAUGUGAUUAGUGUUUUAGAGAAGAAAUUUCAGUACUGUGGGCUAUUGAAAGAAUGGCUGGAAUUUUCAGAGAAGAGGAGAGCAAGGAAAAAAACCCCAAUGCUCUGAUACCAAGUUAUUAAUUAUGCUGAAAAGUAUGUUUUUCAUAUUUCAUUGAUCUAUUUAUACAAGUAACUAGGUUAAAUGGUCAGCCAUGUACAGCUGUAUAUAGUCUGUAAUUACAGACUAUAUACAGCUGUGUUCUUAGACUAAUUACAACAGCUAUCUUAGACUAAUUAUAUAACUGUAUUCUUAGACUAAUUACAGCAGCUAUCUUAGACUAAUUAUAUAGCUGUAUUCUUAGACUAAUUACAGCUAAUUCCUACCAACUCUUUACCUGAUUUGAAACUUUGAUUUUGAAUUUCCUUUUAAAUAUUCUCGAUCGAUUUUGCAUCUAAAUUUUGAUUUUUGGAUAGAAUAAGAAGCUAAAAUAUAAAAUCUACCCAAUAGUUGCUAAUUGCUUGGUGAAAGGCGCCUUGGUCGCCAAUACAGUACUAAUCAAAAAUGACAAACACUACUGAAACUUCAUUGCUUUGGAAUACAGUUAUCAAGAGAUAGAUACAAUGGAUUCUAUCCAAAUUAGUUGGAGCUGAACCAGUCUUACUAACUAUGAGUAUGAUCCUAUCGUUCAUGCCUGGCAACGCCAGUGUCUUGCACUCCACUUUGAUCCACAUUUGUAGCAGAAUUCAAACUUGCACCUGCAUGCAACAGCACGCCAAACCAAACAAAAAAAAAAAGGGAGAGAGCGUGAAUGAUUAUUAAAGAAGGGUCUUGAAAUGAAGCAUCGAGAUCAGCAUAUGAGAUGUCACAAAUUCUAGUCUAACAAGCAUUCGUCAGUUGGGGACACUGAGUAUGGACUGGAAUUCUACAAUAUUAGUUAUUUUUGGAUCUUUCAGAUCAUCAGAUCAAGAAAGAAGGGAAGAAAAAUAUCACAUUAUAGACAUAUUGCACUAUAGUAGCAAAAGAAUCAGCUGACCUGCAAGUCAUAUGAAUACAUCCUGCAACCUUGUCAACAACAUAAUUGCAGUUGGGACAUUUGGUCCAUUUCUUCUCCUUAGUAAGGACGUGCACCUUCAGAUCAUCGCUGCCUCUUUCAUUCACUUUCAGCUUCUGGAAUUGUUUACAGUUGAAACCACCAUGCCAGGGGACAUAACAUCGUGCACAGAACAAUCGACGGCAUACUGGGCAUUCGGACUGUCUGAUCAUCUUUCCCUUCUUAUCGUCAUUCAGCAACAUGGCUGAGCAAUCCUUGAACGGACAAUAGAAUUUCUGUGAAUCGGGGAUUGUUGCCUCAUUCCAGGCCUUUUCCCAUCGAGCAAAAACAAUUUCAGGGAUUAUACCCCUGAGAGAAAAAGGUUGAAUGAUGUGGUCACAAGUUAAAGUCGGGCAAGUUAUCAUAUGAAUGUUUUCUUGGAUCUUUGCCUCGACGUGUGUCUGGAUACGCAAUCACAACAGAAACUGUGAGAACAGGUCUCAAAUUUGAACAUUUCGUGCCUUUCUUUUCGUUCCAUACAAAUCUCGCAGUAUACUGUUUGUGAUUCACCUGCAGCCUGUUUGGCUUUAAAUGAUGGACUUUUGUGGUGGGAUAUCUGAAGAUUGGCCAGAGAAGCCUGCAGGGCCUCUUCGACCUGUAAUUUUUCUGCAUAUUCAGCAUCUGAUACCUCUAACCUACUCUCCCCACUUCCUCCAACGAUUUCACGCAGAUAUUUUAGUACGCGUUCCAUCAAAGUUGACUACAUGUUCAUCAAGAAAAAAUAAAUCUUAAGUACGUUGAUUCGGUCUAAGUCUUAAACUUUAAGUAGAAGUUAACUACAAUAGGAUAUAUUGUUUGAUCGACAAGUAAUUGCUCAUCUUCUGCUUCCUAUUGGUAAACUUCAUUGAAUUUUAGAGAUGAAUCUUUUAAAAGCAGGUACAUAGAAUUGGUUGAACACUGCUGAAAUCCACACUUUAACAUGAACACCAGACCAGACUUCUUAAUCAUGGACGUAAUAUUGCAAUGGUAGUGGGGCCAAUGCUUCGUUUUUCUAUUUAUUCAUUUUAUAUAAAUUGGGUUGGGUUGAUUCUAUUGAAUUUAAUCGAGUUGUUUAGGACUUAUUACUCUUGACAAAGUCCUAGCCAUCUUAAAAAGAUGCUUUUAUAUUUGUAAAGAAAGGAAACAGCACUCUUUAACCGUUAAUUAUUUGUUCAAUGCGACUAAGGGAACCAUUUAAAAGCCUCCUGUUUGUUUGGAGUUGCAGUAGCUUUAUCUAAAAGCACUUCAAUGAACAGAACUUUCACCAGUAAAAGUACUUACUAAAUGCUUGAUAAAUCCUUAUUCAAGUAUACGCCCCAAACAAUUAUUAAAAUGUUUAGGACAUAUAUUUGAUUAAGUACAUUUUCUAUUUUCUAUUUGUAAUUUUAAAUGUCUAAAAAAUAUUUAUUUCUUCAUCUAGUUAAACAAAUUAUAAUAAAAUUGUUAAAGUUAAUUUUAUUUUUUUUUUCAAAACACAAAAAUUAUUCUAAAAGCACCGAUUUUGAAUUUUGUGCUAGAAUUGCUUUAAAUGUCCAAAACCUCUGCUCCUAAUUUUAUUUUAUUUUUUUUUUGUAAUUUCAAACGGCCCCUAAGUUAGUCUAAAAUCUACCUAGGUAUGAGAAGAACCACUUCAAUUUAUGUGGUAUUUGAAACCGGCAAAAUCAUAGAGUUUCAGAUCACAAUGCAUAUAAAGCUAACAAAAUUCUUGGUGAAAUGUAUGAAAAAAAAUAACACGGAAAGUCUAUCUUGGAAGUUGAAGUUUCAAGAUCACAAUGCAUAUAACGCCAACAAAAAUUCUUGGUGAAUUACAUGGAGAGUCUAUCUUGGAAGUUAGAAGUGUUAAAAGACAUAAGAGCAAGGUUGUUAGCUAGUGUAGACUUAUAAAUACCUUAUAUGACCAACGUAUUACAUCCUUCCCUGAUAUGCUGACAUUAAGCGCCCCAAACCCUAAAUGUAGCAUCUAUCCUGGUUCCAAAGUUUCCAGCUCCAAGGCCCCCACAAGUCUGUAUCGACAACUCCGCUUCCAUAGCUUGGAGCCCAUCUUCCCAACUUUCUUAACUCUAUUGUAUGUCUUUCCUCACUUUUUAAACUUUUUUUUUUAUGGGUGUAAGUGAGAGGUUUUGAAACUCCUCCCUCUCUCGAUGCCGUUCAAUCCAUUCCUCCCCUCCAAAACGUUAUCCCUAAUUUUAUUUUAUAUUAUGUUGUUUUAAUCAAUAUACGUGAAAAACACAUAUCCAUCAUUCAGAGUGGUGAUAAAGAUUAGGAGCUAUGGUGUUUAUAGAGUUUAGAUUCCUUCACAUCAUGAGUCUCAAAUUAAAAACAAAUUCAAUCUAUUUAAGUCUAAUCUAGUGAUAAAAUAAACCCGAGUAACUAUUAUACAAUGAAAAAUUAUCAUGCGACGAAUCUAUUUCUUUGAGAUUUCGUAACUAUUAAUACAUAUAAUCUACUUACGUGAUUAUUUGUGCCUUUAACUUAGUGAUAAAAUAUACAUCAAUUAAUAUAUUAGAGCACUAUAUGUGGUCAUCAGGUCACACAAACUUCAACUCACUGACUUGGAACACUAAAUGAACAUAGAAGCGGGACAGUAAUUUAACAACCGACUUCCUGUCAAAAAGAAAAAACAGGAAAAAAAGAACUUAAAAACAACUAUUGCUGGUCUAAAUGUCAAAUGAAUCCGGUUCAAUCUUCAAAUUAAGCUCCUUAGACCCAUUUAAAAGCAUAAAAAAGAGUUUGGUCAUUAGCGUUUGAUAAAUGAUAGAUACUCCAAACAAAACUGAAUGCUGUAAUUGAUACUCCAAGUCUUGGGUGUUUGGAUUGAGAAGAUUUGAAACAAAAUAAUGUGUUUCACAAAUUCCAAUCACCUUUUUAUCUUCCUAAUCACCUUUUUAUCUCACAUACAUCACAUCACAAAAAUUGCUACAGUAAUUAUCUCAAAUAAAUCAUCCAAAUAAACUCCUAUCCAAAUAAGAAUGUGUUUGGAUAACCAAAUUUUUUUAAAUAAUAUUUCACUUACAUCAUAAACAUGUUUCUCAACCCAUUUUUUUAUAUUCGCAACCGUUUUUUCAGGCAGCGUACAUUCUUUACUUGCGCACUUCUACUAUAGUUGUCCAUUCGCUAGAGUCUCAAAUUUUGAGUUGAUAGUACGAUAGAUGCUUCCCCAUAAUCAAUGGUCUUCAGACAAACUAAAUUGAAACUUUACAUAUGAUUUGUGCUGAGGUGCAGAAAUUAUAUUUGCUAACAACCACCGUGAGCUGAACUCCAAGGUUCUCCGCAAGUAUAGCAGAAUUGAAAUCCACACCUGCAUCACCACUCAUAAAGAAGACAUUUUUCAACUUCCCAUCUGUUUCUGUUCAGGUAAUUGAAUGUAGGAUUUGUUUGAAUCAUCCAGGAUCCUCGAAUGCAUAGACAGAUAAAGAUAAAGAAAUGGAUAAUCUUGAUUCAGGGUACCAUGUUUGUUUGGACUGAAAAUCUUUUCCAGAAAAUAUUUUCUUCAAUUUCUGGUGGUUAGCUGCAAAGAGGUCAGGAAAAUUUUUUUCCGGUAGAAAAUCUUUUACAUAACUUGGUGUAAAAUGACUUCCGGAAUUAAGAUACGGAAGUUAGUUUCUCCCGACAACUAUCUAUCGCAACUAUCUAUUGUACAAAACCAUCAAGUAAUAUACCACAGAGAUCAAAUCAAGAGCAACGUCCCUGCACUUGCUUCUGCAAAUCCCACAACUUUCCACCUCUUCGAGCUCUCCUCUUUCCUAUGUUCUUCCCUACCAUCCCUUUACUCUUGCGCCACACAAACACAUUUAUGGAUUAUACAAUUCCAGAUCUAGAUUGGGCUUUGCAUUGAGAAGUUUUGGAGAAGAAAAAAAUUUCUGGUUUUAGUUUUCUAAAAAUUCCCGAGGCCUUCAAUGGCCCAUUAUUACUCUCUAUUGCUCCUCUUUCCUGUGCCUACAACAUAUACGUUUUCCUGGAUUGUCGUGUUGAACAAUGCUCUGUGAUUAGGCUAGGCUGUGAUAAUCAAGGGAUCACCCAUUCUAGUCAUAGAAGGAGGAAACCACAACAAGAUUCUAGAAACAAAAAAAGAAGGAACAAAAAAGUAAUGGUACAAUCACCAUUCACAAAAACAGGAGUGACGAGCACUAGAAAGUAGAAACUGACCUGCAAGUCAUGUGUAUGCAGCCCUGAUUUCUUUCGACGUAGUAUUUGCAUCUAGGACAUCUGUUCCAACUUUUCGCCUUGGCAAGCUCCCUCAGCAUAAGAUCUUCCCUCCCUCUUUCAUCCUCAUUCAUCCUGUGGAACUCUUCACAAUCAACCCCAGGAUGCCACGGCACAUAACAUUGAGCACAAAACAAUCUCCGACAAAUAGGACACUCGGAUUCCCUAAUAACUUCAUCGCUAUCUCUCACCAACAUCGCUGAACAAUCCUUAAAAGGACAAUAAAACUUCUGAGAUGCAUCAACCAAUGCAUCACAAAGCAUCUCAUCCCACUUUUCCAAUACAUCUUUAGGCAUAAAAGACCUACAAGAAUCAAACUCAAUCGCACUUCCACAAUUCACAGCAGGGCACCUGAUACCGUGUACAUUGUACUCAAGUCUGGCUGCAACAUGUUUGCUAAUGCAUUCGUUACAGAACACGUGGCCGCAACUUUGAAUCGUGAACAUCUGAUCUCUUUCUUUUCUAUCCACACAAAUUUCACAAAAAAUCAGUGAAGAUUCGCCCGAUUCUGCUGUCAUCGCUUCCUCUGCCUGUUCUACUUUAAAACUGAAUGAUGAUGAUGAUGUAGCAACAUUAGCAGCAAUAUUAAGUGUAGAAUAACCCUGAGACGGUUCUGGGAGCAUCGAAGCCACUAGAGCUUCUUGCAACUGCAAUCCUUGAGCACACCUCACAUCUGAUACGGGAAAAAUCUGAUCACCUUCCGCAUCUAAUUCAUCCGCCUCACAGAAAAGUGGAGACAAGUGAAAAUCAUUACAGGAGAGAUCCAAUAAUGCUGGUUCUUGAGCCAUAAGGCAUAAGAAACAAGGGAAUUUUUGUCUAUGAAGGAAGUAGGAUGAAGUAGACUACUAGAAAAUGUGGGUGUUGCAUAGGAAAUGAGUAAUAUGUAGAUUCUUCAGAUGGCUUAACUUGGAAUGACUCCUUCUAGCAAAUUAACAGAUUCUUUAGAUGGCUUAACCUGGAAUAACUUGGGAUAACUUGGAAGGAGCCUAGCAAAUUAACAGAUUCUUUAGAUGGCUUAACUUGGAAUAACUUGGAAGGAGCCUAGCAAAUUAUUUCAGAUGGCUUACCUUGGAAGGAGCCUUCUCUUAUUGGAAUUCCUGGAGUUUGUUUGUGCCUCUUGUCUUUUCGGUGUCUCUGUCUUCAACGUUUUGACUUCAAGUCAAGCCAAUUUAAAAAAGACGUUCCGUACAAUUACAAUUGGAUUAUUUCCUGCAAUUUGUUAUCAAAUCGAGCGUAUAAGUUCAAGUAACCGCAAUACUUUCGGCUUUAUCAAAAGGGAUAAUUUCAGAAACCGUAUAAGGGAGGUUUCUGAUAAUUGCAGAGAUCUCCACUCAAGUUUAUUAAAUUACACCUACCUCCCUUGCUUUUACUAUAUAUAUAAUAAUAUAGACCGAGAAGGCUAUAUUUUUUCUUAAAAAUCCUAAACUACCCUUUUUUGUACAAAAAUAAAACAAAAAUUAUUUUGCCAAUUGUUUUUUUUCAUAUUUCAACUAAAACCACUAUACUAACAAAAUAGUCUAACAAAUAGUGUAAUUUCAAAUUCUAAACCCAAACAAUUCCAUCAUCAUAUUCAUAAAAUUGUUUCUCCCAAAACAUGCAUUCAAUUCUGAAGAUUUGUUCCAUUUUUCAAAAAUAUUCUCACCAUAUGGUUCCAUGUGGUCAAACUGCAAAUCAAUUGUUAUUGUGUUUGCAUAAUCUUCAACAUAGGAUACCAUGGUUUGGUUCCAUAUAAGUGGUUUAACUCCAACUACAUGAACCACGUAAUGGCCUUGGAAACAAUCCUUAUGGGAGAUUUAGGCAUGGAUGGGAUUAAUCAAAUUUUUUUUAAAAAAAUGCAUCAUUAUGACUAUAGAGAUCUCCAAGAAAUUCAUUUUGCCAAAAAUCAAAAUUUAUUUAUAACUAAUCACACCCCAAACUUCAAACCCAAUGCCUACAUCUACUUAAAACAAAAUAAUCUAACCUACCAUUAAAUCUCCAAACAUGCUAACGGCUUAAAUACAGAGAUGAAGCUCUAUCUCCAUAGUGAAACCACAACCAACAAUUGUCAAGUAUAAAAAGAAAUAGAAAUGUACUUAUUAACAUCUUAAAAAGUUUUUUAGAUGGAUGAUAGACAAAUUAGCAAAUUUACCUAUUUCAAUCCCUCUUCUCUUUUGACCAAUGAUUGCAUUAUUUGUUUCAUUAUUAUUGUGUGGCUUUUCAUCUCCUUUUAAUUUGAUCAUGAAAUAGGAUUUUACUUCAAUCAUCAAAUCCAAUCCCUCAACUAAACAUAUGAUUUGGCAAUUUCAAAGAGAAAAAAGGAAAAAUAGGAAUAUAUAGUAGAGUUUAAGGGAUCACUUGUGAUGUGAUUGGCUGCAAUUAUAGGCAAUAAUUAGUGGUAAUUUGAGAUCGAAUUAUAGGAGAAAGGGGUUAACGGAUGAGAAUAAAGUGAUAAUAAGUGGGAGAGAAUCGUUGUUGGUUGUAACUUGUUAAUAGAAUCGCUGAAAAGGUCAGGUUUCUCUUUGUUUUUUUAAAAUCUCAUUUCAUUAUACUAUGAAUUAUUUAUUAAGUGAAGGUCAUUAUAGUCAUUUUAUUGUGACAAGGGAGAUUGGUGUAAUUUGUAAUACUUGAGGGGAGUUGAGUGCAAUUGUUAUAAAUCUCAGGAAGGUUUGUGAAUUAUCCCUUUUCAAAAUUUCGAACAAGCCCUUUUUUAUCGUGUUUGCGUUCAAACUUUCCAUGGCAUUAAAUUAUGGUAGGAAUUUGUGAUUUGCAUUUCUCCAAAAACCUUUUUUUUUUUUUGUAAUACAAUACAAAAACUCAUAAGUUGUAAACUUAGGCCCGUUUAGUAAGUGAAUUUUUUGGGUGUUUGUUUAAAAUUUUACUGUAACUUAUUGUAGAAAUUGUAGAAAAAAAAUUUGAAGUGUGUAAAUUUUUGGAUAUUUUGAAGUGUAUAGUUUAAAAUUUUUGAGAAGUUUUUUGAAAUUAAUAUAACUAAAGUUGUUAAAAAACUUGUAGCAGACAAAUUUAGUCAAAAAACUUGCCUGCCAAACAAGGCCUUGGAUGGUUAAAAAAAUAAAGGAAAAAUAUACCUUCCUUUCGGAAAAACUCUUUUCACGACUCUGAAAAGGGUAAACUGCACUUUUUUCUUUUCUUUUUUUGGUUCUCCAAUGGUUUAACAACCAGGCCUAGUGUUUUUCAAAUCUACUAAUUAGUACCUCUUUAUACUUUGGGUAAAAGUGCAAGAUGAAGGAAACAAACACGUUUCAAUAGUCACCCACCUAAUGUUGUGUGGGUUUUCUAAGUUGAUUCCUAUUUUGUCACUUUUAUUUAUACAAAUUUACCCUCUAGUGGGUUAAGAAAAUAGGAAAAAAAAUGUUUAGAAGUCGAACUGAAAACUUUACAAGUGCCAUUAAUUCUUCCUUAAUAGCAAAAAUAUCAAUCAAUUCCAAUAUAAAAUUGUAUAAAUUGAUGACAUUGAUCAAGAAAACCGAAGAGGGAAGGGAGGGGGGAUAAGUCAUUUUGGUAUAGGAUGUCAAUUAUAUGAUACUUCCCAGUGCUUUGACAUUUUCCUUCAUUUAAAGAGUCAUCCAUUAUUGUCAAAAUGACUUCUCUACUCUGGACCAAAAUAUCAAAUUUCACCUAUACCCCUUUCCUUUUCUCUUUUUCCUGAUCAAUCUCACCAAAAUAGACAAUUAUAUGUUGGAAUUUAUAGAAAUUUGUGUUGCCGACGAGAAGAAAAUUGUGAAGUUUCUACUUUGACCUGUAAACUUUUCUUUUCCCCCCUGUUAACUCUUUUGAGGGUAUUUUGUAGGAAAAUAUGCUGAGAAAUGCUAAAUGGAUUACAAACACUCAGAUACUUUAGGUUCAAAAUACGUCCAUCUUAUACUUUUACUCCUUCAACAUUAAUUAUUGUGAUUCUAGAACUUCCGAACACUCUUUAACCGUUAAUUAUUUGUUCAAUACGACUAAGAGAACCAUUUAAAAGCCUGUUUGUUUGGAGUUGCAGUAGUUUUAUCUAAAAGCACUUCAAUGAAUAGAACUUUCACCAAUGAAAGUACUUAUUAAAUGCUUGAUAAAUCCUUAUUCAAGUAUACGCCCCAAACAAUAUGAUAAUAAAAUUCUUUGACUAAAAGUAAUUGUCCGGGCGUUUAAUUGAAUAAGUACUUUUUCUAUUUGAUAAUCUGCAAUUUUAAAUUUACAAAAAAAUAUUUAUCUCUUUAUUUAGUUAAAAAAAUUAUAAUAAAAUUGUUAAAGUUAAUUGUUUUUAUUUUUGAAUUUUAAGCUAGAAAGAAUUGCUUUAAAUGUCCAAAACCUAUGCUCUUAAAUUUAAGAAACGGUGAGCACAUUUUAUUUGCAAUUUCAAACUGCCCCUAAGUGAGUCUAAAUCUACCUAGGGUAUGCAAGCCCUAAGAAGAACCAUUUCAAUUUAUGUGGUAUCUAAAACCGGCAAAAUCACAACGUUUCAGAUCACAAUGCAUAUAAUGUUAACAAAAUUCUUGGUGAAAUGUAUGAAAAAAAAUAACAUGGAAAGUCUAUCUUGGAAGUUGAAGUUUCAAGAUCAUAAUGCAUAUAACGCUAACAAAAAUUCUUGGUGAAAUAUAUGAAAUAGAAUUACAUGGAGAGUCUAUCUUGGAAGUUUGAAGUGUUAAAAGACAUAAGAGCAAGGUUGUAAGUGUAGACUUAUAAAUACCUUAUAUGACCAACGUAUUACAUCCUUCCUUGAUAUGCUGACGUUAAGCGCCCCAAACCCUAAAUGUAGCAUCCAUCCUGGUCCCAAAGCUUCCAGCUCCAAGGCCCCCAACCUAUGACUUCCAGGCCCAUAAGUCUGUAUCGACAGCUCCGCUUCCAUGGAGCUUUUCUUCCCAACUUCCUUGACUCUAUUGUAUUUUUUAUUGGGAACAAACGUACUAAAAUAAAAAGGGCAUGGAAAGGCAAAGUGAGAGAUGCAAGGGAACGUCUUACGAUUAACCAACCAGCUCUAAAUUGAUUCUUUUCAUGUCACAUGAUGCUGCAAGAAAAGGAAAAGGAAAAGGAAUAGAAGUAGAACAGACAACCUUAUUGAACAAGCAAUUUCUUCUCCAUUUCAGUUCAAUUUAGUUCAACAAAACAUCCAUCAAGCCCAGAUCAAGUCUUGGAACCUAGUAACAAAAAGUGUGUUUGGAUAACCAAAUUUUUUCAAAUAAUAUUUCGCUUACAUCAUAAACACAUUUCUCAACCCUUUUUUUUUUUAUAUUUUCAACCGCCUUUUUACGUCCGGUACAUUCUUUACUUGUGCACUGCUACUAUAGUUGUCCAUUUGCUAGAGUCUCAAGUUUUGAGUUGAUAGUACUAUAGAUGCUUCCCCAUAAUCAAUGGUCUUCAGACAAACUAAGUUGAAACUUGUACAUAAGAUUCGUGCUGAGGUGCAGAAAUUAUGUUUGCUGACAACCACCGUGAGUUGAACUCCAAGGUUCUCCACAAGCAUAGCAGAAUUGAAAUCCACACCUGCAUCACCACUCAUAAAGAAGACAUUUUUCAACUUCCCAUCUGUUUCUGUUCAAGUAAUUGAAUGUAGGAUUUGUUUGUUUGAAUCAUCCAGGAUCCUCGAAUGCAUAGACAGAUAAAGAUAAAGAAAUGGAUAAUUUUGAUUCAGGGUCUGUUUGUCUGGACUGAAAAUCUUUUCCAGAAAAUAUUUUCUUCAAUUUCUGGUGUUUGGCUGCAAAAAGGUCAGGAAAAUUUUUUUCCGGUAGAAAAUCUUUUACAUAACUUGGUGUAAAAUGAAUUCUGGAAUUAAGAUACGGAAGUUAAUUUCUCCCGACAACUAUCUAUCGCAACUUAUCAGUCUCCUUGGCGCUUCUCUAUUGUACAAAACCAUCAAGUAAUAUACCACAGGGAUCAAAUCAAGAGCAACGUCCCUGCACUUGCUUCUGCAAAUCCCACAUCUUUCCACCUCUUCGAGCUCUCCUCUUUCUUAUGUUCCUCCCUAUUAUCCCUUUUCUCUUGUGCCACACAAAACACAUUUAUGGAUCAGACAAUUCUAGACCUAGAUUGGGCUUUGCAUUGAGAAGUUUUGGAGAAGAAAAAAAAAAAAGUGAAGCCAAUGGAGGCAGGAGGAACAUUUUUAGAAGAAGAUUUGAUACAAUAAACAUCAAGUUUCAAUUGCUAAUUUCUUAUAAUGGUUCAAUCAGUGGUAAGCAUAUUUUUAUUACAAUGACACUCAACCAGGUUUGGGAGAUUGUGAGUUCCUGGUUCUGGUCUUUGAACAAUGCUCUGUGAUUAGGCUAGGCUGUGAUAAUCAAGGGAUCACCCAUACUAGUCAUAGAAGGAGGAAGCCACAACAAGAUUCUAGAAACAAAAAAAAAAAUAAAAGUAAUGGUACAAUCACCAUUCCCAAACACAGGAGCGACGAGCACUAGAAAGGGCUAAUUGAUCAGAAUAUAGACGAAAAAAAAAAAGGUCAGACAACUACGGUUCUGACAUUGGAUCUGUAUAAAUCUAUGGGUGCCGGGCUGACACAGCCCGGCACCUGACAACUUUAAAACCUGACAACUUUAAAAAAAAAAAUUGGUGUGUCAGGUGCCCUUCAUUGAUACAGCCCGGCACCUGACAGCUUUUUAAAGCUAAUUCAAUUUUCUGUCUUCUGAUUCAAUUGUUAAGAAGCCGCAGAGUUUUUGUAUUUAUGAGAUGUCGACUAAUAAGUGGUGCUUCUUAGUUGGUGGAAUCUCACCUUAGUAUCCAGUUGUUUAAAUUUGUUUAAUGGAUUAAUUAAAUUAGUUUAACUAAAAUUGAUGUAUUUAGCAUAACUUAAGUAUAGAUAUUAGUGUUAUUAGUUUAAUACAAUUUACUUUAUUAUGCAAAUUAGUUGAUAAUUAGUUUAUGUUAUUUAGUAAACAAUUAUUUGAAUUAGUUUAGUCGAUUAAUUAGUUGAAUUAAUUGUGGAAUUAGUUAAAUUUAAGAGGUUCGAUUAAAUGAAUUUAGAUGUAUUUGGCGAGGUUAGUUUAUGUUAUUUAGUAUAUGUUAUUAGUUUAAUUAGUUUAAAUGAAUUUCGAUUAAAUGAAUUUAAAUGAAUUAGUUUACUGUUUAGGGUUUAAUGUUUAGGGUUUUAGGGUUUAGGGUUUAGGGUUUAGUGUUUAGGGUUUGGGGUUUGAUCUUUUGCAUGAUGCAACAUGUCACAAAUUGGAAUUGAUAAUUACUAAUCAUAUCACAAUUUCAGCCUUACGAUAUUUUCUUGAGAAUAAAAUGAGAAACUAUAAAUGAAAGAGGAAAAUUCAAAAUUAAAAGAAUAUGGAUACUAGAUAAUUGUAUUUCAAGUCAAGUGAUUUGAAUAUUUUUUAAUCAUUUAAGGAAAAGAUAGAAUUCUACAGUUUCUCUUUUUCAAUUUCAAUCAUUAAGAUAUCAAUUUUUGUGAAAAAAGAAGAAAAUUUAAAGAAACAAUAAAGUGACAAAGAAAAUAUAAUACCACAAAAAAGGAACAAAAAAAUGCCAGAGAAAGAAGAGUUAAUAAUAGUAUAGGUAUAAUUGUGUCCAAUGCAAGAUAAAGCGAGACAAAAAAAUUGUUAGGAGCUACCGUGAAAAAUGAUAUAUAUUUUAAGAAAUUUAAUUACGACGCCUGGAUUUGCUUGGAUUGUAAGUUAUUUGGGAUAUUUUUACUGUAACACUUUUUGUGAUGUGAUGUAUAUGAGAUAAAAAGGUAAUUGGGAAGAUAAAAAGGUGUAUUGAAAAUUGUAAUGAUGUUGUAAACAAAUAAAAUUGAAGAAAUAAUGCUCAAUCCAAAAUAUUAUAAAAAUUUUUGUCAAGAUGCCUUGACCCAAAAAUUUUUUUUUUUUCACCUUUUGCGUGUUUGUAAAAGUUGAAUGUCAAAUGUGUUUUUUAUUUUUAUUUUUCUAUACCGAUUCAAAUUUUGACUCAUACUUAUAGCAAAAGUUACAAGCACCAUUCUCAUUGAUCUAAACUAAAAUAAGCCCAGCUAGUAAUUUUGUUUACUUUUCCUAUUUGCCUCUUUUUUUUCCUGUGUAUAAUUUCCGGCUACCCCGUUUCCUGAAUCAGCAGCAACAUAUGCAACUUGAGUUGGAAUCCGUCAAUACUUAGUUAUGCUAUAAUAAUAUUGAACUCUGCAAGGGUACAUACUAGAUUCAAUUCCAUGCCAAUUUUGACACUUUCUUUGUCAAAUUUUUUAUUUUGGUUGACCUUUAUCAGAUUAUAUAGUGCCCUAUUCAAAUUAAUCUUCAUGCAACACAACUUUUCGGGUCUCUCCCUUUCUCAACCAAAACACAAAAUGGAUAUCUUUGGUUUGGGAUGCUUUGAUGGGCGCCGGGCUAUGACAACUUAAAAAAAAAAUAAAGUGGUGUCAGGUGCCGGGCUGACACAGCCCGGCACCUGACAACUUUUAAAAAAAAAAAUUGGUGUGUCAGGUGCCGGGCUGUGUCAGCCCGGCACCCAUAGAUUUAUACAACCCCCAUGCCAGAACCGUAGUUGUCUGACCUUUUUUUUUUACGUCUAUAUUCUGAUCAAUUAGCCGAAAGAAAGUAGAAACUGACCUGCAAGUCAUGUGUAUGCAGCCCUGAUUUUUUUCGACGUAGUAUUUGCAUCUAGGACAUCUGUUCCAACUUUUCGCCUUGGCAAGCUCCCUCAGCAUAAGAUCUUCCCUUCCUCUUUCAUCCUGAUUCAGCCUGAGGAGCUCUUCACAAUCAACCCCAGGAUGCCACGGCACAUGACAUCGAGCACAAAACAAUCUCCGACAAACAGGACACUCGGAUUCCCUAAUAACUUCAUCGCUAUCUCUCACCAACAUCGCCGAACAAUCCUUAAAAGGACAAUAAAACUUCUGAGAUGCAUCAACCAUUGCAUCACAAAGCAUCUCAUCCCACUUUUCCAAUACAUCUUUAGGCAUAAAAGACCUACAAGAAUCAAACUCAAUCGCCCUCCCACAAUUCACUGCAGGGCACCUGAUACCGUGUACAUUGUACUCAAGUCUGGCUGCAACAUGUUUGCUAAUGCAUUCGUUACAGAACACGUGGCCGCAACUUUGAAUCGUGAACAUCUGAUCACUUUCUUUUCUAUCCACACAAAUUUCACAAAAACUCAGUGAAGAUUCGCCCGAUUCUGCUGUCACUGCUUCCUCUGCCUGUUCUACUUUAAAACUCGCUGAUGAUGAUGAUGAUGCAGCAUUAGCAGCAAUAUUAAGUGUCGAAUAACCCUGAGACGGUUCUGGGAGCAUCGAAGCCACUAGAGCUUCUUGCAACUGCAAUCCUUCAGCAUACUUCACAUCUGAUACGGGAAAAAUCUGAUCAUCUUCCGAAUCUAAUUCAUCCGUCUCACGAAAAAGUGCAGACAAGUAAAAAUCAUCACAGGAGAGAUCCAAUAAUGCCGGUUCUUGAGCCAUAACGCAUAAGAAACAAGGGAAUUUUUUGUCUAUGAAGGAAUUAGGAUGAAGUAAACUACUAGAAAAUGGGGGUUUUGGAUAGGAAAUGAGUAAUAUGUAGAUUCUUCAGAUGGCUUACCUUGGAAGCAGCCUUCUCUUAUUGGAAUUCCGGGAGUUUGUUUGUGACUCGUCUUUUCGGUGUCUUUAUCUUCGACAUUUUGACUUCAAGUCAAGCCAAUUUGAAAGAUGUUCCGUACAAUUACAAUUGGAUUAUUUCCUACAAUUUGUUAUCAAAUCGAGCGUAUAAGUUCAAGUAACCGCGUUACUUUCGGCUUUAUCAAAAUUUCCGACAAGCCCUUUUUAUCGUGCUUGCGUUCAAACUUUCCGUGGCAUUAACUUAUGGUGGGAAUUUGUGAUUUGCAUUUCUCCAAAAACUUUUUUUUUUUUUUUGGGUAAUACAAUACAAAAACUCAUAGGUUGCAAACUUAGGUCUCGUUUCGCAAGUCAAUUUCUUGGAUAUUUAUCUAAAAUUUUACUGUAGAAGAUGUAGAAAAAAUUUUUGAAGUGUAUAAAUACUUGGAUAUUUUGAAGUGUAUAAUUUAAAAAGUUUGAGAAGUUUUUUGAAAUUACUGUAAUUAAAGUUGUUAAAAAACUUAUAGCAGAGAAACUUAACCAAAAACUUGCUUGUCAAACAAGGCCUUAGAUGGUCGGAAAAAAAAAGAAGGAAAAUAUACCUUCCUUUCGGAAAAACUCUUUUCGCGACUCUGAAAAGCGUACACCGCACUUUUUCUUUUCUUUUUUUUUGGCUCUCCAAUGGUUUAACAACUAGGCCUAGUGUUUUUCAAAUCUAAUAAUUAGUACCGCUUUAUACUUUGGGUGAAAGUGCAAGAUGAAGGCACGUUUUCGAGAGUCACCCACCGAAUGUUGUGUGGGUUUUCUAAGUUGAUUACUAUUUUGUCACUUUCAUUUAUACAAAUUUACCCUCUAGUGGGUUAAGAAAAUGAGAAGAAAAAAAAGUUUAGAAGUGGAACUGAAAACAAACUUUACGAGUGCCGUUAAUUCUUCAAAAUUCUCGUGCAAGUGAACCAAUAACUAAUUCAUUGCAAUGGGACGAACAUGGCUAACACGAAACAAUUACUCCUCUAACUGAAAAAAGAAAAUCACUCAGGAAAAAAAAUAAAAUAAUUGCCUCAUGAAAUAGUAGUGAUUGUCUUUUCUUUUUUCAGAGAAAUUCCACCAAGCAUAUGAAAAUUGGACAAAGUCUUGGUAAGAUUUACAGAUAUUUUGUCUCUCUUCUUCCGAAAGGGCAGCUAAAUCGACAAUCACACACCAUAAUCGGCAGCUGUAGAGCCUUGUCUGCAGUUGUGCUGCAUCAAAAAUCCAGAUGUUUUUGCGCUAUAAUGUCCUCUAGAUUAGCUGCCAAUUUGCUGUUGCCUUUGCUUAUUUUGGCACGCCAGCAGCUAGUCUUGCUCUCAAGUCCUUUCUCAAGAUUUUGCCAGAUGGUGACUUCGGAAUGGCAUCAACAAAAAACACACGGUUUAUUCUCUUGUAGAAUAUCACCUGCUCACCACGGAAAACAGCAAAAAAGAACACCAAUUUAAUGGCCUGAAAGCAGCAAAAACUCAAAAACAACGAUUGAAUAUCCAGCUUUACUAUAAUGGAAUGACCUGUUUCUUGAUAUAUUCCUUAAUUUCAUCCUCGCUGAUAUUGGAAUCUUUUGAUUUCACAACAAAAGCAACUGGAACUUCGCCUGCUGCAUCAUCCUUCAUUCUGAAAUUGACCAACAACGAUGCUAAGGAUCGCUUUUUCACUUGAUAGUCAAAAAACAUAGCAUGGUGGUAAUUAAGGACAUAAACUGUUGUCUUGAUGACAACAACAUUGACACCCCUUUUGUCUAAAGGUAAUUAAUCACUUUCGACUUACGGGACAACAGCAGCAUCUGAGAUGUCAGAGUUAGCGAGGAGCAGGGCUUCAAGUUCUGCGGGUGCGACUUGGAACCCCUUGUACUUGAUUAGCUCCUUAAGGCGAUCAACGAUGAAAAGUUCAUCAUCCUCGUCAAUGUAGCCUACAUCACCUGUAUGUAACCAACCAUCUUCGUCUAUGGUUGCUUUUGUGGCUUCAGGGUCAUCAAGAUAGCCUAGACAGUGAGCAAAAUAAGAAACAGGUCACUCGGGUUUCAUCACUCCCGUCCAGGAAAACUUGUACUGCUACACUGUUAAGAUCUGUAGUAGGAUGACUUUCUUUCCCGACCCUCAAAAAUUGACGGGACUAAUUAUCCGUGUUAGUUUUCUUUCUUAGGUGAGUGAUUGAAACAAAUUUAAGUUUCUCUGCCAAAAGAAUUACUAGUUUUACUGCUAUAUUUCUUGAGCUCUGCCCAGGAAAAACAAGAGUAUGACUUUUUUUUUUUUUCCAUAGACAGAAUCAACACACGCACACUUAAUUUAACACAGAACGCAGAGGUAACACCGAACACACCGGCCCAAACGAGCAAUCUAAGGUGGGACCCACGAGAAACAUCCAUGAGGUUUCUUUUAAUAUCACCUGGGAUCCCAAAGGUUUUAAAAAUAUCACUUACCUCCUUUACUUUUGUUAUUUGUGUAACAAAAUUUUUAAAAACCCUAAACUACUCUUUCACUUUCUAAAUAAAAAUAUUUCUAGACCACUUUGUUCACUUCAAGAAAACCAUCACCUCAAAAACAAUCUCUUGUAGUACUACCACAUCAUAAUGUUAUACCCCAUAAAAUUAUAAAUUUGAAAAGAAAUACACUUGCAUCAAUUUAACUCUAUAUGUUCAAAACGAUUUCUUAUGAAUUUAUAUUUUUUUUCAACAUCUUCUCAACUCUUGCUAAAACCAUUAAACUGUAUCAAUCAUUAUAAAAAUCAAUUCAAACUAAACAAAUAAAUCAUAUAUUACUUUAUCACAAUCACAAAAAGUAAAAUAUAAACAAAAUUCAAUUUAUUAUAAUUUAUAAAUAAAAUAUUUCAUAGUCAUCCAAAAAAUGAGUCAAAGAGAAUGAUGAUGCAAAGAGAAAAAGAAAAAAAUGACUUUUAUUUCUUUUUUCUUUUUUUAAUUUUUGAGCUCCAUUUAUUUGAUGUGUUGUGAAUUAUGUGUCCAGUAAGGAUUAAUAUAGUCUUUUUACAAUUAUGAAGAAAGAUAAGUAAUAUUUCUAAAAUCUUAAGAGUGUCAAGUGAUAUUAUAAGAAACCUCCCUGAUAUUGGCUACAAAAGGACGGAUGAUUGUCAUAAUGAUUCUGUGUAUUUGAUUAACAAGCAUUCUUUUGUUUUCUCUCAUUGUUAGGUUUACCUAAUUCUGUUCCUCAUCUAAAUUAUGACCCAUCAGUCGCCAGCUCGAAACAACCUAGAUUUUCCGAGUUUUAGGUACCUGGUUUACCAUAGUUUUUUUUUUUUUUUUGGUGGAUGGGUAGAACUCCAAUUUUGGAGUUGUAAUUUCAACCUACAAUGUUGUUCAUAUCUUUUAAAGUAUAGAAAAUAGUUACACAAAUAAAGAUCCAAUAAGCAGCCUUAGAGACUCUUUUUGACUCUGUUAAAUAUAUAUAUAUAUAUCACAUAACAUCCUAUUUAUAACCACACCUACCUUUCAUGAUUUGGUCACCUCUGAUGCAGAUUUCUCCAGGUUGGUUUCGGGGUAAAGAGGAACCAGUUUCGGGAUCUACAAUCUUCAUUUCAGCAUUUCUAACAACGGAACCACAUCCGCCUGAUUUAACCUCAAAGGGAUCCUUAGCAAAUGCUGAGCACAUUGCUAGCACAGGGCCGGCUUCUGUCAUCCCAUAACCCUGCAUGCAUUUUCUACCAUUAAUAUUUGUUCCUCAACUGAAUCAGACAAUUAAUCAGCUACUUUCCCUAAUGUCUAGUCAUGCAUCAUCAGCUUUCCUUUUCUUUUUUUUUUUUUUUUUGGCUUUGGUUUUCCUGUGGGGUUGAAAUUUUUCUGGGUCACCACGGUGGCUUUAAAUUAUGUAUACUCUGAACUCAAAUAUAUAAACUUUUUUGAAAGAAAUGCAUAUUUAAAGCUAUUUCAUUGAGCAUAAAUCAUAAAUGAAAAUGAUUUUUCUUCCCCUUUCAGUGAAGAGUUCCCGUUUGGAUUGCAUUUUCCGUCAUUUUUCAUGGAAAAAUUACUGUAGCGAUUUGAUGUAUGUGAGGAAAAAAGCUAAUAGGGAAAUGUGUUCACGGAAAAUGACAAAAUUUUUCUAUGGAAAACAGCAAUCCAAGCAAGGCCAUAUGUAUGAGUACACACAAGAAUUUACGUAGAAUGUGUUGUUAAUUAAUAUUGUGUUUAUACUUUUGAACAAGUAUUCUAACCAUAUUCGCACAAGAACACACACAAAGAAGUUUUGCAUCAUUGUUUUCUUGUUCCCAUCUUGGUAGGCCUGCAUAGUUCUUAGUCUAAUUCUUUAGUUGAUGUUUGGAUAUCAAAUUUUUUCAAAUAAUAUUUUGUUUUUACCGUAAACAUAUUUUUCAAUUCACUUUUUUAUAUUUUCAAUCACCCUUUUAUCUUACCUACAUUACAUCACAAUCACAAAAAAGUGCUACCGUAAUUAUUCCAAACAUUAAAUUCACCCACAAGCAUUAAAUUCCCAAAGCUAAAAUGUUAAAUUACAUAGAUCCUGCCCAUCCUCAUCCUUCCCACACCCAAAACUAAAAGCGGAAAACCAAGUUGAUGCUAACAAAGAAAUUGUAGGACGCAGAAUAAUAGAUCAUGGUAAUUUUGACCCGCAAUCAGCAAUCAAAUAGGACUAAUGCCUCCAGUCCUAUAUCCUUCUCAAUGCUGACCCGGAGCAACCUAAACUAAAUGAUAGUUCUCAGUUCUGAAAUUCAUAUAGGUCACAAAAGUGAAUUGAUUUUCGCACUCCCCCAUUUAAUUCAACCUCUGCCAAUAUACAGUCUUCAAAAAGAGUGCUAGAAACUAGCUGGAAAGUGCAUAUUCACACACUCCAAUUCCAGUGCCGUGGCUUCCCCCCCACCACAAAAAUAUUCCUCAUACGUCGUACACCAAAAGAAAUGAAAGCUAAACAAGGGGAAAUAAAAAAAAUCUAUGCCUGCCUAAAACCAAUAAAAAGUUAUACUAGUAGUUAGUAGUAAGUCUAUAUCAUUUACCUGACCAAGUUUGGCGUUAGGAAAUUUGGUUCUAACAGCAUCUUCAAGCUCCUUACCCAAUGGUGCCGCUCCAGACAUGACAGUCUUCACCGACGAAAGGUCAUAUUCAUCAACCUCUGGACUUUUGGCUAUGGCCAGAACAAUUGGUGGCACAAAUGGCCCAAUUGUGACCUUAUAUUUUUGAAUCAAUUCCAAGAACGGAAUUAUGUCAAAUUUCUGCAUGAUCAAGAUUGUUGUGCCGGCCCUCAACCCACAUAGCAAAAUUGAGUUCAGCGAAUAUAUGUGGAACAGAGGCAAAACGCACAUCAUCACUUGAUUGUGUAUAUAGAAAUUUGGGUUUUCUCCGUCAACCUGUUGUGCCACGCUAGUGACAAGUCCCUUGUGGGUCAACAUCACCCCCUUGGGCAGUCCAGUAGUCCCGGAGGAGUACGGCAGCGCCACCACAUCAUCAGGGCUGAUCUCGACGUCCGGCAUUUCCCUUUCAUCGGCCCCGGUUAGCUCCGAGAAGUGUAAACAACCUUCCGGUGCAGAGUCGAUGCACAUGACUUUCACCCCAUUUUCACAUGCAUAGUCCUUGACCUUUUCGACAUAACAGCCUUGCGUGAUGAUGAGCUUUGCGUUGGAUGCCUUGGCUUGCUUUAUGACUUCGGCAGAGGUGAAAUAUGGAUUGGCCAUCGAGGAUAUGGCUCCCCGGAAAGAUGCACCGAGGAAGGCGAACACGAAUUCCGGCGAGUUUGGCAGCAGGAUCAUGAUCGUAUCUCCUUGCUGUAUACCAACUUUGUUAAGCCCGGAUGCAACUCUUCUUGCUGUGAGCUCAACUUCUUCGAAAGUGUAAAUUUCAUCGGUGGCGCCAUUUAUCAAACAAGCCUGUGAUCUGAACUUAGGAAGGUCUUCGAAACAGUAAGUGUGCAGGGACAGAUGUUUUGGGAUGUAAAUAUCAGGGAGCCUUGAUCGGAAUAUGAUUUCUUCUUGCUUUGUUUUGACAGCCAUUGAAAAAGGGCUUAUUGAAGGGUUACUACAAGCUAGGGAAGAAAUUAAGAGAUUCAAGAAAUGGAACCAGUCAAAAGGAGGCGCGAUGUAAUUAUUCUGCUCUCCUGGGAGUCCAUUGGGCAGAUGGGGCAAUAUUAAUAUGCGGGGCUCAUAUUGUUGUAGGUAGAUGGAGGGGAUUGGUUGGUGAAAUGGAGGAUGAUCAGGUAUAUGGGGGUUGUUCAGGGGUAAAACCGAGAAAAGAUGUUUGAUGUUCAUGAUUGAUUCGGGGGGUUUUGGUUUGUGGGCGUGUGGUAGGUGGGAAUUGAGAGCUAGCUACUUUCCCUUGUCAAACCCGAAUAAAUUAUAAUUGAAUGAAUAUAGAAGAAGAUAUGAGGAUUAUACCACAUUUGUGAUAUCUUAUACCUUUUUUUUUUUUUUUUUGUCACACUCUUGUUUUCACACGUAUGAUAUGUCACAUUGUAGUUCAUGUGAAUCUGUACACGUCAAUAAUGUUAAAAAUACCAAAAUUAUUAGAGCAAUGGAUGUACAACAUUAAAAUAUAUAUUUCAUAUACCAUACAUAUCAAUUAUGUCAAAAUUAUUUUCCAUUCAAAAAAAAAAGAAAGAAAAAAAUUGCGUUUGGGGGGCAAAAAAAUGACUACCAAUCUAAGCCGUCCGUCCCCUGGCCCGAGAGACUGAGAAUUGGUUGAGGACGGUUGUUUUGGGGGGUGGGGCCAGGGGAAAUGGGACCACCUAAAGGAUUAAGGUUUGGUGGUAGACAUGAUGAUGUGUUGACUUAUGUAGAUGAGACUUUUCCACGUUGGCUUUUACCUACCACAAUUAGCUUCGCCGGAGGGGUGUGAGCGGCUGAUGACGAAGCGUGAAGAAGGCCUUCGGAGUUCGGCCGGCGGGUGGGAUUCAACGUUCAUUUAGUCAUGGGAUAAUUUCUUUUAGAAACCUUCCCUGAAAUUUCUAAUAAUUUUACUAGCCUCUCCUAAAGUUUAUAAAAUUAUAUAAAUCUCCCCUAAAAUUAAAAUUUUGAUAACAAAAUUAAUCUAAUUAGAAUGACUUUCAUGUUUUUAUUGUCUUUUGUUUUCCUAAUGUUAACACCUUAACUAGGAAAAUCAAGGAAAAUGACGUUGGCAUAGUACGCGAGUUAUUUAUAAGGUCACGUCAUAUUUUGAGGUAGAUUGUCUUGAGUGUGUUUGGAUUGUAAAUUAUUUGAAAUAUUUUUACUGUUACAAUUUUUGUGAUGUGAUGUAUGUGAGAUAAAAAGGUAAUUGAGAAGAUAAAAAAGUGUAUUGAAAAUUGUAAUGGUAAUGUAAACAAAUAUAUUUGAACAAAUAAUCUCCUAUCCAAAUGAUAACUUGAAUGAUGUAUUCCAAAUGUAAUAGCCAAAUAAAAAAUAUGUUCAGAUUGGAGUUUUCUUUAAAAAAAUUUUUAUCUUUUCUAUAAACGUAUUUUUUAAUUAUUUUUUUUAUUUCACAUGUAUCAUAUCGUUAUAUUAUAUAUAUGUAUUAUAAAAACUUCUAAAAACAGCAUUGCUGAUAGGUUAGACAUUCAGCUAUUCAUUUUCUAGUAAAUUUUGUCGGAAGUGCAAAAUUAAAAGAUGCAUAUCCGAAAACACUUGUAAGAAAAAAAUUAGAAUUAAUUGUGAUUGUUAUUUUUAUUGUUUGCCCCCUUGUACCGUUGUAUCAUGGCACAGCUUCUUUACCCUAUUCUCCUGCCCCCCUGUCCCAAUCAAGCGCAUCAGCCCAAACCAUCAUAUCAUUGGUGCCCCCACGAGGAUUAUUCACCACAUCUUCCCCAAACAAACGUCUGACGCAUUUGAUUAUAAUAAUCUUAUUAUUGACCGGCUAAGUGAUACGAGUCACAUUGUUGGAAUUAUUUUACUAAAAGACUUUAGGCGCAUGUAUCUCUCUGCAUUUUAUUUGAAUAGAGUGUUAUUUGAAAUAAUAAUUGUAGUAUUUUUUAUGAUGUGAUUUAUGUGAGAUAAAAUAAUAAUUAAAAAUAUAAAAAAAUAAAUUAAAAAAUAUAUUUAUAAUGCAAACAAAAUAUUAUAUAAAAUAAUUCAGCAAUCAAAACACACUCGUUUUCCUUUGUCUCUCCGGUCGAACAAGGCUAAUCUGAAUUAGUCCUCAUUUAUCAAUUUUGAGCAAUUAUAAAACAAGAAAGACAAAAAAAUUGUUGAAAAAUGUAGCCUCGAUAGGAGGAAACAAAGAAGAAAACACAAACAUAUAAUUGAAACUCACGAGCACGUAUAAUGUUUGAGUAAUGACUUGUUCUAUUUUUAUUGACGAAAUAAAACUUAACGACACCCCAAUUGUUCCAUCGCUAUCAAUAACCUUAACCACACGAGGAAACAUUUUAUUGAGAACAGAAAUAAUAAUAAAUCUGCAAGAAUUACAAAUAAAUUCUUUCACGCGCCGCUGAACAUAAAUCUCAUUGUAAAUCAUGAUUAUGGAACCAAUUAAUAGCUUCAAUAUCCUUUGCUGCCCCGGACGGAACAUCUUCCAUGACUUUUUCUUGGCCUUUAGGAUAAAAUAUUCCAGUUCGAUCAUCUGGAACCCACCAAUUUCCGUCAUGAUUAUUUCCAGCCACACUACUCUUCUUCUUCUUCUUCUUCAUUUCCUCCCCAUUCAACUUAGCCGUUUCCGGUGGACUGCUUUUUCUGUGGAAGGCUUUCCGCAGCGUUGGUCUAAUAUUUGCAUUUAUUAACCAAAGAAAAUGGCAGUUAGACACAAGAUUCAAUUAUACACAUGGACAACUAGAAAAUUUAGAAACGGAGGAAACCAAUCAUUAUUGAUUUUUACACAUAAACAGCAAAUUAUUUAAGGUUUUUUUUUUUCUUUCUUCGUUCCUUUUUGUUUUUGGCUGUUUCUCUUCUUUAAUUUAUUGUACCCAAUUUACGAUGCCAGUACCAUUUAAUAUUUGGUCGGUUGUAGCUCAAUUGCCCAUCAUAUAUGUCACAGCACCACAUAUCAACCUCCAGCAUUAUUGUAGCUGAAUGUCUAAUUCUUUUUUCCCCAACAUGCAUUUUCUUUUUUUCUCUUUAUUUAUGACCAUUGCCCACACACAAGUAUAGCCACCACAUGGACUGCAUGUCUAAUUUAAAUGCCUGCCAAGGGAGGAUGAUUCAGGAAUGGGAGCCAGAGAGAGCGUGAAUCAAAAAGGUCCUACACUCCAAACCAAACACCAAAAUGUGGAGUUGCAUCCACGAGUCAAUAUCUACUUUCUUAGAAACAUGCUUUUGCCUUUUGGCCAAACUGUUGGCUCAAACUUGGAAACACUUUCAAAGAUUUAUUAAUGAUUCAGAUUGUAUCGUGCUAACUCAUCAAGUGACGUCAUGCAAUUUGAAUCAUUGAAUUUUUAAAAAUCGGAUCUACCCAAAUUUUGGUCGAGACUAUUAUGUUUCGGAGGUGGUACAACCAAUCGAUUCUGCGCUAAAUGAAAAUCCAAAAGGAGGUGGGAAAAAAAAAUACUCCCUCCGUCCCACUUUGAUAGUUUUGAUUUUUUUUUCACACAGUUUAAGAAAAAGUAGUUAACUUUGUUGGAACAAUCAAUGUAGGUAGCUAUUUUCCUAAAAUACCCUCACAUUAAUUAGAGCAUAACUUUAUGGAAACUUGAAUUUAUGGUAAAAAAAGAAUCAACUCUCAUUAAAUGAGAUAGGUUUAUAGUAACAACAACUUACAUUGAAUAAGGGUAUUUUAGAAAAAUUAAAAUAUAAUUAUAUUUUUCAAUUGAAAAGUGGACUAUAAUUUAAGACAGACGAAAAAGGAAAAUAGAACUAUCAAAGUGGGACGGAGGGAGUAAGAAGAAGGAAAACGAUAAGAUGUAGAGUUAAAAUUAGCUAGUGCUAUCAGUGGUUUCGUAAGCAUGUCUUGCUCUGAAUUUGACCAUGAUUGUAAUAAUUCUAGUUGGAUUUUCAAGAAUGAUAUUCAUAUCUUUUGUGAGCUGAGCCAUUUGUAUUGUUAUUUUCUGAAAUUUUUAUAAUAUAUAUAUUAUAAUGAUAUAAUAUAUGUGAGAUAAAAACGUGUUAAAAAAAUACGUUUACAAAAAAUAUAAAAAUUCUGAAAUUAAAAUUUUCCAGUACUACUUGAGAUAGAAAAUCAUAACCCGAUUUACUUCGCAGUUUUAUCUCUUUUUUAAAACUUAGAGCUAGUUGGAGGACCCUCCCAUCUCUGUAAGACUGGGUCCACAAUGUCAAUGCCCGCCGUUGCAUGUGACUUUGAUCAAUUUUACAAACGGAAAAAAAAAACAAAAAACAAAAAACCCCCGGCCAAAAGCAGUGCACAUUUUACCUCCCGAAAGAGUGAAAUGUGCGAAUUCUUUUCUGCAUCGAUCCCGAAGAUAUCCACUUUUUAUUAACCUUUGACAUUUCACUGUUACAAAAUCAUAUUUCUGUAGUUUUUGACAUGAAAUUUGGUUCCACCAGUUUUAAUUCAAUCUUUUAUAUGCUGGAUUCUUUAUUUGAUUUUUCCUGAAUUUGGGUUUGUGCUCAACAUGUUACGAGUAAUUUUGACCUCUUUAGGUGGCUUCUUAUCUUGCAUGCGAUAAUUCUGCAACAGCUAGAUAAAGAAGUUGGCAAAUCAGCUAAUUAAUUAGAUGCAUCCAACUAAUGCAUAGAGAAAAGGGUUUUUGCUCCUUUUCCGAAUUGCAAUUGUUCGAACAAGCCGAAAUCUAGUCGCAUGUCACAUAAGGUGAACCGGGUCUCUGCAAUUUUUUUUUUUUUUUGGAUAAGUAAGAAUUUAUUAGUACCCAAGAACCAAAAUAACGAACAAGAUACGUUUCUGGAAAAAAAAAAAAAAAAAGAACAAGAUACGUUUCAAAUCAACAACUCUAAACGAUGAUAAUCUCACAACAGUUUGAGAUACUUUGUGAACCAACUACAAAAGAAGUAACAACAACAAACACUAAAAUUUCAAAUUAAAAUCACAUUUUUUGAUAAUAAUCAAACCCCUUUAUAGCCAUCUAUUAGUAUUCGUCGUUUUCGAGUUUUUGCAAUUUUACUCGAACAUGGACAAUUUUUAAGUGUACCACCAUCUCUACAAACCCAAAAAAGAAAUGUGAUGGCAACACUUCCAAUCAAGUCGGACAUCAAAUUUUUGUGUUAACCCCUGAACCCAGUAUCAGAAUGCCUAAAUAGAAGUCUGAAAAAAAAAAACUUAAAAUGUAGAAAAAGGGCUUACUUGAAAUACAUGGAGUUCACCGUCUGAGCUCCUCUACUUGCUGAAGUUGCCAUUAUGUCUGACCUCACUCUCUACACCAAGAGAUUGUUCUCUGGCUUGGAAUUGUGUCAAGUUCUGGACACCAUACCAUGCCUUUUUUAUACUAGUGAGUGUGGGAAAGUAGGAAUUGGAUAGGGAUAAUUUCAGAAACCUCCCCCGAGAUUUCUUAUAAUAUCACUCAGUUCCCCUGAGAUUUUAAAAUCUCACUUACUUCCCUUAGAUUGACAUUUCUUAUAACAUUUUAACCCCUUUGGAAGAAAUACAAGAAAGAUAAAAUUUUUGUUUCAAUACUACCCUUCUAUUAUCUUGCUUAUGAAAUUUAUAACAACAAUAAAAACAAAAUAAGGUUAAAUUUUUAUAAGGUGUAAAUUUCUUGAAGUAAAUUAUUUAUUUUAGUUGUAUUUGAACAAAAGCAAAAUUUGCACCUUGAAAAAUUCACACGUAUGAAGAGAUUAUUUUAGUUUUCAAUACAACUUAAACUAUGCAAUGAAUUAAAAUAUAUUUUUCUAAAAAAUAUCUUGACUUCCUUAAUUGUAACUAUGCAUGAAAUUUUAUAAGGUGUUAAUUAUUCUCUAAAAUCCUCCUAAGUGGUUGAUUUUGAUUAGAUUUAAUUUAUUCAUAUCUCUGCUAUUCCACCAUGACUCUAAUGUAAAGAAAUAUGGACCAUUAUUAGCUAGUAAUUUACUUUUUAAUUUACAUUUUUUGCUUUUAAAAUUUUAUUUUGUUCUGACUUUUUGGUUAAACAGUUGUUAAGAGCAAGGGUAAUAUUGUCAAUUUAUGACCUUUUAUAGGAAUAUUUAGUCUUGCCAAGUUGACAAGGGAGGUAAGUGAGAUUUUAAAAACUUGAGGGGAGUUGAGUGAUAUUAAGACAAACCUCAGGGGAGGUUUUUGAAAUUAUCCCAAUUGGAUAAGUGACUUUAAUUUAAGCUAAGCCUGUUUAGUUUUCCAAGAAGAACGAAGGCUGACGAUUGUUUUUCUGCACAGGUCAUUGGUUGGUUGCUAGUGCCUAGCAGCUAUUUGGAUAUGGAACCGGACAAGCCGUGGAUGUCACGUUAAUUCAUUGGAUAGAUAUGGCCGCCCCCUUGUCCAGUUCCAUGCGUCAAGUAACUUCCUCAAUCCUUCAUUCAUUGCUUGGAUUUUUCAAUGAUCUGAGUUACCACUCAUCCUUCCUUGUUUAACAAGUAGGCGAUUCCUGUCUAAGGAGAAAGUUUCAAACCAAAUUCAGGAAUUAGGACUUCUUGCGGUCAUAUCAUAUGGUUCCUUUAGUUCUUAGGGCUUAAUGCACAUUUGAUAAGCAAAGUCCAAAUGUCACCCGAAGAAGAUGCCUGCGGAUUGCUUGAGCAAUUAUAAUAAGGUCAUGUAUAGUUUGCUUUUCCAAGCAGUCAAAUGUUUGUUUUUUGUACUACUUUAUCUAGUCGUACUGGUAAGUUUUUUUCUUCAAAUUUAUUCCCAUAUGCCUUUUUCUAGCAAUUUUGAACGUAUAUUGUUAGAAUACCAUGGUGCAAGUGUCCAAGAAUAUUCAGUCUGGGACUGAAUCCGAAUGAUGGAAGGGAUAAUGAAGGUCCAUUCACCCAUACCCUCUUAUCCUCUCUGGCUCUCUCAAAACUUUGAGUGGGCCUAAAGCAGGUCUCCAUAUGGGGCGGCUUAUCCUCUGAAGUAACGCAAUUGAACUUCCAUAUUUGUUGGAUAGACGUGAAUGAGAAUAAAUCCACAAGAACUUAAUGACGGCUGCCAAGACACGUCCCAGGGAAGAAAAAUAGAGGGAAAGGAAAGGGGGGAUGGAUGAGAUAGGAAUGGGAUGUGGCUGUUUCUCAUUUUCAUCCAGAAAAUGAAAGGCCCCGGAUAGCAUUAGCCUAUUUAUCCUCAACCCCAAAGGGCAUUCUUGUGUUGUAAUCAAUCUGGAUAAGCCCCGAAACGGGGGAAAAAGGGGUUCUGCAUAGCGAUUUCAUGUUAACUCUUUGUAAAAGUUGACUAAAGAAAACGAGGGCCUCCAGAGUACCCGAAUAUAGGCAUAGAGUUGGUAAAAGUGCCAUACCUUCCCUGUAACAUUUUCCUUGAUUACUUUCAAUUAACUGGAGCAAUUUCCCAUGUAUUGUGCCAGAAUGUAUGAAACUAUAAGUUGAUAAUCUGAUCACUGCAUAAUGUUGUCAUAAUUAUCAGACCACCAAUGGAAGUUUCAAAUGAUUUCUUCAGUGAAAAAUUGCAAGUCACGGUAUUCAGCAACUUGAAGCAUAAUUUGUUCCAAAAACGAGGCUACAGCGCUUCAUUAAUUAUGUAGGAUUCACAGUUGUCGUCUUCGCUAGGUGAAUCAAAAACUUGCCUCUUCGGUUGAUGGUCUCCGCAAAUAAUAUCGCAAGCUAUUAGCA
RNAcentral lists this long non-coding RNA (96186 nucleotides) under Coffea arabica (coffee). Its description in RNAcentral is "long non-coding RNA (CARA_LNC003068)". The record is from RNAcentral. Lineage: Eukaryota; Viridiplantae; Streptophyta; Magnoliopsida; Gentianales; Rubiaceae.